GCAUGGUGUAGGUCCGAGGCAGCCGGUCGGGUCCUCCAUCGAUGAUAUUGUGGCCAAGCGGGAGGAAGAACUUGGGAUCAAGCUCAAAGUUCGCCGUUGCGGGAGGCGGUGGCGGAGUGACCGGUGGUGUCUCAGAGGGAGUUCGAGGAGGCGACGGUGAUGAGACAUGACGGAACUGUGUCGCAGGGGUUGCUGUUUCACCGAGAGUAUGAGCAGUUCCCGAGAUAUCAGCGACAGGGGAGGUGGUGGGUCUCUUACAGUUCCAAGUAAGACAAUUAUUACGCAUAAAAGAGGCUCCUCUAUAUCGUGCGUGGCCCACCAUGUUGUCAGAGCAUCCAGGCGAAGCCGUACAGUUCGCAGCUAGAUGGCCCCGAGCGUUGCAAAUAGAGCAAGAAAAGAUAUCCUCAACCAUGAUAUUAAUGAGUUCGUCAAAGGCCAGAUGGGCCUCUUGAGAGGAAGGAAUAUCCAUCGGGCGAUUAGGCUCAGGCCCAGAGAAAGAGAUAACCUCAGCAGGCUCAUUAAUGAGAGAGGAAAUUGGCCCAGAAUCCAAGCUUGCCACCGAAAAUUGAUUCUCAUCAUUUGAAAUACCCUGAAUCUCGGCUGGAUCAGAUGUAGCUCCUUGUUGCACGGGAGAAGUUCCGAUUAAUUUGGCAGUUUGAAAAUCCUCGCCGGGAGAUCCGGGAGAUGAAACUUGGCAAGAAACUGUCCCAAACGUAAUAUGCGGCGUGGCUGUCGUCCACCGGAGUUCCGCCGGCGGUGGUGCGGAGAUGAUGACACGUUCAGGGGAAGGCACCGAAUAACCAGCCUGUUCAAGCGUGACUAACUCAUCAUGGGAAACAGGAUAUCUGUAGCCCUUGCAAACCUCAUAUUGCUGAAGGGAUGCAAAAGUCAGCUUCUUACGAACAGAAGAUCUAGAUUUAAGUGAAGACUUGAGGGGUCUGGAAUGCAUGGCCAUCAGACGUAAAGAGGCUCUCCUCUUAGAAGGGCUCACAAUAAUCCACUCAGCAUCACAUUGCUUCUUCCACAGAGCAAAUUCCUGACGCCAAUUAGGACCUCCAUGUCCCCAUAGAUGGAAGAAGCACUUAAAACUUGAACACUUGAAAGAACGCAAAUCCAGAAUAUGAAAACCAACUUGCAUGCAGGAGACCUUGAAGGAGAAAACCGAAUCUGUGACUUGAGAGACACGAAACUCAAUAGCCGAUCCUCCAAUCACCGAUUCCAGAGCUGCAGCGACUGUGUCAGGCAAAAGACGGAACACAUGACGACCAAAGGAAAUCACCAUGAUGAAAGGGCAGUGGUGCUUCAUAGGGUGCACCGUAAUACCCGAGUGGCGAUAAACCUCAUUAGAGAAAGCCAAACCGUGCGAGAAAUCCAGAUCCAACGUAGAACCACCCAUGCAGGCCAUGCACGACCACGUGAGGAGGGUCGGGAAGGUUCACCUGAGCAGAGGAGUGGCGAGGAUGGAGGAUACGCCGGCUAGAGUUCCAGAUCGCCAUUGGGUCGCCGCCGUGGGAGGUGGGAGGAGGGGGACGCAAUGAUAAUCAAUGAUGCCUAUUUGAAAGGCAAUAUUGACCCUGACCAGGAUGAGCUUGACAUGGUGUUUGACUUUACUCCUAGCAAUGCCGAGUUGUUGGAACAAGUGAGAAAAUAUCUGAAUUGUCUGGACCCAAGUGAUGUUAUUAAGUUUAAUGCUAGGCAUAAUGUGGGAUUUGGAAUGCACAUUGGUUGAAAGACCAUGCGUGUUAACUUCGAGUAAUGUUCCGUUGUAUACAAGCAGAUGGUGACCGAAUCACUCGACAAGGCUCUAGAGUUAUUUGCCAUUAAAAAGGUUUAUGCUAACUUGCACUUGGAUUUAAACAGGGUUGCCUCCGUGAUUAUUGAUAGUAGUCCUCCACACAAUGACCAAGAUGACAUAAGUGAACCUCUUUUGACCCAACAUGUGUGAUGACCCAGAAGUAUAAGAGAUCGAUCGUUGUUCUUUCAAUAACUAAGAGUGUCGAACCCAACAGGGAGAAAAAGGAAAUGAUAAGCACUUUCAGCAAGGUAUUCUUUGGAAGUGUUAUAAGUAACAAUGAUAGAUUGUUGCGUAGCAAGAUAAUUCAUAACAAGUGACAAGUAACAAUAGUAACCAAGGUGCAGCAACGGAGCCCAACCCUUUUAUAGCAAAGGACAUGCGUGAACGUACUCUUAUAUAAAGCAAGAGCUCCCAAGGAUAAAUGUGAAUUUCAGUAUAUCUUGAUCAUAUUGAGUUGAUUUGCAUUCGCUACUUUGAUAAUUUGAUAUGUGGGUGGACCGGUGCUAAGUGAUGUUUUUUUACUUGAACUAACAACCUACAUAUGAUUACCCCCUCUUGCAAGCAUCUGCAACUACAAAAAAAGAAUUAAGAUAAAUCUAAACAUAGCAUGAAACAUGUGAAUCCGAAUCAGCCCCUUAUGAAAAAACACAUAAACUAGGGUUUAAGUUUCUAUCACUCUCGCAACACAGUGCCAUCUCUAUCAAAAGACAUGGGUGACUAGUUAUCCAACACUGAACACUAGCAAUCAUUUGAUGCACGAUGCAUAUUACAACAAUGAAAAAAGAGAGAUAUUAGAUGGUGAGUCAAUCUAGACGAUAGUAAUCCUAGACAAAGCGCAAAGCAUCCACUAGUGGAAAAUGGGCCUUUGGCCUCUAAAGGCCCGACCACAUCGCCCCAAUUCCCAAUGCCUCCCUCGAGGCUUUAGUCCCGGCCCGUAAGGAGCCUUUUGUCCCGGUUCGUGUCCCAAACCGGGACUAAAGGGCUACGCGGUGGGCAGCCCGCAUGUGCGCCACCUUUAGUCCCGCUUUGUGUCUCAAACCGGGACUAAAGUCCUCUGCCUAUAUAUAGCACAACCCCCUCUCCCCUCUUCCUUGCAUUUUUCUUGGAUGGAGGAUUGUGGGUGGGUGCUUGCUCUCCACUUUUUUUGAUGCACUAGAGGUGUUUGUUGAAAUGUGUGUUAGAGCGAUGCCGCUUCAGUUCACCAAACACAACUACGAUAUGAGAUGCAUGAGCCACGCUUAAACCUCUUCCUCUUUAUUUCUACUUAUUCUAAAAGGUUAGCAACUAUAUUUCCUCGUUUAGACCGUGCGGUACUAAUUUUUAGGAUCGUGAUUGUAUUUGAUAUACUGUCGUAUAACACAGAUGAGCCAUCCAUGGAUGUACGGUGAUCGACGCACAUCCGCUUACAGAGAAGGCGUGCAUUCUUUUCGAGAUGCAGCCGAUGCGAACAAGCAUGGUGGUGGCUAUAUGUUUUGUCCCUGUGUUGAAUGUCGGAAUGAGAAGGAUUACACUUCCUCAAGAGUCAUUCAGAGCCACCUGCUUCGGUCCGGUUUUAUGUCGGGCUAUAAUGUUUGGACCAAGCACGGAGAAAGAGGGGUUAUGAUGGAAGACGACGAUGAAGAAGAAGAGAACGAUGAUGACAACUACCGAUCUAUGUUCCCUGAGUAUGCUGAUACCGCAAUGGAAGACAAUGAAGAAGAAGAUCAGGAUGAAGAACGGGAACCAGAUGAGCCCGCUGAUGAUCUUGGCCGGGUCAUUUCUGAUGCACGGCGAGGUUGCGACACAGAAAAGGAGAGGUUGCAGUUCGAGCAGAUGUUACAGGACCACAACAAAUUGUUGUACCCAACUUGUGAAGAUGGCCAGAAGAAGCUGGGUAGCACACUGGAAUUGCUGAAGUGGAAGGCAGAGACCGGUGUGACUGACUCGUCAUUCAAAAAGUUGCUGGUACAGAUGAAGAAGAUGCUUCCAAGAAAGAACGAAUUGCCCGCCAGCACGUACGAAGCAAAGAAGCUUGUUUGCCCUCUAGGAUUAGACGUGCAGAAGAUACAUGCAUGCCCUAAUAACUGCAUCCUCUACCGCGGUGAGAAGUACAAGAAUAUGGAUAAAUGCCCAGUAUGCACUGCAUUGCGGUAUAAGAUCAGAAAAGAUGACCCUGGUGAUAUUGAGGGCGAGCCACCCAGGAAGAGGGUUCCUGCCAAGGUGAUGUGGUAUGCUCCUAUAAUACCACGGUUGAAACGUCUGUUCAGAAAUAAAGAUCAUGCGAAGUUGUUGCGAUGGCACAUGGAAGAUCGUAUGAAAGACGAUAAGUUGAGGCACACCGCUGAUGGUCGGCAGUGGAGAAAAAUCGAGAGAAAGUUCCCGAGAUUUGCAGCUGACGCAAGGAACUUAUGGUUAGGUAUGAGUACAGAUGGCAUGAAUCCUUUUGGGGAGCAGAGUUGCAGUCACAGCACACCUGGCCCGUUACUCUAUGUGUCUACAACCUUCCUCCUUGGUUGUGCAUGAAGCGGAAGUUCAUUAUGAUACCAGUGCUUAUCCAAGGUCCAAAGCAACCCGGCAACGAUAUUGAUGUGUACCUAAGGCCAUUAGUUGAUGAACUUUUACAGUUGUGGGCCGAACCAGGUGUACGUGUGUGGGACGAGCACAAACAAGAGGAAUUUGACCUUCGAGCGUUUCUUUUCGUAACCAUCAAUGAUUGGCCUACUCUUAGUAACAUUUCAGGACAGUCAAACAAGGGAUACAAUGCAUGCACACACUGUUUGGAUCAGACAGAAAGUAUAUAUCUGGACAAAUGUAGGAAGAAUGUGUAUCCGUACAAUCGUCAUUUUCUUCCGCCCAAACAUCCCUUAAAGAAAAAAGGCAAGCAUUUCAAUGGCAAGGCAGAACCCCGGGGGAAGCCUGUCAUCCGUACUGGUGCUGAAGUAUUUGAUAUGGUCAAAGAUUUAAAGUAAUCUUUGGAAAGGGUCCUGGCAGCCAACCUGUUCCUAACGGCUCUGAUAAGAGCGUACCCAUGUGGAAGAAGAAAUCUAUAUUUUGGGAGCUACCCUACUGGGAAGUCCAUGAGGUCCGCUCGGCAAUCGACGUGAUGCACCUGACGAAGAAUCUCUGCAUGAAUAUUCUAGGCUUCCUGGGCUUGUAUGGGAAGUCAAUGUUGGAAUUAUGCCCUAGAGGCAAUAAUAAAUAUAGUUAUUAUUAUAAUUCCUGUAUCAAGAUAAUCGUUUAUUAUCCAUGCUAUAAUUGUAUUGAAUGAAGACUUAUAUACAUGUGUGGAUACAUAGACAAAACACUGUCCCUAGCAAGCCUCUAGUUGGCUAGCCAGUUGAUCCACGAUAGUCAGUGUCUUCUAAUUAUAAACAAGGUGUUGUUGCUUGAUAACUGGAUCACGUCAUUAGGAGAAUCACGUGAUGGACUAGACCCAAACUAAUAGACGUAGCAUGUUGAUCGUGUCAUUUUAGUGCUACUGUUUUCUGCGUGUCAAGUAUUUGUUCCUAUGACCAUGAGAUCAUAUAACUCACUAACACCGGAGGAAUACUUUGUGUGUAUCAAACGUCGCAACGUAACUGGGUGACUAUAAAGAUGCUCUACAGGUAUCUCCGAAGGUGUUCGUUGAGUUAGUAUGGAUCGAGACUGGGAUUUGUCACUCCGUGUGACGGAGAGGUAUCUCGGGGCCCACUCGGUAAUACAACAUCGUACACAAGCCUUGCAAGCAAUGUAACUUAGUGUAAGUUGCGGGAUCUUGUAUUACGAAACGAGUAAAGAGACUUGCCGGUAAACGAGAUUGAAAUAGGUAUAUGGAUACUGACGAUCGAAUCUCGGGCAAGUAACAUACCGAAGGACAAAGGGAAUGACAUACGAGAUUAUAUGAAUCCUUGGCACUGAGGUUCAAACGAUAAUAUCUUCGUAGAAUAUGUAGGAUCCAAUAUGGGCAUCCAGGUCCCGCUAUUGGAUAUUGAUCGAGGAGUCUCUCGGGUCAUGUCUACAUAGUUCUCGAACCCGCAGGGUCUGCACACUUAAGGUUCGACAUUAUUUUAUGCGUAUUUGAGUUAUAUGGUUGGUUACCGAAUGUUGUUCGGAGUCCCGGAUGAGAUCACGGACGUCACGAGGAUUUCCAGAAUGGUCCGAAAACGAAGAUUGAUAUAUAGGAUGACCUCAUUUGAUUACCGGAAGGUUUUCGGAGUUACCGGGAAUGUACCGGAAAUGACGAAUGGGUUCCUGGAGGUUAACCGGGGGGGGGGGGGUCAACCCACCCCGGGGAAGCCCAUAAGCAUUGAGGGUGGCGCACCAGCCCUUAGUGGGUUGGUGGGACAUCCCAAAAGAGCCCUAUGCGCAUUGGAAGAAAAAUCAAAGAGAAAAGAAAAAAAAGAAGGAGGUGGGAAAGGGAAGAAGGACUCCACCUUCCAAACCAAGUAGGACUCAGUUUGGGGGGGGGAGACCUUCCCCCCUUGGCUCGACCGACCCCUUGGGGGUCCUUGGACCCCAAGGCAAGGCUUCCCCCUCUCCCUCCUAUAUAUAGUGGGGUUUUAGGGCUGAUUUGAGACAACUUGUGCCACGGCAGCCCGACCACAUAUCUCCACGGUUUUACCUCUAGAUCGCGUUUCUGCGGAGCUCGGGCGGAGCCAUGCUGAGACGAGAUCAUCACCAACCUCCGGAGCACCGUCACGCUGCCGUUGAACUCUUCUACCUCUCCGUCUCUCUUGCUGGAUCAAGAAGGCCGAGAUCAUCGUUGAGCUGUACAUGUGCUGAACGCGGAGGUGCCGUUCGUUCGGCACUAGAUCGUGGGACUGAUCGCGGGAUAGUUCGCGGGGCGGAUCGAGGGACGUGAGGACGUUCCACUACAUCAACCGCGUUCACUAACGCUUCUGCUGUACGGUCUACAAGGGUACGUAGAUCACACAUCCCCUCUCGUAGAUGGACAUCACCAUGACAGGUCUUCGUGCGCGUAGGAAAAUUUUUGUUUCCCAUGCGACGUUCCCCAACAGUCAAAAGAUACACCGGAAGCACGGGAGGACCAGGAACGUCAUAAAGGAAGAGAUGGCAUGCAUCCAGGGCAGUUUCAAGGGCGUGCCAGCUACGCUCUUACUAAGGAAGUGAAGGAAAUCUUCUUUGAAGUCCUUUUCAGUAUCAAGGUCCCGACUGGCUUCUCGUCGAAUAUAAAGGGAAUCGUAAAUAUGAAAGACCAAAAAUUCCAAAACCUAAAGUCUCAUGACUGCCACGUGCUUAUGACGCAAUUGCUUCCGGUUGCAUUGAGGGGAAUUCUACCUGAAAAUGUUUGCCUGGCAAUUGUGAAGGUAUGUGCAUUCCUCAAUGCAAUUUCUCAGAAGGUAAUCGAUCGAGAAAGUCUAUCAGGGUUACAAAUUGAUGUGAUCCAAUGUCUGGUCAGCUUUGAGUUGUUGUUCCCGCCAUCCUUCUUCAAUAUAAUGACACACCACCUAGUUCACCUAGUCGAAGAGAUUAGAAUUCUCGGUCCUAUGUUUCUACACAAUAUGUUCCCCUUCGAGAGGUUCAUGGGAGUCUUAAAGAAAUAUGUUCGUAACCGUGCUAGGCCAGAAGGAAGCAUCUCCAAAGGCUAUGGAACAGAGGAGGUCAUUGAGUUUUGUGUGGACUUUCUUCCUGACCUUAAGCCGAUUGAUGUUCCUGAAUCUUGGUAGGUGGGUAGGCUGACAGGAAAAGGCACACUAGGAAGGAAAGCAAAAGUAUGUAUGGACGGGCAUUCUUUCUCUCAAGCACACUACACAGUUCUACACAAUUCCACCGUGGUGGCUCCGUAUAUCGUGGGACACAAGAAUAUUCUACGCUCCGAAAACCCGGGGAAGGCUGACUCUUGGAUUAAAGGGGAACACGAGAAGACUUUCGGCAGUUGGUUGCAGACACAUCUCAUGAAUGACGACACCGUUGGAGAUGAGCUGUACUGUUUGGCCAGGCCACCAUCUUCGACUAUAUGUACUUUCCAAGGGUAUGAGAUAAAUGGGAAUACAUUUUACACGGUUGCCCAAGAUAAAAAGAGCACCAACCAAAAUAGUGGUGUCCCCUUUGAUGCAACAGACGAGAAUGGGCACUGUUUGGAAACAUAUUACGGGUACAUAGAGGAGAUAUGGGAACUUGACUAUGGACCUACUUUUAAGAUCCCUUUGUUUCGGUGCAAAUGGGUGAAGCUGACAGGAGGCGGGGUAGUUGUAGACCAAAAGUACGACAUGACAACAGUGGAUCUCAACAAUCUUGCGUACAUGGACGAACCAUUUGUCCUAGCCAAUGAUGUCGCUCAGGUUUUCGAUGUGAAGGACAUGUCUACAAAAACGAGAAAAAGAAAUCAACAAAAGAAGAUAUCGUUCGAUGAGCCAAAACGCCACAUAGUUCUUUCAGGGAAAAGAAACAUCGUGGGAGUAGAUGACAAGACAGACAUGUCAGAAGAUUAUAAUAAGUUUCAUGAAAUUCCGCCCUUCAAAGUGAAAACUGACCCAAGCAUCCUACUGAAGGAUGAAGAUUCUCCAUGGCUACGACCCAGAAGAAAACAGAAAUAAUAGAUAGGAAUAUUGGUGCAAUAAUGUAAUAAUGUAUUAAACCUUUUAUGUAAUGCAUGUAUGGAAUGUACUAAAUUUCAAACACUUCUCAUUUUCAUAGUAUCCAUGUAAGAGAUGAGUUCUCGUUCGAAACCCUGAUACUUCGAGAGAGAUUGUCCGUUUUGUACACGAAGUGCAUCCAGUUUUUGUCGUAGCCCUCUCAACUUUUUAACACAUGCUAUGCGGGUGAAAUGAUGAUAGCAUGCCAACUUUCAACAUUUUCAGAGUUCAUUUGUAAUGCUUUUCAAUUUCAGGGUCAACUAGCUCAAAAAAAAUAAGUAAAUGCACGAAAUAUACCAAAUGAAGUCAGAAAUUGUUGAAAUUUUGUGAUGUGCCUUUGAAUGGUGCAUUUUGAACACACAAAAAGUAUGGAGUUCAAAUAAGUUCAAAAAAAAUGAAAUCCCUUUGUAAGAGAUGAGUUCUCGUUCGAAACCCUGAUACUUCGAGAGAGAUUGUCCGUUUUGUACACGAAGUGCAUCCAGUUUUUGUCGUAGCCCUCUCAACUUUUUAACACAUGCUAUGUGGGUGAAAUGAUGAUAGCAUGCCAACUUUCAACAUUUUCAGAGUUCAUUUGUACUGCUUUUCAAUUUCAGGGUCAACUAGCUCAAAAAACCCAUUGCAGAACAUAUGACCAAAUUAAUACAAGUUCAUCAUCACAUUAAAGCCAAAGAACAGUAGUGAUCAAUUGUUAUUAUUGCAAAAAAUAAAUACAUAAAGUUCUCUCAUAAAACAACAUACAACUAUGUAAAACAUUUAAAUGCAACAACAAACGCGAUCAAAAUCACAACUAAGGUAACAAUUGACCGAACAGCAUAAUGAUACCAAGCCUCUUUAUCAAUGGCAUAUUUUCUAAUAUUCCUAAUCUUCAAGCGCAUUUCAUCCAUCUUCAAGCGCAUUGCAUCCAUCUUCAACCACAUCGCAUCGAUCUUCAUCUUGCGAUCAUCGAUGACAUCGGCGACAUGCAACUCCAGUUCCAUAUUCUUAUCCUCAAUUAUUUUCAAUUUUUUCUUCAAGUAUUUGUUUUCUUUUUCAACCAAAUUUAACUUCUCGACAAGAAUUUUUAUGUGGGUUGGAAUUUCCGGUUCACAUACCUCCUAGAUUAAAAAAAUAUAUGUCACAUUGGUCGUCAUAAUUGUCAUAAACACUAAAUAAAACAAAUAGUUAUAAAAGAUAAUAUAUACUACAUCCGAAUCAUAGACAGGACGAGGGCCGACGGAGGCGGAUACCAAAACCAUCGCACUAUAUAAUAACAAGGAGAAGAAAGGAAGAUAAGAACAAGAGGCUCACCACGGUGGUGCUUGCGACGAGAUCGGCACGGGGCGAUCGACAAUGGUGAGGACGGGCACGGGACGACACCCUACGCAUGUGCAGACUCUAAGAAGUUAAUCUGAGCAUUUGAAAUGAGCUACACUAGUAGUGACAAAUGAAAGGAUGAAGUAGCUAACCUUUAAAAACACUUGUGCAGUUGGUGCACGACCAAACCUAGACAAAUAUUAAGGAAAAUGGAGCUUGGAGGUCGAGCUUGGAGAGGAGAAAGCUUAAGUAGAGUGGCUCGGGCAUUUCAUCAAACACGUCAUGUGCAUGAACUAGAGUGGCAAGAGCAUGGCAUGGUCACACUUCAACAACCAAAAAACAGGGGAUAUGGUGGGCAGGGGUGAGGGUUUAUAUAGGCAACACUUUUUUCCCGGUUCUUGCCACGCCCCGGGACUAAAGGCCCCAACUUCCCGCCUUCUGGUCUGCCGAAAAAGGGCCUUUAGUCCCGGGUCGUGGCUCCACCCGGGACUAAAGANNNNNNNNNNNNNNNNNNNNNNNNNNNNNNNNNNNNNNNNNNNNNNNNNNNNNNNNNNNNNNNNNNNNNNNNNNNNNNNNNNNNNNNNNNNNNNNNNNNNGUCGCCCGAACACUCAUCACCUCACCAAAAUUUACUGUUCCUUGUCUAUCACUGACCCACACCCACUCAGACCAGAACACAACGGUGGCUCAAGAGCAACUCCAACCGGCUCAUUUAAACGGAUGAUGAUUUUGUUUUUUUUUUAAUCUGUUUGAAUCAUUCAUUGGUUUUGUGUCCGUUUGGUCUAUGAUUUAGGUCGGCAGCACAUUCUGAAGCAAAUGAAAUAGCAUAGUUUAGGGGCUAGCCGUCAGUUACGAACAUUUUGCAUUUUUUCAGAAGCAAAUGAAAUAGCAUAGUUUCACAAAGUUUUACAAUACAAAUAAAAAUUGUCUAAAAGAUACACCUAUUGGUUGCCAACAUAAUCCCACGUAGGCUCAACCAAAUCAUCUUGUAAGUGAAUAUAAGUUUUCCAAUAACGCAAUUCAUGAUGAAAUUGGAUAAACUGUGCAAACGAUCCCGCUUCUCCGCCAUGCCGAGGCACCACAUUGUCGUCCUGAAACUCAGACCCUUGAUUGUCAAGACGUUUCGGACGCUCAUCCUCUACGAUCAUAUCGUGUAUGAUCACACAAGCAGUCGUCACUUUCCAUAACUUCUUGGUGCUCCAAGUUCUAGCAGGAUACCUAACUAUGCCCCAUCGAGAUUGCAGAACACCAAAGGCAUGCUCGACAUCCUUCCUAGCACUCUCUUGCUCUUGGGCAAAUUUUUUUCCUCUUCUCUCCGACAGGGCUGGAGAUUAUCUUCACAAUAGUGAUCCACUGUGGAUAGAUUCCGUCAGCUAGAUAAUAUCCUUUGUUGUAAUUGUGACCGUUGAUGUUAACAUUGACUGGCGGGAUGUUGCCUUCGGCAAGCCAUGCAAACACCAGCGAUCGUUUAAGCACGUUGAUAUCAUUGUGCGAUCCGACCAUGCCAAAGAAAGAGUGCCAGAUCCAGAGAUCUUGAGAUGCCACGGCCUCAAGUAUGAUAGUGCAACCCUUGACAUGGCCCUUGUACUGGCCUUGUCAAGCAGAAGAACAGUUCUUCCACUCCUAGUGCAUGCAGUCUAUGCUGCCAAGCAUCCCUGGGAAGCCUCAGCUAGCAUUGGUCGCCAACAAGCGGGUUGUGUCUGCAGCAACCGGCUCGCUCAAGUACUCAGGGCCAAACAGUGCAAUCACAGCCUUGCAGAAUCUGUACAACGACUCUAGGCACGUAGACUCACUCAUACGGACAUACUCAUCGAUAAGAUCACCGGGUACUCCGUAAGCAAGCAUCCAGAUAGCUGCAGUGCAUUUCUGAUAAGAUGAGAAGCCAAUAUUUCCAAUGGCAUCCUCUUUGCACUCGAAGUAGUCGUCGUAUCCAACAACCCCCUCUCGAAUUCGGUUGAAAACAUGCCUAGCCAAAUUUCUGAUGUUUGAACAACGGAUUACUUGUGUCAAAGUAGUCAUUCCAUAGCAGGAAAUGACCGCUCUCUCGGUUGUGAUUCAACACACGAACAUGCCCCGGAAUCGAGCCCCGGAACAACGGCCUCUACCUAUUAAGGUGGUCAUGGACCAACACGGCAAGCAGCAUCUCCUCAUCGUCGGAUGAGGAACCGUCGGAGUCGCACGAACAUUAUGGAAAAAGAACUCGUCAACGCACUCCAUUUGUACCUUGAGGCAAAUUGUCAAACAUCUUGCGGGCAUGGACGACAAAGUUGACCGGCGGUGGCGGAUCGGGGUCGGGGAAGCUGCGGUGGCCUGGCGGCGAUGCGGCCGAUGGCGUUGUUAGGCGCUGGGCAGGUACGGGAGGAGGCACCGGAACUGUGCAGCGGUAGCGACGAGCUGGGGGCGAGGCGAGGGCUAGCUAUCGGCGUUGUCAGUAAGGGUGGAGAACGACCAAUGUGCCACCGACUCGCGGGACACGAGAUGAAGUAGGCGCACGUCAUAUGCGUCCGCUUUAUAUAUGCGUCGUCCCAAGUCAGGCUUAAAAUUGGGCUGGAAUAGGAUCGUCAGGCGGACGAAAAGCGGAUGGGCGUCCGUUUGGGUAGGCGCGUUGGGCCGACUUUUAUGUCCGCACGGACCCAAACGGACGACGGCAGAUGAAAUGGAUCGCCCUGAUUUUUUAGAAAAGGAGGUUAAACCCCCCGCCUCUGCAUCAAUCGAUGCAUGCAGUCAUCCUUAUUAAUUAUUCCAAAAAGGUUUAACAAGAACAUACAUCAAUCCACCCGAAGCCACCACUCACCCCUACAAACUGUAUAAUAUGAAGUGCUCUCACUCCUCAUAACUAAAAUCAGUGUUGUCGCCAAUCCAUCCACGUAACGAAUAGGACCAACAGCCGAUGCAGUAGACGACGCCAUCAUCUUUGGACUACUGACCCAUCUUCUGGAAAGAGAUCUGCAUCAUCCUUGCCAGUCCAUACAUCCGUCGAAGCCACCACGGUGCCCAACAACACUACUGUCCUGCGCUCAUCCGUCUAGACGUGAAGACUCUGGAAGAACUGUCGUGCGUAGCACCUACCAACGAGGCAUGACUUAGCGUAGCACGUGUUAGCCAGGCAUGACUUGGCCGCUCCACCAAAGCUUCGUGUAAGAUGAAGCCGCGCCACCUCCUGCCUCUGUCAUCCAACGCUGCUUCACAAACGAUGUUCCCAAGAGAAAACAGCACCAGAGUACCGCCAUUGUCCGAUCUGGAAGACCAGAUCCUAGGGUUUCCCCCGAAGCAGUGCCCACCACCCGCAACCGACAAGGAUCCACAUAGUGCCUACCACCACCCAGCCCUCAAGGUGACGCCUUCAGGAAGGUCCCGACGUCAAAGACGCCGCAGCCGCCCACCGGAGUUAGGAUUUUCACCCGAGGACAAGUAGGAGGGAAGUAGAGGAGCAGACAUAGACCGACGUCUCCAAGAAGAAAAGCGGCGCCCUCGAGCGUCGUCGUCGGUGCGACUGGGAAAGGCCGACCAAGAGUUUCCCCCAAUCUAAAUCUCCUUCACCAGCUUCACACGUAGUCACAUCCCAAGGUCCCAACAAGCCAAGCCAGCACCGCCAGGAACCUCUACCCCCGCACCCCGUCGUCAAGUCCGGUCACUGUGCUGCGACCACACCGACAACUAGCACAACCACCACGGGCUGCCACACCGCGAAGAUCAGAAGCAGAGCCAGCUAGAGCCAACGUCCCAGUCCGAGCCAGCCACCUCCGCCUGGGACCAGCCCCGCGCCACCCUUGUCGCCGGAGAUCUGAUCUGACCUCGCCAGAUCGGGGCCGCGGACACCACGGGCAUGCCCGAGGUAGCCCUCCACGCCGUCACCAGGGCCACAACAAACGUGGAGCCCCGUCGUCGCCGCCCUAGCAUGCGCCGUCGCGCCCUGCCACGAGCGCGCCGCCACCCGCUGAGAAGACCACCCGCGCAGUUCCCGUCAGCAGUGACAAGGAGGAGAGGAGGAGGUGGGCGCGGGGGCGGCAGCGCUAGGGUUCCCCGUCGAUCGCCACGGAAGCGACGCGAGGGGAGUACACGAGAAUAAUUAAUCACCCCGUUGGAGUUGCUCUAAAACCCUCCCCUGGAUCUCGUUCUUCUCGCCCACCCCUGCUGUGCAUCAACACUGCCUACGCGGCCACAACUCCAUUGUGAGCCGCAUCCGCCCAUUCUCCCACUUCUACCGGUACCAAAUUCUCUCGGACAGGACCGAAACAUCUCUAUGUAAAUCAAGAUCUACGCAUAUUCUCUUGUUGUUCCUAGAUCUACCAUCCAUAAUUUAUAAUUUGAUUUUGCACACCGAAUUGCAAUUCCACUCCAAUAUCUACUAGUCAAAUCCCAUAAACGUCGUUCAUCUUUUUAUCUUCACUUUAAAUUAGCUCCCUCCGUUUUUUGCUCCAAACUCCACCCAUUCAACAGAUUUUCACCAGAUGGGGAAAGCAGAACAUAAUAAACUCGAUAUAGAAGUAGUGCUGCAGUCCUGCUUUGGUGGCAACCACCUACAAACUGAGUCGAUGUCUUCAUGGCACGCCCUGGACGAACCUGAUGAACAGAGCAUCAUGAACGUACGGAGAUCCAACACCGAACUCAGGCGCAGCUACCCCGUGGGGGAUUUGACUGGCAGUCAACCUGCCCAAUCGCCAGAUUAGAAGCCGACAAUAAAAUAAAAACAAACUAUGUUCGAAUAUGUACACAGCACGCAGCUCCUCCUUUAAACAAUUCCGUCGAGGCAAAUCAAGCUGUGGUUGGAUGAUUUAUGUUAGGUCGACAUGGCAAGUAGCAACAACACCAUCUUAAUUAUUUAUUUUGAUGACAACAAAACAAUUAACUAGAGAAAGAUCUAAACCGAUCCCUCAGUGACACCUAACUCGAUUACGCCAGGCAGACGAAGCAGGUCAGUUGCCUCCAAGAUUGAUGUGCUAACCUAACUAACCUAGUGCAAAUUAAGACGUGUACUCUGUCCCAUUAAUCUAUCAAUUGCUCUCUUGGCACUAUAUAUGACUCGACUGAUAAAAAAGUGAACAGCUAGCAUAGAUAGACACUAAUAUUAAUAUCAUACUCCAAUGGAAUAAGAUUUCUAAGUCAAAAGGAAAAUAUCUAGCUAUUUGCUGCAUGUGCGUGUGCCAUGCCUCUGCUAGCUACGGUUUUGCAAGAGUGCGUAGAAGCACAACCAACAAUGUAACUUCUGUUCUCAUUUGUACUCAAUCAAAUUCAAAUUCUAAUUUAGUACACAAAAUACUGACCGGAUAGAUCGACCGGUUGACCAAAUAUCAAGAUACGGAAUACCAACUCAGUUGGCCUGAAUUAUUAUCUAUAUAUUGCUAUCAUCGUCCCUGGAAUUGCAACGGAUCAAAUGACCCAUCAUCGGUUGAUGUGUAUAUGUAUAUAUUCUGCAAGCACAAUAAUUCAUUCGAGGUUUGGACUGAUCACCUAUUGGUGGAUCACUCAUGCAAAAAUGAUAUGGCAUAUGUGUGGUGUGGCCCCUUCAGUAUGUUGGUAUUUGCCCAUGCAUCGAUCAUAUCAAAUCGUGACAACUUGCAGACACAAAAACGUUAGCCAAAGGCAUGUGUACAGUGCCUCUCUUCUCUUCAUUUGUUUUUCUAUUUCUCUCCGACGUUCUUGACAUUUUUGUCUACCGCACUUCUCCUGUAUUGGCUUGUUGAUGAUUAUCCAUUGUGGACUCAACUGCCUGCACCAUGAUAAGUCAAAUUGUUGGCAAGAUUAUUUGGAACAAUCUUUCCUUCAAUUUUGACUUAGCAAAUUUAUGGACCCCUCAAAUAUGUCUUGGACUGCCCAACCUCGCUAGAAAACUUAUGAAAUACACCAUCCUGUGGAGUACACCAUCCACCGUACCCUAUCUCUAUACAUGUCAGCUCCUUAUAGCUCACACCACCCCGUGCACCACCAUCCACUUCAGCAUCAUGCAGAGACAUGGUCUCAUUGAAGACACUCGGCUUCACGGGUUUACCGCCCACACAUACUUAAAAUUGGCCCUUUUGUCAAGACACAUACACGACCUGGACACACAUUGUUAGAGAUAAUUUUAUCUAGUUUAUUAGUUUGCAUAAGUCACAGAAUCUACAAUGAGACAUGAUCAGAGGAGCAUAGAAGAUUCAAGUCAAAUAUUUUGGAGAGAAUGAUAGCAAUAAUCUUGCCUUAAUGCAAAAAAUGUAUGUAGGAUUAGUACUAGCACCAGCUUAAGUUGAGUUUGAAUUACGAUUUAAGCGUGAGUCCUAGUUCGAAUAGGUUUGCUGGGCAAACGAGUUGGUUGGAUAGGUUAUAUAUAGAGGGAGAAUAUGCUUGUUAUUCGUAUCAGAUUGUACCUUGGAGAAAAAGAGAAGAGAUUAAGGAGAAGAAAAGAGGACACAACACGGGACCUGGGCUACCAGUUUCUUGUACAUCGGAAACAUGGCCUCUACUAGGGAAAGUUCCAUCUGAGUGAGACGAGAACUCAGGUCAUCAUGUUCAUGUACCUUGUCGUCGAUGAAGCGGGCGGUGGGGCGGUUGUAGGGGUCGGUCGUGAGAAGCGCCGGCCCGUCAAAGGCCUCGUCAACGUACUCGACGAUGAUGAGGUAUUCGCAGACGACGCGGUCGCCGUGGAGGAGCACGGGCACCUUCUUGUGGACGGGGUUGCUCGAUCGUGAGCAGCAGCUCGCUCUUGUUGUGGAGCUCCUCCAAGAUGAGCUCGUAGGGAACGCCCUUAAGGCGCAGGGCAACCUCGGCGCGAUGGCUGAACGGGCUGUCGAAAGCGCCGAUCACCUUGACAGGCGCCGGCACGCUCAUCUUGGCUUUGCUGGAAGUCAGGUUCAGAUAGUUGGUGAGAUUGUGAGGUCUCUGCGUAAUGGCCGGUGACUUUGUCGUAUCUUAUAGCGCUUGGAUAUUGGACUGGCUUAAUGUCGAGGGUGUUUUAAUCGAGUUGGUACUGAAACUUCUUCGGGAAGAACAGAUUUUUUUUGUUUUGUUUCCCAAGCUCAAGUCAAAUGUUGCUGUCUUUUCGAGAAGCUUCCAUGUUGCUUCGCUCCAAACAGAGUGACGGAUAAAAUAAUUUAGAGUCAAUUACGUUAUAAGUGUCUAAACUUGUGAAGAAAAUUUAAUUUGGUGUUGAAACUUGUGACGUAUCUUGAUCUGCUUGUAAAACUUGACUUGGUUAUUCAUAUACGGUCAAAAUCACGUUUGGAUUGUUCGCAGCUGAACGGCGCGGGCAGAGGCCUGUCGCCUGUUUAUUUGCGGGCAGACACCAUGCGGCUGAAUAUGCAAACAACUGGCAACCGCGUAUUUUUUGCAUCUCUUCACAACUGGAAACUGGCAAAAUUCAGUUCCUUUAAGUAUAAAUUCGGAGAUGUCAUAUGUAGUUUAUAGUAGCAAAAUUUCAGAAAAUACAAUUGUUGCGAGAAAUACAAUAUAAAUUCAGAGAUGUUCAUACAAUUGUUGUAAGUAACACAGUAUAAAUUCACUUCCUCUAAGUAUAAAUUCAGUAAUACAAUUUUUUAGCAGUUUAUGACUGAAGUUCAUACAUGAACUUGUGAUUGCAUCCAGGUCACUCAUGAACUAAUUCAUUUCUCAUUGUGAUUUAUAAGGUUUGGAAGUCAUCAACCGACUCUUCUUCUGUUGCAUUUUUUGUGACUGCCUCCUCUUGUUCUUCAACAUAAUAACAUUUCAUGAACGAAGCGGCAUUUUAUUCGAGUGAAGGGGCAUCUUCUUCUUUUCACUAUUUUCAUUUUCAAUAGGAAAAAUAAUAAUAUUAUUAAUGAUAGUCUAUUACAUAUCAAUAAGUCUAUGAGCAGCUACCUAUCUAUUUUUUCAACUUAAGGAGCCUCCCGCUCCGAAUUUUACUGCAUUAAUAAUGAAACUUGCCCUUCGGCAUGGCAUGUUAUAAUCAGUUAUAAUUAUGUUUAAAGUUUGUUGAGAACCAAACACUAACAUAAGGACUGCAUCUCUAUUAUCAAAGGGAAACACUUAUAUACAGUAGUCUGAUAGAAAACAUUCCUCACACGGGUCCUGCUCCGUUGAUACUCUUUUAAUCACACGGUCUAUAUUCUAGGCGAACAACCCGAGUUAAUCCGAUCUGAGGAAAUCUCGCCCCCGAGUUAAUCUAGCCUGCCACCCCAUCCACCUUACCCCGUCUCGCAUCUCCCGGGAGAGCGCAGCCCUGAGAUCGCCGAGCUCCAUCACCGCGUGGGCUACCUCCGCCACCAACCUGCUAUACACCAGCAACUCCCGACGGAUACAACUGAUGCACACGCUGGUGCAGCGUCCCGUCCAAGUUCCUUCGUCAAACGCUGCUCUCACCGCCGGCCGCGUCACCUUCGUCACUGGUCUGGUUCCCCGCCGGAGCCUGGCCUAUCAUCAAACCCUACCACACCGCCCUGCUAUGCCUUGGCUCGGCAAAUAAGUUGCACUGCGGUAACAAAAAUUAGGUAUGAUUCACUUUUGAUAUGUUGAUUUGAUUUGCGUUACUUUGGAUGCAAUGCUUGCUUCAAUGAAUUUUGUGAGUGUACCUUGAUGUGUAAUGGAUCACUAUGUCAUUUGACAAUUUUGGUUAAUCUCUUAUGCAGAUCACAAUAAUAUGAUUCUCAAUCAUGGCGAAAAUUUUAGUUUUUGACAUGAUUUCAGAAUUCCAUGCUUCCAUCCAAGUUUACUGUGCACCCAAACUAAUAUGUUCGUGCUUCUUAGUUCUGUAGUGUGCCUCCAAAGUUCCAAUGCGCAGAUGUUCUCGAACAGGUGGGUCAUACUAUGAAAUCAAUUUUUUAUGUUGGCCAGUGAUCUUAAAUAUGUAGAGAUAGUAUAAAAUUAUUGCUUCUUCUAACCUACGCUGCGUGCUUUUGACAUACAGAUGUCUUGUAGCACAACAUCCAUGUUUCUUUAUUCGGUAUAUGUGCUUCUAUGGUACAGAGUUUCUAUUGCUACAUAAUCCCUUUAUUUCUUAUCUAUGUCACCAAUACAUGUCACGUGUGUGAAUUUUUUUUCCAGAAAUAAUGCAUACAUAUUUUCACAUAUGCAAAGAGACAACAUUUAGGAUUCUUUUUUUCUUCAGAUAUCCAUGCUUCCAAUCAUUAGUAUUUAUGUAACUACACCUUGUUGUUCACCCUUUUUAACCAUUUGCGAUUUUACACUGUAAUAUGUAUAUGCUUCAUAAUUGUAUGCAUCUCGACCUUUAUCAUAAUAUUACUUUUCGUUCAUUUUUCAAAUUUCCAUGCUUCCAUCGCAAGUUACCAUGUCCAUGUGCUUCUUUUUAUGCAGCAUCCAAAUGGCAAUAUAGAUGCUUCUGAACAAUAUACAAUCUAAAUCAUCUGAAGCAGAGUGCAUGCCGAAGUUCCGAUAGGUUGUCAUUUGUUUGCUUCCGAUAGGCCUCGCAUGUGUUGUGAUUGCAAGAUUUUUUUUCCCUAUAGACAUUUGAUACUUAAUUUUUAUCCAAAAGUGCUUGUACGUGUAGAUGGAUUGGCAGUACAACUACACUUUUCAGGUUUGGCAUCUCUCCUUUCUAUUCUGUUGAAUUACUUGGAAUGAUCCCACAAAUAUUCAUGCUUCUGCACUUCAUAGAGUUUCCGACAUUUAAACCAUGCUUGACGUCAGAUAGCAUGAAAUUGAUACUCUCAAAUACCAAUGCUUCCCGUGUUGUACUUCAAUCCAGAACUUCAGAUAGGUUGUGUCGAAUGUUCACAAUUAGCUUGACAAAUUUGUUUUUUACCUAGAAGUAGGUGAUUGCACUUAAAAAACAAGUAUGUGCUUCCUUGUUUCCCGCAUAUUGCUUCCUUUGAAUAGAAACCUGCAAUAAAAUCCGAAUGUGCUUCUUUGUUGCCAACAAGAUGUCAACGAUGUUGCAAUGAAGUUAAGUGCGCUAUAACCGAGACAAACCAGGCAUUGCUCUAAGUUGUCGGUUGUACUGGAACUGCAAUGACAAUGGAGAGCUCUAGGCACACACGGAUCUUGCCCAUGACCAUCUUGUAAAAAGUUGUGUUGAAAUAUGAUUUUAUAUAGUUGCAAAAAAGUGUUGUAAUAUUUUUUUCUGUGUCUUAUUAAAUUUGUUUCAACCCUUGAUCACUAUAUUUAUGAUUCCCCAUGUUUUCUUUGCUAAAAAGUCUCCGUUAUACAAGAAAAAAAGUUUCCUUGACACAAAAAGAAGUUUUCAAAUCUUCUACAAACAUAAGAUAGAUCAAAACCUUCUCUUGAACAAUAUUUUUCCAUCGCACUACAAAGUAUAUUCUACCAUAAGUUAAAGGGAAUGCUUCCAUGACACAAAAGCCCAUUGUCGCAUAAAAAUAAGUCUCGGAGAAAAACUUUGUUAUUGUAUUGGCUUUCGCCUUAUUUGAAAUGUAUGCUUCCAUCGGUUCAAAGUAAUGUCAUCAUUGCAAAAAGAUGCACAUUAUCUUCUGUACUUAGUGGAAACGAGGCCCAUGCGUGCAAAAAAAAGCCCCACAGGGUCCAUGCAUGCAUAGUUAUUAGCAUGCAGCAGCCAAUUAAUGCUUCAAUCCUGAAAUCAUGCGUGAGACUUUCCUAGUUAAUCUGACGACUAGCAUGCAAUGAAUCGUAGGGCUAUGGACUGGUCUGAUAAGAAGGAACCAUUAGUAGUCUGAUGUCUAGUGUUGUAAUGCUUUUUUGACUCAGACCAUACAACAAUUUAUAACACUGGUUAAAUAUAUAUCACCAAUUUACUAUCCCAAAAUCUUGUGUCUCAAAAAAUAAUACAUAAAAAUAACACAUGUCUCAAAAUAAGUAUUAGUUAAGCUACACCAACCUGUUAUAUAUUUAGACUAAACUCUUUUAACUCUUAAUAUUUAUAAUUUGUUUUUCUAAGAUAUAAUCUUUUGUUAGAUUUUAGACAAAUUAGUUUUUGACCAUCAUAGUUUUCUACUAAACUUAGCAUGUUUCUAACCAUAUUGCUAAAUAUUAAGAUAUACAAUAUUUGUACGAAGAGUUGUAGUUUAUUUUUAUUUUUGAGACGUGCAUUUCUUCUGUUAACCUAACUAAUGUAGAUCUGAUAAAAUAUAUGUGAACACAAACUUUAAGUCUCCAUAGACUAAUUUAUGCCUCUUACAUUAAUUACACAUCUAUAUUGUCAUUUGCGUCUAUUAUAGUUUCCAUAUAUAUAUAUCAAGGCAGAGAGCUAUCACCAAGGUUUCUAGAAUGUUUGCUUGACUAUUUUGCGUGCGAGUAAAUAAAUAGUAAUAAUAAUUACCUAGUAUUAAAUAGAAAAAUAGUGUGAUUUUUUCAAUAAAAGUUGCAUUGCCUCUUUGCUGCUUUUUGUCUAACCAAUUUUUUUCAUUUCGUCGGUUCAGUAAGGAUCACUAGUGGGGACGGGGCCUUUAGCCCCGGCCCGUAAGGGGCUUUAGUCCCGGUUCACCAACCGGGACUAAAGGGGCGGGACUAAAGGCCUAACCUUUAGUCCCGGUCCUGUUACAAGCCGGGUUUAAAGGUGCUCCACGUGGGCGCCUCGUAGCGCCCCAGGGGCAGGACCUUUAGUCCCGGUUCGUUACACGGGCCGGGACUAAAGAGUUUCAGAUUUUGCUUAUUUUCGGGUUUUUUUUAAUGAAAUUAUUUUUGGGUUUUUGGUUUUAGGGUUUAGGUGUUCGGGAGAUUAACGUGAUGCCUCGUUUGGUGUUCGGGAAUUAGUUUUCAUAUAAUUUAAAUAGAAAUAAUUAUGCAUAUAUAUAUAUAAGGUUAACUUAUCUUACAAGCGAGCAUAUAUAUACAAUUAUAUGGAGAUCUGAAUUAUCGGGACUAGAGCCCAUCUAUUCGAUUACAUGGACGAACAUGAGUAAUGGCCCCUAGCUACACUAAAUCGUCAUUUGUCAUCUAUAGCUUCUGUCCUCAGAAAGGUCGCAAGCUCCUCUGCAACAGCAAUCGCACGUUGCUCUGGUAGGACCUUCGUCGUCAUGGCCGUGUGCUAUAUAAGAAGAGGAGAUGAAUAUGAAUAUCAAUCAUGAUAACAAAGAAUGACGGGUAAAAAUAGAGGUGUGAAUGUUCAUUGCUUACGUCGAAUCUGUGAUCCUUGUGCUCAGAGGUAAACGUGCGAAUGGUCUCGCAAACAUAGUAUCCACAUAGAUGCGUUCCACGUGGCUGCUGGUCGCACUUUACGAGAAUAGAAUAUAUAUAAUUAAAAUAAUAAUCUAGCAUCAUAAAUGUAUUGAAAAUAGAAGUAUAUCAUACUACUACUUACCUGAGCCGCUCUAAAGGUCAGCUUCUCAUGCUCGAUACCGGGAGUCACGCACUUGAACCGCUUCCAAACCCUGCCCGACAAGGAUAAUGAUGUGCUAAGUUUUUCAUUAAUURAUAUAUCAKAAAAUCAUCGAAAGAGACCGAUAGAGCGCAAGAAUGAUUAAAAUUACCCUUGGAGCAUGUCCUGCAGGCUUUGGAACUGUUCCAAGGGUCUCGAUAAUGGGUCGAAGGCAUCAACUCUUCCUUUACCAAUUUGAAUGUCCAACAGAAUCCAAUGAAAGUUGCACAUGUAUAUAUAUAUAUAUCUCUGUGUGUGUGUGUGUGUGAGUAACUUAUCAAUUACACUUAUAAGUGAAUGGACACAACAGAGUAAAGACCCUCACCUGAAGUUGUAUGGAAACAGUAUGUGGUCACAAAAAUUUUGAUCUCUUAGAAACCUUAGAAGGUUUUCCUCCGUCUCCUUGGGAUAAUUAGUUAGCGUUGCUAUAUGUAUUUUAUCUGGAUCAAUAAACCCAAUAUUUAGGAUGCUCUUACUUUUACACUCCAGAAUCUUCAUUCUGCAUAAUAGAGUACAAGUUAUAUAUAGACAAUGAAUUGAAAUAACUAAACAAGUUAUAUGUAGACAACGAAUUGAAAAACUUACAGACAAUAGCAACUCAUAAGCGAUUUGUCGAGGGCGUCGUCAUUGUACAUCUGGAAGAGUUCAUCAAAGUCGAUAUGGAUUUCUUUGGAGCGGCCGUAGUACUCCUGUGGGACACUCAGCACGAUCAUCGUUCUCCCAUUCUUUGAUUCACUUAAGUACCAUUUAUGCAAGUAACGCAUAUUUCUUGGGAGAUCAUCUUUGCUGACCAAAGGCUCUCCCAUGACAAACUGUGGCUUAGGGGCUACCACGGCCUUGGGUAUCCUGUCGUCUUGGGAAGCCAACAAAUUUUGAACCAAGAUACCACAUUCAUCCGCCAACUCCUUUGCUUUUUCAAAAGCUUGCCCCUGCACCGGAGGGGGAACAUUCUCGGUUAACACCUUGAGGGGUGGGAUCGACUGUUUGGCCUGUUGUCCAAGCUGAGGAACGUCUGAUUUUUUCUUGCUUGUAGUUGAACUUGAUUUGCUCCCACUUGCACUUGCAUGUGACCUGCUCUUUUUCACUUCCUUCUACAAUGUGCGUGUAUAGUCAUCAGGCUUAUAGUGUAAGUCAUACUGUAAUGGAGUGGUUAUGAAGUCUUUUGCCCAUGCUAUGUUCUUCUCGGUGUAUUUCGGGCGGGGCUCGGGUUCCUUCCUUUUCAUCUACGCAUCAUGAUGUUCCUUUGCUAUCCUGGCGUUUUCCUCGGGGGUACGAUCAUAAGGUCUGAUAGGAAGAUUUCUGCAUAGUAUUCAAAGUAGGAGUACUUUUCCAAUUUGAGCAUUCAAUAAGAAAAACCAAAUCGUAAAAUAAAGUAGUAUUCAAAUUUGAGCAUGCAUUCAAUUAUAAGCUAAUACAUCAUCACUUUUGUCCGUACAUCGUCGAAUAUUAUCAUUAAUACUCCUAGAAUACUAUCAUACAUAUAGCAUCACUAAUACAUCUAGAACCGUAGCGCUCGACGGGUAUCGGCGCGGGCGGUGGACACCCAAAGAGAAGGAACCAUCACAGGAUCAUAGCUCCAGUGAGAUCCCCGAAGAACCUGCCAGGUAUGCUCCAACCUGCCCUCCAACGCAACCAUGUAGCGAUGGACGUGCUCAUCCUCCUCGCUGACACGGUGACGUACCACCUCCGCGGUGUCCGGAAGCCUCGACACCCUCACUGGCCCACGCGACCGCCACCAAACAAGGAUCGGGUCAACGACGGGCUGGCUCCUCACCAACCUACGCCCCCCGGUAGGUAGCACCUCCCAAUACCAGCCGGGCGGAGCCCAGUCCCGGACAGGGCCCCUCUGAUCAAGCAGGUGUCCUCCGCCGAGUCGACGACGAGGAUGCGGGAUAGGCAUCGUAAAAUGAACUAAAAAAUAAACUAGUUCUAUUAAUUUUUUUGCUAAAAAUAAACUAUUAACACUUAAGCAUAUACAAUAGCAAAAUUAAACUAUUAACACUUAUUUUCAUUUUUCUUCUCCUCCUCUUCUUUCUUCUCUUCUCCUCCUCUUCUUUUCUUCUCUUCUCCUCCUCUUCUUUUCUUCUUUUCUUAUACACUAUACACUAUAUAUACUACAGCAAAAUUCCUCCUCUCCUUAUACACUAUACAAUAUAUACACUAUAUACUUAAGCAUAUACACUAUACAAUAUACACUUUUUCUUCUUUUCUUCUCCUCCUCUUCUUAUUUUCAUUUUUCCUAAUCUUAUUUUCUUAUUUUUGUUCAUAUUUCUUCUUCUUGUAACCCUAACCUAAUUCUAAAUAUUACUAACCCUAAUAAUCUAGCACAAACCUAAUAACAAUAGGAAUUAAAUGACAAAAAAAAUCUUUUCUUUUUCUUAUUUUCUUCUCCUUUUUCUUCUUUUCUUCUCCUUUUUCUUCCUUUCUUCUCCUUUUUCUUAUUCUCUUCUCCUUUUUCUUCUUUUCUUCUAUACUGGCCAGAGUGUUGGGGAGGAGGGGCGGGGGACUUACUGGCCGGAGUGUUGGUGAGGAGGACGGCGCGGAGGACGGCACGACGGCGAGGAGGACGGCGCGGCGGCGAGGAGGACGACCGAUGGCGAGCAGGACGGCGGGCAGCCUGACGGCGUCGGUUAGUUCGUCGUUGUGCCGCGCCGGGCAGGAGAACGAGAGGAAGAAGAAGAGAAAUGGACGAAUUGGGUUGGAAAUUUUCGAAGUCCUGCUUAUAUAGGUGGAUCUAUAGUCCCGGUGCGUGGCUCGGGCUGGGACUAAAGACCCCCUUUACUCCCGGGUGGAGCCACGCGCCGGGACUAAAGGCCUCUUUUCGGGCACACCAAGAGGCGGGAAGCAGGGAGUCUUUAGUCCCGGGGCGUGGCUCCAACCGGGACUAAAGGGGGUCUUUAGUCCCGGGGCGUGGCUCCACCCGGGACUAAAGCCCCUCCUCGGCUGCACGAUAAGUUUAGUCCCACCUCGCCCAGCGAGGGGGACUAACACUUGUUUAUAAGCCCCCUCGCAGCUUGUCCAUCGAGCUCCUCUCUAAAGCAGGCUUACGGGCCUAAACUUACUGAAAAUUGAAACUAUAUUCGAAAUUAUGGAUAAAAUUCAAUCUGAAUUCAAAGUGAAUUCAGGUCGAAUUUUGUCCAUGAUUUCUCAUAUAGUUUCAAUUUUUUUUGUUUCCAAAAUUAAUUAUUUUGACUAUCCAAACUAUUAACUUAUUUUGUUAUUUUCAAUUAAAAACUAUGUUUAUUAAAAAUUCUUUUUGCAUAUUUGAGAAUUUGACAAAACUAUGAUAAUGAAAAGUGUUUGAAAUUGAAUAAAUAAUUCAAAACUAUUUUCUAUUUUCAAAAUUAAUAAUUUUGACUAUCCAAACUAUUAACUUAUUUUGUUAUUUUCAAUUAAAAUCUAUGUUUAUUAAAAAUUCUUUUUGCAUAUUUGAGAAUUUGACAAAACUAUGAUAAUGAAAAGUGUUUCAAAUUGAAUAAAUAAUGCAAAACUAUUUUUUAUUUUCAUAAUUAAUAAUUUUGACUAUCCAAACUAUUAUCUAUUUUGUUAUUUUCAAUUAAAAACUAUGUUUAUUAAAAAUUCUUUUUGCAUAUUUGAGAAUUUGACAAAACUAUGAUAAUGAAAAGUGUUUCAAAUUGAAUAAGUAAUGCAAAACUAUUUUUUAUUUUCAUAAUUAAUAAUUUUGACUAUCCAAACUAUUAUCUAUUUUGUUAUUUUGACUUCAUUUGGUAUAUUUCGUGCAUUUACUUAUUUUUUUUGAGCUAGUUGACCCUGAAAUUGAAAAGCACUACAAAUGAACUCUGAAAAUGUUGAAAGUUCGCAUGCUAUCAUCAUUUCACCCACAUAGCAUGUGUUAAAAAGUUGAGAGGGCUACGACAAAAACUGGAUGCAGUUCGUGUACAAAACUAACAAUCUCUCUCGAAGUAGGAGGGUUUCGAACGAGAACUCAUCUCUUACAAAGGGAUUUCAUUUUUUUUAACUUAUUUGAACUCCAUACUUUUUGCGUGUUCAAAAUGCACCAUUCAAAGGCACAUCACAAAGGGAUUUCUUCUUCUCUCAUAUAUGGUGGACACUAGCUCACCUGAUUUUUCAACCGUCGAUGAUGGUCGCUACUCCUACUUCACCUAGUGCAUAACCAAUAUCUAGCACAAGGAGAAGAAGGAGAAGCGACCCCCACAACAAAAGUGGUUCCGCGGCACGCCACGUGGUUCUGCCGCACGCCACGUGGUUCCGCCGCACGCCACGUGGGACUAAUGGUCUUUCAUUUUUAAAUGAUUGUUUUAAUCAAAAAUAGAUCUGUUACAAAAGGGAUUUCAUUUUUUGAACUUAUUUGAACUGAAGAAUUUUUGUAUAUAUAUGUGGUCUAAAUGCAUGAUACCAUGAAGUUAAAAAGGGCUAAACCAUUCAAAAGUAGCAAAUGAAGUUAGAAAGGGCUAAACCAUUCAAAUUUGGAAACUAUAAUGGCACAAACAGAAACUAGACAUAUAUAAAUUGGUCCAAGAAGUACAUGAUACUAGCCCAAACAGUACAUAAUAAUAGCUACCAUAGAUAUAUAUACAAGUGUUCGACGUUCAGAACACUACUCGUCUGAAUCAUCUAAAUCAGAAUGUCCAUGUUCCUCGAGGUGACGCUGGCCAUAGUUGACGACUCGAAUCUUGCGGUACAACUCGUAUGAAACGUAUGCAUCUUUUGCUGCAUACUCAAUGUUGAUAUCAUCAAGUGGGCCCUUCUCCCAAAGUUUGACCUGAUACUUUGGGAAACUGGUCUUCAUAUCACCAUAUGACUCGUCGAUCAAGGCAACUGCCAUAUGAGCCAUCGAAGUCCUGUCAUGUUGAAGCCUGAAUAUCGUUUGGAGAUCAACGAGGCAACCAGCUGGUAUCUCAAUACCGAAGCUGUGCCUCAUCUUCAGCGUGUCGUUCCUUAUGUCAACGGAAGCAAAAGUGACGCCGCUGCGAAGGAACUCCAUGAGUCCUGGACAAUGCUUGUCACUCCUGCAACAGAAACAAAUUAAAAUGGAACAAAUGUCACAUACUGCUGCAAUAAGGAAACAUGUUUCACUACAACUAAAGAGAAACUUAUCUUUAGGAUUCAAAUAGAACAUAUGCAAUGGAACCUAGAGAGAUCACUACAACUAUUUGAAGCGAACCAACUAUGAUUCCAAUGGAACAUAUUAAACACUAGUUCAUUCUAAUACGAUUUUUCAGAUUAUGGAACACUAUUCCAAUCAGAUUGUGUUCCCCUUCAACUAAUCAAAAUUGUUUCACUACAACUAUUUGAAGGGAACCAACUAUGAUUCCAAUGGAACAUAUUAAACACUAGUUGAUUCUAAUACGAUUUUUCAGAUUAUGGAAAACUAUUCCAAUUAGAUUGUGCUCCCCUUCAAGUAAUCAAAAUUGUUUCACUACAACUAUUUGAAGGGAACCAACUAUGAUUCCAAUGGAACAUAUUAAACACUAGUUGAUUCUAAUACGAUUUUUCAGAUUAUGGAACACUAUUCCAAUUAGAUUUUGCUCCCCUUCAACUAAUCAAAAUUGUUUCACUACAACUAUUUGAAGGGAACCAACUAUGAUUGAAACAAAUAAACUUAUACAAUGUCAUUAUCUUGGAUCAAAGAAAGCCUCAAAACUUACCUCGCCCAUUAGAAGAUCAAGACAUGGCUUGCGAAGCAUAUUUGGAUGACGGCAACACCGCGUUAAUCGGUUGUGUACUCCAGAUCAAGCCCGAAGAACUUCUCAUGAUCCGCUGUGUGGUCAAACCAUCGUUCCUUCAACUGUUGAAGGAAAAACGGCACCUCCCUGCUCAGGUUCGUGUACACGACACGGAGCUUCGUCGUGCCAUGCGCGACCACCUCAUGAAAGAUAGUUGGCAUGGUGGAAGAAGAGAAGGGAAGAAGAGAGGAGAAGAACAGAGAGGGCGACGCGAGAGAGAAGAAGAACAGAGAAAUGGCGACUGUACGCUUCGGUUUGUGCUUUUCAUCGCCCGAAACGACGCGGGAUGCAAACCGUUUGGGCCUUUAAUCCCGGGUUGAGCCACCAACCGGGACUAAAGAGGUAUACCAAACGGUUGCCACCACUACGACAGGCCACGUGUUAGGCUUUUAGUCCCGGGUUCAACCACCAACCGGGACUAAAGAGGUAUACCAACCGUCGCCACAACCACGGUAGGCCACGUGUUAGUCCUUUAGUCCCGGGUUGAGACACCAACCGGGACUAAAGGGGGAUACGAACGGUUGCCACCACCACUGCCCACCGCGUAGCCCUUUAGCCCCGGUUUGGGACACGAACCCGGACUAAAGGCUCCUUACGGGCCGGGACUAAAGCCUCGAGGGAGGCAUUGAGAAUUGGGGCGACGUGGCCGGGCCUUUAGUCCCGGCCCAGAGGCAGGCCGGGACUAAAUGGUCCAGGCCAAAGGCCCAUUUUCUACUAGUGAGCACACACACUUCUGCUUUCUAGACGGUUAUUCAGGUUUCUCGCAAAUACCUGUUGCACAAUCUGAUCAAGAGAAAACCACUUUCACCUGCCCUUUCGGUACCUUUGCCUAUAGACAUAUGCCUUUUGGCUUAUGUAAUGCACCUACCACCUUCCAAAGAUGUAUGAUGGCUAUAUUCUGUGACUUUUGUGAAAAGAUUGUCGAGGUUUUCAUGGACGACUUCUCUAUUUACGGGUCUUCCUUUGAUGAUUGCCUCAGCAACCUUGAUCGAGUCUUACAGAGAUGCGAAGAAACCAACCUCGUCUUGAAUUGGGAGAAGUGCCCCUUUAUGGUUAAUGAAGGUAUCGUCUUAGGACACAAAAUCUCUAAAAGAGGCAUUGAAGUUGAUAAGGCUAAGGUUGAUGCAAUUGAGAAAAUGCCUUGCCCCACAGACAUCAGAGGUAUAUGAAGUUUCUAGGUCAUGAUGGUUUCUAUAGAAGGUUCAUUAAAGACUUCUCUAAGAUUUCUAGGCCUCUUACCAACCUCUUGCAGAAGGAUGUUCCUUUUGUUUUUGAUGAGGAUUGUGAGAGGAAGCUUUCGAAAUACUUAAGAAGGCUUUGAUAACCGCACCUAUUGUUCAACCACCUGACUGGAACUUGCCCUUUGAAAUCAUGUGGGAUGCUAGUGAUUAUGCUGUUGGUGUUGUUCUAGGACAAAGUGUUGACAAGAAGUUGAAUGUCAUUCACUAUGCUAGUAAAACUCUAGACAGUGCCCAAAGAAACUAUGCCACUACGGAGAAGGAAUUUUUAGCAGUCGUGUUUGCAUGUGAGAAGUUCAGAUCUUACAUAGUUGACUCCAAAGUCACUAUUCACUCUGAUCAUGCUGCUAUUAAGUACCUUAUGGAGAAGAAGGACGCUAAGCCCAGGCUGAUCAGAUGGGUUCUCCUGCUACAGGAUUUCGAUUUGCAUGUUAUUGACCGAAAGGGUGCUGAUAACCCUGUAGCAGAUAACUUGUCUAGGCUAGAGAAUGUCCUUGAUGACCCAGUACCAAUUGAUGACAACUUUCCUGGUGAGCAAUUAAAUGUCAUCCGCACUUCACUUAGUGCACCGUGGUAUGCCGAUUAUGCAAACUAUAUCGUAGCCAAAUACAUACCACCCAGUUUCACCUAUCAACAAAAUAAGAAAUUCUUCUUUGAUUUGAGACACUACUUUUGGGAUGAUCCUCACCUUUAUAAGGAAGGAGUAGAUGGUGUUAUUAGACGUUGUGUGCCUGAACAUGAAUAGGGACAGAUCCUGCAGAAGUGUCAUUCCGAAGCCUAUGGAGGACACCAUGCUGGAGAUAGAACUGCCCAUAAGGUAUUGCAAUCAGGUUUCUAUUGGCCCACUCUUUUGAAGGAUGCCCGUAAGUUUGUCUUGUCUUGCGACGAAUGCCAAAGGAUAGGGAACAUCAGUAAGCGUGAGGAAAUGCCUAUGAACUAUUCACUUGUCAUUGAACCAUUUGAUGUCUGGGGCUUUGAUUAGAUGGGACCCUUCCCGAGUUCCAAUGGGUACACUCACAUCUUAGUUGCUGUGGAUUACGUUACUAAGUGGGUAGAAGCUAUCCCACCUAAAAAUGCUGAUCACCACACCUCUAUUAAGAUGCUUAAAGAAGUCACAUUCCCAAGAUUUGGACUCCCUAGAUACUUGAUGACUGAUGGCGGUCCACACUUCAUUCAUGGUGUUUUCCGUAAGAUGCUAGCUAAGUAUGAUGUCAACCAUAGAGUUGCAUCUCCUUAUCAUCUUCAGUCUAGUGGUCAAGUAGAGUUGAGUAAUAGGGAGAUCAAGUUGAUCCUACAAAAGACCGUCAAUAGAUCUCGAAAGAACUGGUCUAGCAAACUUGACGAUGCACUAUGGGCUUAUAGGACUGCUUAUAAGAAUCCCAUGGGCAUGUCACCGUAUAAAAUGGUUUAUGGUAAGGCCUGUCAUUUACCUCUUGAGAUGAAACACAAAGCUUAUUGGGCAAUCAAAGGGCUCAACUUUGAUUUCAAACUUGCCGGUGAGAAGCGGUUGUUUGAUACCAGCUCGUUAGAUGAAUGGAGAGCCCAGGCAUAUGAGAAUGCCAGGUUGUUCAAGGAAAAGGUUAAGAGAUGGCACGACAAACGAAUACAGAAACGAGAGUUCAAUGUAGGUGAUUAUGUCUUGGUAUACAAUUCUCGUUUGAGAUUCUUUGCAGGAAAGCUUCUCUCUAAAUGGAAAGGUACCUAUGUUGUCGAGGAAGUAUAUCGUUCCGGUGCCAUCAAAAUCAAUAACAUGGAAGGAAAUUUUCCUAGAGUGGUAAAUGGGUAAAGAAUCAAGCAUUACAUCUCUGGUACUCCCAUAAAUGUUGAGACCAAUAUCAGCAAUGUCAUAACUCUAGAGGAGUACAUAAGGGAUGUUUAUCAGCCUGUUUCAGACCUUGAAAACGAAGAUGUAUCUCUUUCGGCAAGAGAUUGGACUCCGAUACUUUUCCAAUAGGAAAUUUCCUUAGUUUUGGAAUUUUUGGAAAAUUAGAAAAAUAAAAAGCAGUCCGGAGAGCAAACGAGGCAGCCACAAGGGCCCACUCCGCCACCACCCUCCCUGGUGGCGGUGGGCAAGCUUGUGGGCACCUCGUGUGCCUCUCGAACUCCGUUUUCUUGCGGAGGACUCCUUCUGGCCCAGAAAAAAUCAAUAUAUAGUUGCCCGAAGGUUUUGAUCUCCGUAUCGCGUAGUUUUCCUCUAUUUUCAUUUCGAGCUUGUUUCUGCCGCAGAUCUAGAUCAUCAUGACUUCCCCAAACGCUCCUAAGGACAAGAUCUUCGAGAAGGUCAUCAAUCCCUACCUCACGGAAGUUCUUAAACACCCUCAAUCUAUCAAGAUGAGCGAGGGGAUGUUGCACAUCCGUGAUGUUGAGGGGCCUAAGAAGACCGGAAGCAUGGAGACGAGGCUCGAAGCAAUGGAGCAACAAGUCUUGAAGUGCCAAGGGAUGGUUGAGAGUGGACUCAACGCCAACCACACGAUGAUCACGGAGUUCACUAGCAAUCACAAGAUGGAUGCCAUUGAUGUUGGGGAAAACCUCUCCAGGCUUUACAAUAGGGUUGACCAACUUCAGGGCCAGAUCUAUGACCCGCAGAAUCAAAACUAUGAGUAUGAGUAUAGAUUUAAAUCAAUAAGGUUGGUUGCAGAUUUGAGGAUUCCGGCGACUCGUUCAUCCUGCCAUGAUGGAGCACCUAUGCCUUGGAAGAUGGAGGAUCACACUACUUCAACAACAACACCAUCACCACCAAAGGAAGACAACUAAGCAUUGGUAUGGGCAAUCCCCUUGGCUUCUGCCAAGCUUGGGGGAGUUGCCCUGGUAUCGUAUCACCUUUAUAUCUUUUGCUUUUACCUUUGUUUUAGUUCUUUCCUUUUCAGUUUUUAUUUAUUCUUUUAGAGGAAUAAGUCUUUAGUUUUUUAGUUUGAGUCUUUUGCUUUUGUCUCUCCCCCGAUGUAUUCGAGCUUACGAGCUAUAUAAUAAAGAGUGUCUUAGUCAAGGGCUUUGCUUUGUGCCAUGAUCAAAAGUAUGAAAAGAACGAUAGCAUGAAAGAUCAUGAGACGAUCUUAUGGAAAGUGAUAACUUCACUUAUGACACGUAUGAUGAUUGAAACUUGUUGAGAAUAAAUCAACAUAGACCUCAGUCAUUGUUGCAAUUAAUAAGAAGUAAUAAGGAAAGAGAGGUUCACAUAUAAAUAUAUCAUCUUAGACACUUUUUACAAUUGUGAGCACUCACCAAACUAUUACAUGCCUAGGAGUAGACGUUGGACAAGGAAGACAACAUAAUGAAUUGUGUUUGCUUGGUUCCAAACAGUGUUAUAUGAUUAGAGAUCCCUUAGCAUGUGAUGAUUGCUUCCACCUCAUAUUAGCCAAAACUCCCGCACCAAGUAGAGAUACUACUUGUGCAUCCAUAAACCUCCAACCCAGUUUUGCCAUGAGAGUCCACCAUACCUACCUAUGGAUUGAAUAAGAUCCUUCAAGUAAGUUGUCAUCGGUGCAAGCAAUAAAAAUUGCUCUCUAAUAUGUAUGAUCUAUUAGUGUGUGGAAAAUAAGCUUUGUACGAACUUGUGAUGAGGAAGACAUAAAAGCGACAUACUGCAUAAUAAAUUUCUUUAUCACGGGAGGCAAUAUAAAGUGACAUUCCUCCGCACUAAGAGGAUACGCAUUCAAACCUCAAAAGCGCAUGACAACCUGUGCUUCCCUCUACGAAGGGCCUAUCUUGUACCUUUACUUUUUACCCCUUGUAAGAGUCAUGGUGAUCUUCACCAAUUCCCUUUUUGCCUUUGUCUUGGCUACCGUCACAUGCUUGGGAAAGAUCUAUAUUCAUAUAUCAACUUGGAGUUGAGUACUCAUGCUUUAUUGUUGUUGACUUUACCCUUGAGGUAAACCGUUGGGAGGCAAAACUAUAAGCCCUAUCUUCCUCUAUGUCCAAUCAAAACUUUGACACCAUGAGUACCACGUGAGUUGUAACAAUUGUGGAAAACAAAAGAGAUGAUUGAGUAUGUGGGUUUGCCUUACAAGCUCUUAUUUGACUCUUUCUGAUGUUGUGAUAAAUUGCAAUUGCUUCAAUGACUAUGGACUAUUGUUGGUUACUUCUCGGUAAGGUUUUUGCUUCAUGCUUUGCUUUGUGAAGGAACUGUUACUUUCCCAUAAGAAUCUUUAUGAUAUAUUGUUGUCCUAUGUGUGAUCAUGAUGCCCUCAUGUCCGUAUUAUGUUUUAUCGACACCUUCGUCCCUCAACAUGUGGACAUGUUUAUGGAACUUGGUUUUCGCUUAAGGACAAGCGAGGUCUAAGCUUGGGGGAGUUGAUACGUCCAUUUUGCAUCAUGCUUUCAUGUUGAUAUUUAUUGCUUUUUGGGCUGUUAUAUUACUUGUGGUACCAUAUUUAUGCCUUUUCUCUCUUAUUUUGCAAGGAUUAUUUGAAGAGGGAGAAUUCAGGCAGCUGGAAUUCUGGACUGGAAAAGGAGCAAAUCCUAGUCCACUAUUCUGCACAUCUCCAAAUGCCCUGAAAAUUUACGUGGAUUUUUUCUGGAAUAUAUUAAAAAUACUGGGCGAAAGAACUACCGAAGGGGGGACACCAGGGCCCCACAAGCCCCCACUCCGCCACCACCCCCUUGUGGCGGUGGGCAAGCUUGUGGUCUUCCUGAAGGACCACUAGCCCCCCUCUUUUGCUAUAUGAAGCGUCCUGAUCUGGAAAAAAUCACGGGGGAGCUUUUUCGUGGUUUUGCCGCCGCCACGAGGCGGAACUUGAGCAGAUCCAAUCUAGAGCUCCGGCAGGACAAUCCUGCCGGGAAAACUUCCCUCCCAGAAGGGGAAAUCGUCGCCAUCGUCAUCACCAACACUCCUCUCGUCGGAGGGGAGGCAUCUUCAUCAACAUAUUCAUCAGCACCAUCUCCUCUCCAAUCCCUAGUUCAUCUCUUGUAAUCAAUCUUCGUCUUGCGACUCCGAUUGGUACUUGUAAGGUUGCUAGUAGUGUUGAUUACUCCUUGUAGUUGAUGCUUGUUGGAUUAUUUGGUGGAAGAGUUUAUGUUCAGAUCCUUGAUGCUAUUCAUUACACCUCUGAUCAUGAUUAUGAUUAUGUCUUGUGAGUAGUUACUUUUGUUCCUCAGGAAAUGGGAUAAGUCAUGUUAAUAAUAGUCAUGUGAAUUUGAUAUUCGUUCGGUAUUUUGAUAUGUUGUAUGUUGUUUUUCCUCUAGUGGUGUUAUGUGAACGUUGAAUACAUAACACUUCACCAUAUUGGGGCCUAGAGGAAGGCAUUGGGAAGUAGUAAGUAGAUGAUGGGUUGCUGGAGUGACAGAAGCUUAAACCCCAGUCUAUGCGUUGCUUCGUGAGGGGCUGAUUUGGAUCCACUAGUUUAAUGCUAUGGUUAGACUUUGUCUUAAUUCUUCUUUUGUAGUUGCGGAUGCUUGCGAGAGAGGUUAAUCAUAAGUGGGAUGCUUGUCCAAGUAAGGGCAGUACCCAAGCGCCGGUCCACCCACAUAUCAAACUAUCAAAGUAACGAACGCGAAUCAUGAACAUGAUGAAACUAGCAUGACAGAAAUUCCCGUGUGUCCUCGGGAGCGUUUUUCCUCCUAUAAGACUUUGUUCGGGCUUGCCCCUUGCUACAAAAGGGAUUGGGCCACUUGCUGCACCGUUGCUACUACUUGUUACUUGUUACUCUUUGCUUGCUACGUUUCACCUCGCUACACAAUCACUUGUUACCGCUACGUUCAGUGCUUGUAGUUAUUACCUUGCUGAAAUCCGUUUAUCAGAGCCUUCUGCUCCUCGUUGGGUUUGUCACUCUUACUUAUCGAAAGGAUUACGAUUGAUCCCCUAUACUUGUGGGUCAUCGGUGACAGGGGCACCUCCAGCGGCUACUGCAUUGAUAUCAUGUCACACUUGCAUGAUUUUCUCAAGCGCAAGAUAAAUUUGCCUCAUUUUCUGUUGCAUGAGAUUCGGCUCGCUAGUCUUCAAUACAAGAGAGCCUUCCCUCAUGCCCCCUUCAUCCAGGCCUUCAUCAACUUUAUUGCUGCUUUCCCGCUUGCUCCUACUCACACGCACCACAAGUGGGUCAUCCCCACUCAUUUGGCGGAUGACUAUGCUCCUAGGAAAACCCCAUCCACCUCCACUCGUCGUGCUGCUAUGCAGUCAGACACUCCUUCAUCCAGCUCUGCCCCUCUCAGUCGCUUUGCCAAAUUCAUUGGCAAAGCCCAUUCUGCCAUGAUGAAGGCGUUCUCCUUCCAGUGCGAUCAGAACCACGAUGUGGUUUCGCGCCUGAUCACCUCCAAGAAUGCCCUCAAGGCUCGUCUGAGAGACUCGGGCAAUCUUGAUGUCAGUGACGAUGAGGCUCUUCCUGCUAUUCCUCCUUCUGAUUUUGGCUUCCCAUCUGGUCCUGAGUGGGCUGAUUUUCUUGACGAGGCUGGUGGCAGUGGCUUGCCUGAGGAUGAGGAUGAUGAGGAUGAUGGUGCUGAUGAUCUCUGAGCAUUGUGGAUGUUUCUGAUGCCUCUCUUUUCGGUACUUGAUGCCAAAGGGGGAGAAAUGUAUCCUAGUUUUAGUCUUUGGAGUUUUAGCUUUUGAACUCAAUUUUCAUGGUGGAACUACGAUAAUGUAUGGAUAAACGACUAUGAUGUACUAUGUAUGAAUGCCGUGCAUUAUCGUAUGCUAUUAUGUUUUGUUCUAUUACUCCAUGUGAUGAUCUGCUGCCAUAUGAUUUCUUCGAUACACAUAUUAAGGGGGUGCUCCCGCAUUUACCUGUUUUACCAUGCAUAUAAUUAGGGGGAGUUUUGACAAAACUCUCACUCUCCCAUUCAUUCUUACCAUGCAUAUAAUCAGGGGGAGCCUCGUAACAAAUCUCUCCUAAGCCACACAUGUUUAUUACUAUUUUGGAGAGCUAUAUGUAUGUUGUCAUCAACUACCAAAAAGGGGGAGAUUGAAAGUGCAGUCAUGCCCUUAAUCAUUUGAUGAAAAUAUCUGUGGACACGAGCAUAUCUAGCACCACAUAUAGUGUUUAUUAUUGUGCUGAUAGGUCAUGUAUUUCACCUAAAUAUCCCUCGAAAAAUGUCUGUGGUGAUAUGCCUAUUCUCACGUGUCCUCUUGAUCAAAAUAUCUUGUUUCCCCCUAGUUUCUCUAUGACUAAUCAUUUAAGGGAAAUCAUUUAUGUUUGAUUCAUUUUUAUAUUUUUUCACCCUAUGUACUCAUACCUAGAUCUCUUGGCGCAAUUAUAUAUUUGAAAAGUUCAUACAUCUCCUUAGAAAAGUUGAUAUUGUGUUUGUUUUACUCCACUAGAUUUUAUUCUUUUAAUUCAUUAGUUAUAUCUUUAAUCACACAUAACUUUUAUAGAUUUUCUCCUAAUUUCCAUGUUGCCGAAAUUCUAAAACAAUCCGCAUAAUGUGUGCAGUUUGCGAAUCAUUACAAUUAGUUUUGAUAUUCAAAAAGGUCUAUUCACACCCGCCCAUUAAGACUCUUCACAAUCCUUUUAAAACCUAUUUUUCCAAUCUUUAAAUUUUGUCUUGAUUGUGAAAAAAGUAUAUCGACGGUAUAAAAUAAAAGUAAGAAUGGAAUAUUUUCAUCUAAAAAUAUACAUUUAAUUUUGUAAUCGCUACGGGUACUUAAGACAUAUUUUUGGCACUCUGUUUUCUUUAAGGAUAUUAAUAUUUUUAUAUAUUAAAAUUUUAAAAUUUCAAAUGUGAGAGUAAACUAAGAAAGUUACAAUCGAUUAUUAUUUAUUUAGACUAAAUUCUUUUAUCUCUUAAUAAUUAUAAAUUAUCUUUGUGAUAUUAUUUUUGUUAAAUUUUAGACAAAUAUAUUUGUUCUAUUAUGCUAAGAAACUAUAUAAAGAUAGUGCUAAUAUCAAGAUAUAAUAUUUUUAUCAUAUAAUAUUGAUCGUCCAAAUUGCAAUCUCACUAAAUUUCAAGCGUAUAUUGAAGAGAGUUUGGUGUAGGGUUUUUUUUDGAAACAUGCAAUUUUUUUUGUUUGACCAAAUUGAUGUAGAUAAGGAAAAUAGAUAAAGUAGAAACUUAAGUUUUCGCAAAAUAGUUCAUGCCAUUAGACGAGUUACACAUCUAUUUCCAUUUGUGGCUAUUAUAGUUUUCAUAAAUAUCAUGGAAGAUGACUAUAGAGUUGAUCCACGUUUCCAGAAUGCUUGCCUAUAUAUUUUGGAUGCGAGAAAAUAAAUAGAAUAGUUACCUACUACUCCCUCCGUUCCUAAAUAUAAGUCUUUUAAGCAAUUUCACCAAGGGACUACAUACAGACCAAAAUAAAUGAAUCUACAUUCUAAAGUAUGUCUAUAUACAUCUGUAUGUAGUCCUUCAGUAAAAACUCUAAAAAGACUUAUAUUAUAGAACGGAGGGAGUACUAAAUAGAACUUUGUUGAACAAAAAUAAAACUCUGUAAUUUGUCCUACAAACGUUGUACUGCUUUUUUGCCCGUUUUAUUAAUGGCAACUGGGUUUUUCAUGUUUCAGUUCAGCAAGAAUGAUUUGCACUUGGUCUAGAAUUAGUAUCGUCCGGAUUGACUCACCAUAAACUAUAUAUAACUUUUUAUCAUUUGUUUGAAGUGCAUCAUGCUUAAAAUGACUGUUGCAUGUAUGCGUGGAAAAAUUUGAAUCUUAUUAUUGUUUGCUAGAUACGUGUUAGUGGCCAUUGUUGGUCAGGUGCAACCUGGGGUCGUGCAAGUGUUAAGGAUCCAAGCGGGAUGCGCUGCUAACUGCUCAUUGGUCCUUGGAUCUGUCCCGCCAUGGAACAGUCCUACUAACAAGAAUAAUCACAAGGAGUCGAACUCUCCCACAAAUCAAAUGAUUCAGGUCACAACCUCUCCCACAAAUAAAUUCAUUCAGGUCAUAGGUGUCGAUUAAAAGAUUAGGAGGGAUUUGGGGAGAGAUCGAGGAGUUUGCCAAAUCGGGUCCGGAGUGGCUGGAUUGAUGUGUAUGAGUACAAGGAAGGCGGGAGGUGUGUGGGUCGUCGUAUCGACGGUGGCCUGCACGGGCGGAGCGGGCAUGGGUGGCUGGGGCUAUGGAGGUGAAACUGUGAAAGGUGAUGGCUAGAGCGGCCACCUCUGGUGAGAUUUCGGGGACGGCGAGCUCGUUCAAUGACGACCCAUCACUGAUUAGAGCAUAGUUAAUAGUAUAGCCAAUUGGUGACUAUAAACCAUCUUAUAGCCCAUUUUAUAGCUAGUUUGUACAAUAAUUAACUAUAAAAGAGUAAUACUUUUAUCAUAUAGAAUUCACCUUUCAUUCUCAAAAAGCACCUAGGAGCACGUGCUAGAGCUAACUCUUCACGAAGAGCCCGCUUCCCUUCUCUCUCAUCCAACUCAACAAAAAUAUAGUAUUUUAAUCCUUACACUCUGCUGACUGUAUCUUAUUGUACUUGCUUUUAUAGGGAGAGACGAGAGAUGAGGUGAGGGUGGCGGCUAGAGCUUCGCUUCUUCGAUGGGGAGGGGGUAGAGUCGGGGAUAAGUGAGAGACACAAGGCGUUCUUCGUCAUUCUCUGUCAUUUAAUCCUGAAACUUUUAAGGAACUAGAUAAUGCCCCGCCUGAAACUUUUAAGGAACUAGAUAAUGCCCCGCACGUUGUUGCGCGAAGCUUGUUAAUAAAAAUAUGGACUGUUGAUAAAAGACUAUAAAUUUAUGCAAGGACAAAUAUAAAAUUGUGUUUUACAUGACUUAAUUCCCUUGAAAAAAGUCAUGCAUGAGGUGAUAGCUUUUGCAUGCAAAGAUUAAUGAAAAAAGUGACUUAUGACUCCAUGCAUGACAUGGUGAUGUGUCAUUGUUGCAUGAAGAGAAAUAUUAGUUAAUGGGUUGUAACUAUUUAAAAAUAGAGGAUGAUUGAGUUCAGGCUCGGUCACGCCCAACCAAAGACACCCUUAUAGUUGGACUCGCAUGCAUCAUAGAGGUCACAGAGGUCAAGUGUAAUCCAUGAUAUCAAAUCAAGGUAAUGAUCAUCACCUACUCCGUUGCGUUCCAUCAUAUCAAACCAAACACGCCCUUUAAGUUUCACUAACUCUAAAAGUACUACUAAUGUAUAUGUUUUGUUUUGCUUCUAUGAUUCUAUCCGUGGAUAUGUAUAUUCAAGUUUUUUCAUGUUUUUAGGCCCCCAAUUAUUGGUGUUGGGAUACCGAAAGAGAGGCCAUAUCCAUGCGCGGGAGCCAUGUGCAUCUCUCCUUUCUCCAACAAAACCCGCCCUUUUCAGUGAAAAAGGUAUCUUAUAAUCUUUAAACGCGAAAAGAAAAGGCUAACUUUAAUCGUUUUCUUUUUGCAAAAUGGGCAUCUGUACCUUAUCUUAAGGUUGUCUUUGCAUUAAAUGUGUAGGUGAGUCCUUUUGAAAGGCAACUUUUGGACUAUCAUAAGAGCAUCUAUAAAAGUACCUCUUAUAUUCGUCUCAAACGUUUGGACAAACCGUCUGGUCAAUGAUCAGUCAGAAAAAUGCGUUUUAACCGGACCCCUCAAACCUGCUUCAAAUGCCCGGACGAACCGACAUCCCUCGUAUCGAGCCCAAAUCUAGGGCGGAUAUGGGCCAGCCCGGUCACGCCCAUGCGCAUCCGCCACGUCCUAGCUGACAGCUCCGGCCCACCACCGACCCCACCGCUGUACCACAAAAAUUCACUCCGGGCAUCUCGCUCCAAACCCUAGCUCACUCUCUCUCACUCCGUCUUUUCCUCUCCCUUCUCAAUUACAAUCUCAUCCACUCAACUGGAGAGCUCCAGCUCCAGAGGUGUCGCCUACGACGAGGAGCGGGCCCUCCGCAUUGCCUUUGAGCGGUCCAAGGUGGACAUCGAUGGCAUCUCCGGAUCUAAAGCGUCGCCACAGCUCCCACAUCGGCACAACGCAGACGCUGAAGCUGGACUUUCUCGGCCAGUGUGCAACUUUGGCAAGGACAGCGCACCUGCGCCAUCUCCUUCCCUCGCCGACCACUCCUGCACGUGGGCAGCGGUGGGUGCUUAUGCCCGCACCGUCGACCCGUACGCGUACUCCGGUAUCGAAAGCGCAUAUCGCCCACCGCAAGAGGUGGCGGGCAAGAGAGAGGGAAGCUACAGGGCAGUCCGCGCAUCGUCGCCAUGGGAUGCCGGCGGAGCCCGACGAGGACAAACGCCUCCUCGCAUGGGUGUACCGCCGGUCCCGCACGAUGACCAAGAUGGACACUCGCUGCCUCCGAUACGAUACUUGGCAGGUCGGUACCUUUGGACGCGUGGGUCACUAGUGGGGACACGGCCUAUAGUCCCGGCCCGUAAGGGGCUUUGGUCCCGGUUCAUCAACCGGGACCAAAGAGGCGGGACUAAAGGCCUAACCUUUAGUCCUGGCCCUGUUCCAAGCAGGGACCAAAGGUGCUCCACGUGGGCGCCUCGGAGCGCCCUCAGGGGCAGGCCCUUUAGUCCCGGGUCUUAACACGGACCGGGACUAAAGGAUCCGUCUGUUUAUUUUGUUUGUUUGACCCUAAAAAGGUACCUUUUUUAUUUAUUUUUCAAAUUUUAUUUUUGAAUAUUCUUUGAUUUAUUUUUAUGUUUUAUUUCAAUUUUUAAAUCUUUGAUUUAUUUGACAAUUUAAUCUCUAAUCACCCAUCCUCACUGCUCUAGCGUAGAUUACUCAUUUCAAAUCGUCUAACUUCUUGGCCGGUCAGCCAUCCUUUCACUGCUUCAGCCCGAGCACGCUUAACUUCCUGGUUCUAUCGCCCCUAGUUGCCAAGUGUGCACUUGUUGUUCUCCUGACAAUAGUAAGCUAUCAAUCCUAAACAACCUAGGGUUUGAUGUCAUGUCACAUGAUUUAAUUUUUUGAAUUCAAACAAUUAUUAAAAUAAACAAAAUAAGUAAUAAUAAUAGUGAAUUUCAAUGAAAACUACCUAAAGAUUUUAAAUAAAAUUAUUUUUUUCUUAUUUUUGUGGAAAAAACUUCUUUUUGCCAUAACUUUUUUUACAUUUGGAAUUUUGAGCAUCUGAGAAAACUUCACCGGGCAAGCCUCGGUUAAAUCGAUUCCCAAUUUUCUCUAGUUUUUUUUGAUAUAUUAAACUUUUUUUUUUGACGUCGUAUGCAAAAGUUAUGGCCGUUUUACAUUUUCCCCUUUUUUGAAACAACGGUCAAAAUUCAUAUCUCAAAAUUUGUAUACCAACUAGGCACUAAAACCUAACUACAUCUCAAAGGAUUUUAUUUUUUGAAGAUUUUAGCAUUUUUGUUUAUUUUCUACAAAACUAAAAAAGACGGUCCAGGGAGGGUAGAGUUUGAAAAUUUCAGAAUCCCCCUUUAGCCAAGAAUCCAAUCAUACCCGUCGACUACAUUUGCUAGCACCGCCCCCGCCAGAAUCACAACUAAGGUUAACCAAGCCAUGAGUUAACCAUUUCUAACUUUAUUUGCUAUGUUGAGCUAAAUGACCCUGAAAUUGAAAAGAACUAUAUGAACUCUGAAAAUGUUAAAACUUGACAUGGUAUCAUCAUUUCAUCCACAUAGCUUGUGCUAAAAAGUUGAGAGGGUUACGACAAAAACUGCAUGCACUUCGUGUACAAAACUAGACCAUCUCCUUCAAAGUAUCCCGGUUUCGGACGAAAACCCAUCUGCUAGAAAGAUAUUUUAUUUUUCUACUUAUUUCAACUUCAGACAUUUUAUGCAUUUUGUGCAUUCAAUAUAAACCAUUCAAAACCACAUCCUAAAUUUCGACCCUUUAUAACUUCAUUUGCUAUUUUUCAUGCAUUUAAUGAUUUUUUAGACCUAAAUGACCUUGAAAUUGAAAAGACCUGACAAAUGAACUCUGAAAAGGUUGAAACUUGGCAUCGUAUCAUCAUUUCUCCCACAUAGCAUGUGCUAAAAAGUUGAGAGGGUUACGUCAAAAACUGGAUGCACUUCGUGUACAAAAUGAACAAUCUCUUUCGAAGUAUCAGGAUUUCGAACGAAAACUCAUCUAUUGCAAAGGUAUUUCAUUUUUUGAACUUAUUUGAACUCCAUACUUUUUGUGUGUUUAAAAUACACCAUUUAAAGCCACAUCAUAAAUUUUCAAUAUUUUUUGACUUCAUUUGGUAUUUUUCAUGCAUUUACUUACUGUUUUGAGCUAAUUGACCCUGAAAUUGAAAAGCACUACAAAUGAACUCUGAAAAGGUUGAAAGUUGGCAUGGUAUCAUAGUUUCACCCACAUGGCAUGUGCUAAAAAGUUGAGACAGUUACGAUAAAAACUGGAUGCAAUUCGUGUACAAACUGGAUCAUCCUUCGAAGUAUCAAGGUUUCAGACGAAAACCCAUCUGCUACAAAGGCAUUUUAUUAAAAUGAUUUUAAUUCAGACUUUUUAUGCAUUCAAUAUGCACCAUACUAUAACAUGUUAAAAUCUACAGAAAGUGCUAAGUAAAAAUAAUAAAAAACAACAAUUAAAUGACUAAAACAACUAUAUAAGCAAAACAAUAUUGUUUUAAUUAAAAUUCAAAUUUAAAUUAUUCUAAAAAUAACAAAAUAAAUCUUACUGUGAUAACAAUCUAACAGAUGACUAGGAGAAAAAAGAAUUAAAUUAAAAACUAUUUGUAAACUCAAGUUAUUCACAAUUUGGGUUUGAAGCAAAUUUAAACAAAUUCAAAUUUAAACCAUUUAAAUUUAAAAACUAAUUGCACAAACAGAAACUAGACAAAAUUUUGAAUCUAAUGCAAAAAGAAUCACUCAAAAAAAAUAAGUAUCCUAAAAGAUAUAAGCAAUUUAAAAUAGAAACUACAAACAGAAAUAAAAUUUAAAAACAGAAAAAAAAAUACAAAAGGGAAUAGUGUAUAAAUUGAGCUGGGACGGAAGCCCUUUUUCUACUGAUGGGUGUUUGAGGGGUCGAAUUAGCGUAUCACAGCUGUACACGUUCUUAGUCACUACUAGUACUAACGCACCUUAUUAUUAAUUCAGCAUGCCAGUGGCAUCGAUGGAUAGAAACUUGGUCAAAACACUAUCUGGAAAUGCGUCUGAACCUGUGGGCGCUUGUGUAAGAAGUCCUGCUGGCUGCAAAAAGUUGUUUCAUUGCACGGCGUUUACAGCUAUGCAUAUCUGCGCCGUGUAUAUGCAUGUGAAUAUGUGCUUUGUAGUUAAUGCAUAGUACUUCCUUUGUUUUUAAAUAUAAGUUUUUUAAAAAAUUUCAUUAGAUGACUACAUAUAAAACAAAAUGAAUGAAUCUAUAUUUUGAAAUAUGAAUAUUGCUUUUGGCUUCCGAGCUCACUGGAGGCCUUUAAAUUCAAACUUCAAAUUCAGUAAAAACUCGUAUUUUAAUAUUUCAAAAAAAUCUGAAAAAAACUACAUAGAUAGAUGAAGGUAUAAUAGAAAAGUGUGUAAAUUUUCAGAACAAAAUACGUUGAAAUGAGGGCUGUACAAAAAAGACAAAUCUGAAACUUUUUAGCACAUGUUACUAUUCAUCAUUUCAGACCAUGAAUUUAUCUUUUUUGUACAGAUCGCGUUUCAAAGUAUUUUGACCUGAAUUUUUACACGCACACGAVUCACAUCCUUGUUUAGUUGUAUAAUUUUUUUCAGAUAUUUUGGAAUUAAAAUUUUCGAAUUUUGAAUUUUUUAAAUAUUUCGGCCUCCAUGGCUCCCCGGUAGCCAAAACACCAUUUUCUCUGAAAUAUGUUUAUAUACAUCUGUAUGUAGUCCUCUAAUUAAAUCUUUUGAAAGACUUAUAUUUAAGAAUAGAGGAAAUACAUUUCUGACAUUAGCUUGUGUAUUCAACAUCACGUAUUGACAACUGUUCAGCCAUGUGUUGACAAGUUUGCAUACGCGGACAGGUACCUGACUCGGAAGCAAGAGGCCAACAUGUUGCAACCUGUGUUGUUUUGACACUCAAGUUCUGUCACAUCACAUGGGUCAAAUUGGCCGUUGUUUAGGAGUUUUGGUCACAAUACAAUAUUUUUGUCAGCUCUGUAACUGUAAAGCAUAUCUUAUCAAGAGCUCAAAUGCAUUCCCCCAUUUUUGUAAGCACAUACACGUACCUACGACUACGGAUGGCCUGAUGCACACGUAAACCAUGGUUAUUGAUGCAGUUAUAUAGUUUAUGAGUUACUAGCAAAAGGGCCCGUGCGUUGCAAUGGAAGAAAAAAAUACCACACGCUUUUAAUCUUUUUAUAAUUAUUUUGAUUUAUUAAAAUAAUAAGCUAACUAACUAAUGUAGUCAGUUCUAUUUUAUUUUGUUGAGAAAUCAACCCAUCCAUUGUUCAUUCCACCAUGAUGAGAAAUUGAGCGGGACAAGCAAAGCAAAACAAAGAGGCUACGUGAAUUGAUCAAUGGACUGUUAUCUUAUUUCACUCAUGGGCUAGAGAAUAUGGGAUCAGAUGACAAACUGAAGGUGGUGUUUCAUUCUCUGUCUCUACAACAAUACAAUCUUACAUUCAAUACAUUUAUUCAUCAGCAAAAAAAUCCCCACAAAACAAAAUUUCUUGUCGGUGCUUGGCACACGGUUGGAGGGAUGGGGAGGGGAUCUCACCAGAUGAUGAGUUCCUGCCGGAGAAGGGGAUACGAUGAGGGGAGCAAGGGUUAGACGCCUCUAUCUGCCAUAAGGAGUCACCGUUGCCGCGCCAUAACCUCGAAGUUCCCCGUGUGAGCCAUGAAGACCCGCCUCCACCNNNNNNNNNNNNNNNNNNNNNNNNNNNNNNNNNNNNNNNNNNNNNNNNNNNNNNNNNNNNNNNNNNNNNNNNNNNNNNNNNNNNNNNNNNNNNNNNNNNNGAUAGUGUCCAAAGAAACUAUGCGACUACGGAAAAGGAAUUUUUAGCAGGCGUGUUUGCAUGUCAAAAGUUCAGAUCUUACAUAGUUGAUUCCAAAGUCACUAUUCACACUGAUUACGCUGCUAUUAAGUACCUCAUGGAAAAGAAAGACGCUAAACCUAGACUUAUCAGAUGGGUUCUCUUGCUACAAGAAUUUGAUUUGCAUGUUGUCGAUAAGAAGGGUGCUGAGAACCCCAGUAGCAUAUAACUUGUCUAGGUUGGAGAAUGUUCUUGAUGACCCACAACCUAGUGCACCGUGCUAUGUAGCUUCCCUGAUGAGCAAUUGAGUGUCAUCAAUACUUCACCUAGUGCACCGUGCUAUGCUGAUUAUGCAAAUUAUAUCGUUGCCAAAUAUAUACCACCUAGUUUCACAUAYCAGCAAAAGAAGAAAUUMUUCUUURAUUUGAGACAUUACUUUUGGGAUGAUCCUCACCUUUAUAAGGAAGGAGUAGAUGGUGUUAUUAGACGUUGURUACCUGAACAUGAACAGGGACAGAUCCUACAGAAGUGUCACUCCGAGGCCUACGGAGGACACCAUGCGGGAGAUAGAACUGCACACAAGGUAUUGCAAUCAGGUUUCUAUUGGCCCACUCUCUUCAAGGAUGCCCGUAAGUUUGUCUUGUCUUGUGAYGAAUGUCAAAGAAUAGGUAAUAUYAGYAAACGUCAGGAAAUGCCUAUGAACUAUUCACUUGUCAUUGAACCAUUUGAUGUYUGGGGCUUUGAUUAUAUGGGACCYUUYCCRARUUCCAAUGGGUAYACUCACAUCUUAGUUGCUGUKGAUUACRUUACUAAGUGGGUAGAAGCUAUUCCCCACUAAAAAUGYUGAUCACCACACCUCUAUUAWGAUGCYUAAAGAAGUCAUAUUCCCAAGAUUUGGAGUCCCUAGAUACUUGAUGACUGAUGGCGGUUCACACUUCAUUCAUGGUGUUUUCCGCAAGAUGCUAGCUAAGUAUGAUGUCAACCAUAGAGUUGCAUCUCCUUAUCNNNNNNNNNNNNNNNNNNNNNNNNNNNNNNNNNNNNNNNNNNNNNNNNNNNNNNNNNNNNNNNNNNNNNNNNNNNNNNNNNNNNNNNNNNNNNNNNNNNNACAUCUAUUGUCCAUCCCUCCCGUGGCAGCGGUUUCCAAAAGGAUACUACAGGAUAUUAAGGUUCUCCUUUUAAAUAAGAACUAGAACAAUGCAUUAGCACUUGGUGAACACAUGAACUCCUCAAACUAUGGUCAUCACCGGGAGUGGUUCCGGUUAUUGUCACUCCGGGGUUGCCGGGUCAUAACACAUAGUAGGUAACUACAACUUGCAAGAUCGGAUCUAAAACACACAUAUCUUGGUGACAACAUAAUARKUUCAGAUCWGAAAUYAUGGCAMUCGGGCCCUAGUGACAAGCAUUAAGCAUGGCAAAGUAGUAGCAACAUCAAUCUCAGAACAUAGUGGAUACUAGGGAUCAAUCCCCGUCAAAACUAACUCGAUUACAUGAUAGAUCUCAUCCUACUCAUCACCGCCCAGCGAGCCUAUGAAUAGAUUACUCACGAACGAUGAAGAGCUUCAUGGAAUUGGAGAGGGAAGAAGGUUGAUGAUGACGAUGGCGACGAUUUCCCBUCUCCGGAGCCCAAAACGGACUCCAGAUCUGCCCUCCAGAUGAAGAACAGGAUGUGGCGGCGCCUCCGUAUCGCAAACGCGACGAAAUCUUCUCUCUUGAUUUUUUUUCUCAACGAAAGUGAAUUUAUAGAGAUGGAGUUGGGGGCGGCAGACCCAUGUGGGCCCGACAAACUUGGUUGCCGCGGCCAGGGGGGUGGCCGUGACAACAUGGCUUGUGGCCCACUGGCCCAUCCCCUCCGGUGGAUCUUUGCGCAGGUAUUUUUCAUAUUCUCCAGAAAUAUUCUCCGUAAAUUUUCAGGACAUUCCGAGAACUUUCAUUUCUUCACAAAAACAACACCAUGGCAAUUCUGCUGAAAAUAGCGUCAGACCGGGUUAGUUCCAUUCAAAUCAUGCAAAUUAGAGUCCAAAACAAGGGCAAAAGAGUUUGGAAAAGUAGAUANNNNNNNNNNNNNNNNNNNNNNNNNNNNNNNNNNNNNNNNNNNNNNNNNNNNNNNNNNNNNNNNNNNNNNNNNNNNNNNNNNNNNNNNNNNNNNNNNNNNUUUACUAUUUUGCUAGGAUGUAGCUUUAGUAGUAAUAGCAUAAGUAGCACGACAACCACGAUGGCAACACGUUGAUGGAUGAUCAUGGUGUGGCGCCGGUGACAAGAAGAUCGUGCCGGUGCUUUGGUGAUGGAGAUCAAGAAGCACAAGAUGAUGGCCAUAUCAUGUCAYUUAUGAAUUGCAUGUGAUGUUAAYCCUUUUAUGCACCUUAUUUUGCUUAGAAYGACGGUAGCAUUAUGAGGUGAUCUCUCACUAAAAUUUCAAGAUMAAAKUUGUGUUCUCCCCGACUGUGCACCGUUGCUACAGUUCGUCGUUUCGAGACACCACGUGAUGAUCGGGUGUGAUAGACUCAACGUUCACAUACAACAGGUGUAAAACAGUUGCACACACGGAACACUCGGGUUAAUCUUGACGAUCCUAGCAUGUGCAGACAUGGCCUCGGAACACAUGAGACCGAAAGGUCGAGCAUGAAUCGUAUAGUUGAUAUGAUUAGCAUAGAGAUGCUUACCACUAAAACUAUUCUCAACUCACGUGAUGAUCGGACUCGAGUUAGUAAAUUUGGAUCAUGUACCACUCAAAUGACUAGAGAGAUGUACUUUUUGAGUGGGAGUUUAGCAAGUNNNNNNNNNNNNNNNNNNNNNNNNNNNNNNNNNNNNNNNNNNNNNNNNNNNNNNNNNNNNNNNNNNNNNNNNNNNNNNNNNNNNNNNNNNNNNNNNNNNNGAGAAAAAGGUGAAAUCAAGAGGUAAUAUGGUGAGCAGCUCUUUGUACAAGUGUAAGCGGAUGUUUAUCCAGCAGUUCAAUACCCUGCUUAAGGUUGGUGAUUUUAAGAGAAUGGUAGAUGCCCUAAAGAAACUUGAUGAGGUUGCUUCCGCUGUGGACCGGUUUAUCAUGCUCGUGGAUCGAUUUGAUCCUUCUAGUUUGAGGCACAUGGGGCAUCAGGGAAUUGGUAAUCCUCGUGAGACUAGUUCCUUCUUGUUUGAUGGCAAAAUAGUCGGCCGUGAUACAGAGAGGGAUCAGGUAGUUGAAUGGUUGGUCAAGCAAGAAAGUGAUGGUGUUCAAAAAUGUGAUGUUUGCAGUGUCACCACUUACGCUAUAGUGGGCAUAGGUGGCAUGGGCAAGACGACACUAGCACAGGCGGUCUACAAUGACCAAAGAGUGAAGCAAUGCUUUGAUCAGAUUAUGUGGGUGUGUGUGUCCAAUGAAUUUGAUGUCCUUGGUCUGACAAGAAAGAUUGUACAAGAAAUUACUGGGCAAGGUACCAAUAUCACUAGUCUAAAUUCGCUUCAAGAGAUCCUCAGAGGGAAGCUGAGCUCCAAGAAAUUUCUGCUUGUAUUUGAUGAUGUAUGGAAUGAUGAGAGAAGGCCAGACUGGGAGAAAUUAGUCGCUCCUCUGAAAUUUGGCCAAAGGGGAAGCAAGCUCUUAUUGACAACUCGAAUGCAAUCAGUUGUAGACAUUGUUGAAAGGGUACUAGGAGGAAGGGCCGAGUCUUUGAGAUUGGAGGGUCUACAUGAUAAUGAUCUUUUCGCACUUCUGAACAAGCACGCGUUCUUUGGAGUGAAUCCUGAUGAUUAUAUGAACUUGCAAGAUAUUGGACAGAAAAUCAUUAAAAAGUUAAGUGGAAGCCCAUUAGCUGCAAAGGUAUUGGGUGGGCUAUUGAACAACUCUAUGGACAGUACAUACUGGAAUCGAAUGCUAAGAGAAAAUAUCUCUAGCAUUGAGCAUGGCAAUGAAGGUGUUAUGAAAGUUUUAAGAUUAAGUUAUCAUCAUCUUCCUCCACAUCUACAGGCUUGCUUCAGAUAUUGCAGCAUGUUCCGAGAAGAUUACCGGUUCAGUAAAGCUGAUCUGGUACAGUUAUGGAUGGGCUCAGGACUGAUCCAGCUAUCUGCAGAUGAAGAUCAGAUACCAGAGGAUGUGGGUGAACAUUAUUUGCGUACACUGACAAGGAAGUCUUUCUUUGAAGUGCAUUCACAAGAGUCCAGUGAUAUGUCUUAUCAUGGUGACUUUUCUCUUGAAUACUAUGUGAUGCAUGAUUUAUUGCAUGAUCUAGGACGUACCGUUUCCAAAAAGGAAUGCAUCAGAAUUUUCAGCGAUGAUUAUGGUAGUAUUCCAAGAACAGUUCGCCAUGCAAAAAUUACAGUGGUAAAUCAUACAUCGUUCACGGAUUUCUCUGUACUAAAGAAACUGCGGACCCUGCUUAUAUCAUUUGAUGAAACAAUACAGAAAAGGGAUCAGUGGAUUGUACUGGAAAAAGUGCUAAAAGUAGCAACAAAAUUGAGGGUUUUGCAUGUACAGACAUCCUCGCUUUUCAAGCUGCCUGAUGCCUUUGGUAAUCUAACGCACCUUCGAUAUUUGUGUCAUUGGGGACCGUGUAAGGAAGUGGCAAAAUAUUCAUUUUGGUGUCCUUGCUCUAUAUACAAGUUAUAUCAUCUCCAAAGGAUAAAGUUAGAUAGAUGUUUGUUAUUAUCCUGUAGACUGCAAAACUUGGUUAAUCUGAGAUAUCUAGUCUUUUCGGGUAAUCUAAUAGGAUUUCCGCCUUACUUUGGACACUUAACUUCUCUUCAAGAAUUAAAUACUAAUAUGUGUGUCCCACCUGGCUAUGGUUUCCUGGCACGUGAGCUUGAGGAUUUAAAAGGUCUCCGUCGUUUAUAUGCUAGUGGGCUUGAGAAUGUCAGUGCACAAGAAGGAACUUCUGCUAAGCUGGGUGAAAAGGAAAGUCUCAUCAUGUUAUCACUCUCUUGGGACAGUGGCCAACUGGAAGCAGAUGGGGAGGAACUACUGAAUAGCCUUCAACCUCACACGAACCUUGAAAAGCUGAAGAUUCAAAGAUAUAAUGGUAUGAAAUCUCCGUGUUGGAUGGAAAAUCCUAUGCUGACAAACUUGACAUAUGUUUCUCUCUCAGAUUGCAACAACUGGCAACACCUUCCACCUUUAGGCGGACUACCUUCACUCAAAUAUCUCUACUUACAACAUAUGAAUGCAGUGAAAAGAAUAGAAGGUUCCUUUUAUGGCUGUGAGGUGCCUCUUGCCUUCCCGUCUCUUAAGUUGCUCUCAAUUGAAAUGCUUCCAUCACUAGAGGAGUGGGUUGGAUCGGAGGAUAUGAUUCUGUUUCCGCAGCUCGAAAAGUUAUUCAUUAGACGAUGCAGGCUAUUGAGAAAUAUACCAGCACUGCCAUCUACUCUUGCUCAUCUUGAAAUACGUGAUGCUGGUUUGUCUACUCUUCCUGCAACUUAUCAUCCCAGUGAAGCAUCAGUACACCAAAAGCCAGUACUUUCCAGGCUGAACAUCUAUGAUUGUCCAAAUCUAGUGACACUGGGCCAAGAGUAUUGUUUCCUUUAUCUGGAGGAAUUAUGCAUUGCACGCUGUAAAAAUCUGUUGCAUUUGCCGAUGGAUAAAUUGCAGACACCCCAACUCCUUAAAAGUUUGACAGUGAGGGGUUGCCCCAAGCUGAUGGCCCUGCAGGAAGAUAUCAGUUUGCCAUCAUCAAUCGUAAAGCUUCAUAUAUAUUCAUGUGGUGUUUAUGGGGCUUAUCAUGUCAACUCCCUGUGCAGCCUCACAUCUCUUAGUACUCUGUGUUUAGAGGGAGAUAUGAGUUUGCCAUCGUGUAAUCGUGUGACGACAGCUGCCCCAGAGGAAGAUAUGAGUUUGCCAUCGUCUAUCAGAGAGCUUUCUGUUGUUUCAUGUGGUGUUUAUGAGACUUGUCUACUCAACUCCCUGUGCGGCCUCACUUGUCUUACUACUCUGUGUUUACAUGACUGUGAGGUGACAGCCCUUCCCUCCGCAGACGUUUUUAGGGGUCUCAGAGCAGUGCAGCAUUUGGAAAUUGUGAAGUGCAGGGAGCUUGCUGCUCUAGAUGGGAUAGAAGAACUGGCUUCCCUCACGGAGUUAAUUGUGUAUGGAUGCGAGAAGCUUCUUGGCAAUCCGUCUCUGCAGCAAGCUUCUGAUACCGAUCAAAUCGCUACAGUCUCCCCUUCGCACCUUGGAAGACUUGAGAAGCUGAGAAUCAGCAAUCCAUUUCUCUUGCAAUGGGAGCCUUUGAGUAGAGUCAACUCGGUUACAGACUUGACCAUUGACAACAGCUCUAGAUGUUUACCUGAGGAGUGGUUGAUGAAAAACAGUGACCAUCUCAAACACCUGGGAGUGCUUGAUGCUUCUCAGCUGGAGUUCCUACCCUCGGUCAUGGCAAGGCUCCCCUCCCUUGCGACAUUGGAAUUCAAAAGAGCUAUACUGGUCCUGUCACUUCCAGAGCUGCCGGCCUCCUUACAGUUUUUACAAAUCCUUGGUUGUCAUCCUGUACUAAAGCAGCGAUGCAGGAAGAGAAGAGGCCAUGACUGGCAUAAGGUUGCGCACAUCCCUGUCCUGCGGAUUGUACAAGAUCUUCCAUCGGCGUAUGCAUGGCGUUCCUUUGCUGGUAUGGGUUCUCAGCCAUAAUAGUGGUAGUAUCACUUGCUAGUUGCUAUAUAUUCAAAGUGUGUGUGUCCUACUUCUACUGUACUCAAUAAAUGUCUCAAGAACUGCACUCGGUCUUCUGAGAUGUGAUUCCUCAUCCUAAGAUACACACAAUGGCAACUACUCCCUCUGUACCACAAUACUUGUUGUUGGAGAGAACUAGUCCAGUUCUUCCCAACAACAAGUAUUUUGGAACAGAGGGGAUAAACAACAAGUGAUAGCUGAGUAGAAAUUUCAUAGCUUUUAUUUUUCCUGGAUAAUUAUCUUUCUAAAUAGUUUAUACUCCCUUUGUACCCAAAUACAGAGGGAGUAGUAUUUAUAAUAUAAUAUAUAUCCUCUAAGGUUGACACUUUGUCAUUUCUAGGUAUUAUGCUGGCAAUGGGCCCAUGUUAGAGGAGGACGUGAGCCUUGGGCAAUGGCCGGCCGGCUGCACACACAGUAAAAACAUGGAUCGCGUGGUAUGGCAAGUUGCAACCAUAUGUAUAUGUAUCCGUUUCCUACUCCCUCACUCCCAAAAUCUUCCCCGGCCCUGAAUUGGGACUCAGCCAAUUCAGGUGUGUACUGGUGUUCUAAUCCUAAGAGAAAUCCUAAUGGGUUGGUACCAUGAGCUGGUUAAUCUCAACUAGGGACAGAAAUCUCACCUCGUCGUGCCGGACGACGCAACUGCGCUCUUCGACGGAGCAGCACACGGCGCCACCAUGGACGGCGGCCAGCUCGGCUGGCGGCGCCGCCGGCCGGCCGCCUCUCUCUUUAUGGUAGUUUGCUUCGACGUUGGACCGUUCUCAGCCGUCGGUUUUGAUUCGAUCCUAAGGAUCGGAUCUGUGCGGCAGAUGGCAGGCCUUCGGGUACCCUAAAUGGGCUAUAUUCCAUCACGGGCUAAAACUCAGUUUAAAACAGCCCGCCAAGAAAUGUUCUUCUUUUUGAGAGAUUUUCAUGCUGAUGGCCUAAAACCAGCCUCAAGAAAGGAAAAGAAAAAAGGGGCUACUACGCAUCCACCGACGGAUGUUUAGUAAACAUCCGUCAUCUGGACGACCGUCCGAUCUAUGCGCGCAUCCGUUCGAUCCGCACUCGCGGGGCUUUGGUCGGACAUCCAGUAAUUCCUAAUACGACGGUCGACUUGCAGAAACAAUCGCUUUGCUGCAAAAAAUAAACUUUGGACCCAUUAAUUCCUGAAACAACGGUCGAGUUUCAGAAACAAUUGCUUUAUUACAGAAAUUUUUUUCUUCGUCUUUCUGCAACAUAGGUACUAUCGCGGGAGAAUUUUUUGCAACAAAGGUCAUGUUUCAGAAAAUUUCUUCGUCUUUGUUGCAGAAUUUUUGCAACAAAGGAUCGCAUUGCAAAAAACUGAAGAGGGGUAAAUGGAGUGGGAGAGGUAGGAGACGGGAUCCAAAAAUCCAACCAAAACUCCUGAAACAACGGUUGCAUUGCAAAAACAACGACCGUGUUGGAGAAAACCGAAGAUGACUAGAUGAAGAGGGAGAGGUAGGAGACGGGAUCCAAAAAUCCAUACACUCGAACUCCUUCCACCGAGGGGAGGUGCACCUCGCCCCGGCCAGCCCGCCCCUCGUGGCCUCCCACCAGACCCUCUCCGGAAAGAAAUGAGUGGAGGGAGGAGGUUGAAGAAGAGAUAAGGCUAGAAAGAGAUACUUGGAUGGACCAUAGGGACACGUGUUGUUUAGGGGAGGCGGAUGAUGCGUUCGAGUUUUCCGCCGAUUGAAGGACAAUUUUUCCCAAGAAAAAAACAGCUUUUGCUUUAGCUCAAUAACAAAAAGUCCACUGUUUGUCCCUAACUAAACCGUAAUGUACGUGGCUGCUGCUCCAACUUAUGUAUGCAGAUGAAAUUUGAAACUACCGCUGCUUCAUUGUGCACAACAUUUUCUUCGAUGUCGAACUGUGCACAACGUGGGCGCCACUGCCUCUAUAUGACUGGAGGAAAUUACGCACGAAUCAUAGAGGCCUCACAAAGAAUGCUAAAAUUACCAGGUUUCCAUCGGAAAAAUUCAAACUGCACAUGUGUUGUUUAUGCUCGAGGAUGAUGACAGUUUAUACAACAUCUCACAUCCUCCUUCGAUCCCACACAAAUGCUCUCAAACCGCAAGCAUACGAAAUGUUUGUUUUGUGCUCUCAAAUCGCAAGAGUACUAAUUAUUUGUUUGUGUCCUGUUCAUGGGUGCUUGUGUAUUCCCUGGCAUGCGUCCAAACAUAGAAUUAACUACUCCCUCUGUUCUUAAAUAUAAGUCUUUUUAGAGGUUUCACUAUGAAACUAUAUACGGAUGUAUGUAGACAUACUAUAGAACGUAGAUUCAUUCAUUUCGUUUGGUAUGUAGUCCUCUAAUGAAAUCUCUAAAAAAUCUUAUAUUUAGGAACAGAGGAAGUAGAUCAUACUUCACGCAUUGAUACGGUAAUAUUGCUAAAAAAAUGCAUAAUUAGGUACAUACAACACGGACAACUAAAACUAAUGAAACACUUUAACUUUAAAACAUUAAAAAGUGAAGCGCAUAAUGAAAUAAUAUACAAAAGAGAAUAAAAUUCAGUUAAAAAGAGUGUGUCAUUUCUAAAUAAAAGAGUGAAUGAUCAACUAUAUAGAUAUGCUCCGAGCACCCAACACAUAUACCGUAUCUAUUGGGGAACGUCGCAUGGGAAACAAAAAUUUUCCUACGCGCACGAAGACUUAUCAUGGUGAUGUCCAUCUACGAGAAGGGAUGAGUCAUCUACGUACCCUUGUAGAUCGUACAGCAGAAGCGUUAGAGAACGCGGUUGAUGUAGUGGAACGUCCUCACGUCCCUCGAUCCGCCCCGCGAACAAUCCCGCGAUCAGUCCCACGAUCUAGUACCGAACGGACGGCACCUCCGCGUUCAGCACACGUACAGCUCGACGAUGAUCUCGGCCUUCUUGAUCCAGCAAGAGAGACGGAGAGGUAGAAGAGUUCUCCGGCAGCGUGACGGCGCUCCGGAGGUUGGUGAUGAUCUUGUCUCAGCAGGGCUCCGCCCGAGCUCCGCAGAAACGCGAUCAAGAGGAAAAACUAUGGAGGUAUGUGGUCGGGCAGCCGUGAGAAAGUCGUCUCAAAUCUGCCCUAAAAGCCCCAUAUAUAUAGGAGGAGGGAGGGGGACCUUGCCUUGGGGUCCAAGGGACCCUCAAGGGGUCGGCCGAGCCAAGGGGGGGAGGACUCCCCCCCCCCAAACCGAGUUGGACUUGGUUUGGUGGGAGGAGUCCCCCUCCUUUCCCACUUCCUCCCUCUUUUUUUCUUUUCCUUUGAUUUUCUUUUCUUGCCGCAUAGGCCCCCUUGGGGCUGUCCCACCAGCCCACUAAGGGCUGGUGUGUCUCCCCAAAGCCUAUGGGCUUCCCCGGGGUGGGUUGCCCCCCCCCCCCCCGGUGAACUCCCGGAACCCAUUCGUCAUUCCCGGUACAUUCCCGGUAACUCCGAAAACCUUCCGGUAAUCAAAUGAGGUCAUCCUAUAUAUCAAUCUUCAUUUCCGGACCAUUCCGGAAACCUCGUGACGUCCGUGAUCUCAUCCGGGACUCCGAACAACAUUCGGUAACCGACCAUAUAACUCAAAUACGCAUAAAACAACGUCGAACCUUAAGUGUGCAGACCCUGCGGGUUCGAGAACUAUGUAGACAUGACCCGAGAGACUCCUCGGUCAAUAUCCAAUAGCGGGACCUGGAUGCCCAUAUUGGAUCCUACAUAUUCUACGAAGAUCUUAUCGUUUGAACCUCAGUGCCAAGGAUUCGUAUAAUCCCGUAUGUCAUUCCCUUUGUCCUUCGGUAUGUUACUUGCCCGAGAUUCGAUCGUCAGUAUCCGCAUACCUAUUUCAAUCUCGUUUACCGGCAAGUCUCUUUACUCGUUCCGUAAUACAAGAUCCCGCAACUUACACUAAGUUACAUUGCUUGCAAGGCUUGUGUGUGAUGUUGUAUUACCGAGUGGGCCCCGAGAUACCUCUCCGUCAUACGGAGUGACAAAUCCCAGUCUUGAUCCAUACUAACUCAACUAACACCUUCGGAGAUACCUGUAGAGCAUCUUUAUAGUCACCCAGUUACGUUGCGACAUUUGAUACACACAAAGCAUUCCUCCGGUGUCAGUGAGUUAUAUGAUCUCAUGGUCAUAGGAAUAAAUACUUGACACGCAGAAAACAGUAGCAACAAAAUGACACGAUCAACAUGCUACGUCUAUUAGUUUGGGUCUAGUCCAUCACGUGAUUCUCCCAAUGACGUGAUCCAGUUAUCAAGAAACAACACCUUGUUCAUAAUCAGAAGACACUGACUAUCAUUGAUCAACUGGCUAGCCAACUAGAGGCAUGCUAGGGACGGUGUUUUGUCUAUGUAUCCACACAUGUAAAUGAGUCUUCAUUCAAUACAAUUAUAGCAUGGAUAAUAAACUAUUAUCUUGAUACAGGAAUUAUAAUAAUAACUAUAAAUUUAUUAUUGCCUCUAGGGCAUAAUUCCAACAGUCUCCCACUUGCACUAGAGUCAAUAAUCUAGCCCUCACAUCACCAUGUGAAUUACAUUGUAAUAAAUCUAACACCCAUACAGUUCUGGUGUCGAUCAUGUUUUGGCCGUGGAAGAGGUUUAGUCAGCGGGUCUGCUACAUUCAGAUCCGUGUGCACUUUGCAUAUAUUUACGUCCUCCUCCUCGACGUAGUCGCGGAUGAGGUUGAAGCGUCGUUUGAUGUGUCUGGUCUUCUUGUGAAACCUUGGUUCCUUUGCUAAGGCAAUGGCACCAGUGUUGUCACAGAACAAGGUUAUUGGAUCCAGUGCACUUGGCACCACUCCAAGAUCCGUCAUGAACUGCUUCAUCCAGACACCCUCCUUAGCCGCCUCCGAGGCAGCCAUGUACUCCGCUUCACAUGUAGAAUCUGCUACGACGCUUUGCUUGGAACUGCACCAGCUUACUGCACCCCCAUUAAGAAUAAAUACGUAUCCGGUUUGCGACUUAGAGUCGUCCAGAUCUGUGUCAAAGCUUGCAUCGACGUAACCUUUUACGGCGAGCUCUUCGUCACCUCCAUACACGAGAAACAUCUCCUUAGUCCUUUUCAGGUACUUCAGGAUAUUCUUGACCGUCGUCCAGUGAUCCACUCCUGGAUUACUCUGGAACCUACCUGCCAUACUUAUGGCCAGGCUAACAUCCGGUCUAGUGCACAGCAUCGCAUACAUGAUAGAGCCUAUGGCUGAAGCAUAGGGGGCGGAGCGCAUAUGCUCUCUAUCUUCAUCAGUUGCUGGGCACUGAGUCUUACUCAAUCUCGUACCUUGUAACACUGGCAAGAACCCUUUCUUGGACUGUUCCAUUUUGAACCUCUUCAAAACUUUAUCAAGGUAUGUGCUUUGUGAAAGUCCUAUCAGGCGUUUUGAUCUAUCCCUAUAGAUCUUAAUGCCUAGAGUGUAAGCAGCUUCUCCUAGGUCCUUCAUAGAGAAACUUUUAUUCAAGUAACCUUUUAUGCUCUCCAAAAGCUCUACGUUGUUUCCAAUCAGUAAUAUGUCAUCCACAUAUAAUAUUAGAAACGCCACAGAGCUCCCACUCACUUUCUUGUAAAUACAAGAUUCUCCAACCACUUGUAUAAACCCAAAUGCUUUGAUCACCUCAUCAAAGCGUUUGUUCCAACUUCGAGAUGCUUGCACCAGUCCAUAAAUGGAUCGCUGGAGCUUGCACACUUUGUCAGCAUUUUUAGGAUCGACAAAACCUUCGGGUUGCAUCAUAUACAACUCUUCCUUAAGGAAACCGUUAAGGAACGCCGUUUUGACAUCCAUCUGCCAGAUUUUAUAAUCGAAAAAUGCAGCUAUUGCUAACAUGAUCCUGACGGACUUAAGCAUCGCUACGGGUGAGAAGGUCUCAUCGUAGUCAACUCCUGGAACUUGUGAAAAACCCUUUGCCACAAGUCGAGCUUUAUAAACGGUCACGUUACCGUCAGCGUCCGUCUUCUUCUUAAAGAUCCAUUUGCUCUGAAUAGCCUUGCGGCCCUCAGGCAGUAUCUCCAAAGUCCACACUUUGUUCUCAUACAUGGAUCCUAUCUCGGAUUUCAUGGCUUCUAGCCAUUUGUUGGAAUCUGGGCCCACCAUUGCUUCUUCAUAAUUUGCAGGUUCAUUGUUGUCUAACAACAUGAUUGAUAAGACGGGAUUACCGUACCACUCUGGAGUAGCGCGUGAUCUCGUCGACCUGCGUGGUUCAACAGAAACUUGAACUGGAGUUUCAUGAUCAUCAUCAUUAACUUCCUCCUCAACCGGCGUCGCAAUGACAGAGGUUUCCCCUUGCCCUGCGCCACCAUCCAGAGGGAUGAGAGGUUCGACAACCUCGUCAAGUUCUAUCUUCCUCCCACUCAAUUCUCUUGAGAGAAACUCUUUCUCGAGAAAAGUUCCGUUCUUAGCAACAAACACUUUGCCCUCGGAUUUGAGAUAGAAGGUGUACCCAACUGUCUCUUUUGGGUAACCUAUGAAGACGCAUUUUUCCGCUUUGGGUUCCAGCUUUUCAGGCUGAAGCUUUUUGACAUAAGCAUCACAUCCCCAAACUUUAAGAAAUGACAACUUUGGCCUCUUGCCAUACCACAGUUCGUAUGGUGUCGUCUCAACGGAUUUUGAUGGUGCCCUAUUUAAAGUGAAUGCAGCUGUUUCUAAUGCAUAACCCCAAAACGAUAACGGCAAAUCAGUAAGAGACAUCAUAGAUCGCACCAUCUCUAACAAAGUACGAUUACGACGUUCGGACACACCAUUAUGCUGUGGUGUUCCAGGCGGUGUUAACUGUGAAACAAUUCCACAUUGUCUUAAGUGAGCACCAAACUCGAAACUCAGAUAUUCACCCCCACGAUCAGACCGUAGGAACUUGAUCUUCUUGUUACGAUGAUUUUCCACUUCACUCUGAAAUUGCUUGAACUUUUCAAAUGUUUCAGACUUGUGCUUCAUCAAGUAGACAUAACCAUAUCUACUUAAAUCGUCAGUGAAGGUGAGGAAAUAACGAUAUCCGCCGCGUGCCACCAUGCUCAUUGGACCACACACAUUGGUAUGUAUGAUUUCCAAUAAGUCACUUGCACGCUCCAUUGUUCCGGAGAACGGAGUCUUAGUCAUCUUGCCCAUGAGGCAUGGUUCGCACGUGUCAAGUGAAUCAAAGUCAAGUGACUCCAAAAGUCCAUCAGCAUGGAGUUUCUUCAUGCGCUUUACACCAAUAUGACCCAAGCGGCAGUGCCACAAAAAUAUGGCGCUAUCAUUGUUUACUCUAACUCUUUUGGUCUCAAUGUUAUGUAUAUGCGUAUCACUAUCAAGAUUCAAUAUGAACAAUCCUCUCACAUUCGGUGCAUGACCAUAAAAGAUGUUACUCAUAGAAAUAGAACAACCAUUAUUCUCAGACUUAAAAGAGUAACCGUCUCGCAAUAAACAAGAUCCAGAUAUAAUGUUCAUGCUCAACGCAGGCACUAAAUAACAAUGAUUUAAGUUCAUCACUAAUCCCGAUGGUAGCUGAAGUGACACUGUGCCGACGGCGAUUGCAUCAACCUUGGAACCGUUUCCUACGCGCAUCGUCACUUCAUCUUUCGCCAGCCUUCGUCUAUUUCGCAGUUCCUGUUUCGAGUUGCAAAUGUGAGCAACAGAACCGGUAUCGAAUACCCAGGCACUACUACGAGAGCCGGUUAAGUACACAUCAAUAACAUGUAUAUCAAAUAUACCUGAUUUUUCCUUGCCCGCCUUCUUAUCUGCCAGAUACUUGGGGCAAUUGCGCUUCCAGUGACCCAUACCCUUGCAAUAGAAGCACUCUGUUUCAGGCUUAGGUCCAGCCUUGGGUUUCUUCGGCGGAUUGGCAACAGGCUUGCCGCUCUUCUUCGAAUUGCCCUUCUUGCCUUUGCCGUUUCUCUUGAAACUAGUGGUCUUGCUCACCAUCAACACUUGAUGUUCUUUACGGAGUUCAGACUCUGCGACUUUCAGCAUCGCAAACAACUUGCCGGGAGACUUGUUCAUCCCUUGCAUGUUGUAGUUCAACACAAAGCCUUUAUAGCUUGGCGGCAGUGAUUGAAGGAUUCUGUCAGUGAUAGCUUCUUGCGGGAGUUCAAUCCCCAGUUCAGCUAGACGGUUUGAGUAUCCAGACAUUUUGAGCACAUGUUCACUGACAGACGAGUUUUCCUCCAUCUUGUAAGCAUAGAACUUAUCGGAGGUCUCAUACCUCUCGAUCCGGGCGUUCUUCUGAAAGAUAAACUCCAACUCCUGGAACAUCUCAAAUGCUCCAUGACGCUCAAAGCGACGUUGAAGUCCCAGUUCUAAGCCAUACAAGACUGCACAUUGAACUAUUGAGUAGUCCUCCUUACGUGCUAACCAAGCGUUCUUAACAUCCUGAUCAGUCGUAGCGGGUGGUUCAUCUCCUAGCGCAGCAUUAAGGACAUAAUCCUUCUUCCCAGCUUGUAAGAUUAGCUUAAGAUUACGAGCCCAGUCUACAAAGUUGCUUCCAUCAUCUUUCAACUUAGCUUUCUCUAGGAACGUAUUAAAAUUCAGGAUGACUGUUGCGUGAGCCAUGAUCUACAACACAAAUAUAUUCAAAGUGGACUUAGACUAUGUUCAAGAUAAUUAGAGUUCAACUUAAUAAAAUUAUAUGCUAAACUCCCACUCAAAAAGUACAUCUCUCUAGUCAUUUGAGUGGUUCAUGAUCCACUUACACUAUCCCAAGUCCGAUCAUCACGUGAGUUGGGUAUAGUUUCAGUGGUAAGCAUCCCUAUGCUAAUCAUAUCAACUAUAUGAUUCAUGAUCGACCUUUCGGUCUCAUGUGUUCCGAGGCCAUGUCUGCACAUGCUAGGCUCGUCAAGCUUAACCCGAGUGUUCCGCGUGCGCAACUGUUUUGCACCCGUUGUAUGUGAACGUUGAGUCUAUCACACCCGAUCAUCACGUGGUGUCUCGAAACGAUGAACUGUAGCAACGUUGCACAGUCGGGGAGAACACAAUUUCGUCUUGAAAUUUUAGUGAGAGAUCACCUCAUAAUGCUACCGUCGUUCUAAGCAAAAUAAGGUGCAUAAAAGGAUUAACAUCACAUGCAAUUCAUAAGUGACAUGAUAUGGCCAUCAUCUCGUGCUUCUUGAUCUCCAUCACCAAAGCACCGGCACGAUCUUCUUGUCACCGGCGCCACACCAUGAUCUCCAUCAACGUGUCGCCAUCGGGGUUGUCGUGCUACUCAUGCUAUUACUACUAAAGCUACAUCCUAGCAAAAUAGUAAAUGCAUCUGCAAGCACAAACGUUAGUUUAAAGACAACCCUAUGGCUCCUGCCGGUUGCCGUACCAUCGACGUGCAAGUCGAUAUUUCUAUUACAACAUGAUCAUCUCAUACAUCCAAUAUGUCACAUCACAUCGUUGGCCAUAUCACAUCACAAUCAUACCCUGCAAAAACAAGUUAGACGUCCUCUAAUUUUGUUGUUGCAUGUUUUACGUGGUGACCAAGGGUAUCUAGUAGGAUCGCAUCUUACUUACGCAAACACCACAACGGAGAUAUAUGAGUUGCUAUUUAACCUCAUCCAAGGACCUCCUCGGUCAAAUCCGAUUCAACUAAAGUUGGAGAAACCGUCACUUGCCAGUCAUCUUUGAGCAAAGGGGGUUACUCGUAACGAUGAAACCAGUCUCUCGUAAGCGUACGAGUAAUGUCAGUCCAAGCCGCUUCAAUCCAACAAUACCGCGGAAUCAAGAAAAGACUAAGGAGGGCAGUCAAAGCGCACAUUCACCGCCCACAAAAACUUUUGUGUUCUACUCGAGAAGACAUCUACGCAUGAACCUAGCUCAUGAUGCCACUAUUGGGGAACGUCGCAUGGGAAACAAAAAAUUUCCUACGCGCACGAAGACCUAUCAUGGUGAUGUCCAUCUACGAGAGGGGAUGAGUGAUCUAUGUACCCUUGUAGAUCGUACAACAGAAGCGUUAGAGAACGCGGUUGAUGUAGUGGAACGUCCUCACGUCCCUCGAUCCGCCCCGCGAACAAUCCCGCGAUCAGUCCCACGAUCUAGUACCGAACGGACGGCACCUCCACGUUCAGCACACGUACAACUCGACGAUGAUCUCGGCCUUCUUGAUCCAGCAAGAGAGACGGAGAGGUAGAAGAGUUCUCCGGCAGCGUGACGGCGCUCCGGAGGUUGGUGAUGAGGGAGGGGGACCUUGCCUUGGGGUCCAAGGGACCCUCAAGGGGUCGGCCGAGCCAAGGGGGGGAGGACUCCCCCCCCAAACCGAGUUGGACUUGGUUUGGUGGGAGGAGUCCCCCUCCUUUCCCACUUCCUCCCUCUUUUUUUUUUCUUUUCCUUUGAUUUUCUUUCUUGCUGCAUAGGCCCCCUUGGGGCUGUCCCACCAGCCCACUAAGGGCUGGUGUGUCUCCCCAAAGCCUAUGGGCUUCCCCGGGGUGGGUUGCCCCCCCCCCCCCGGUGAACUCCCGGAACCUAUUCGUGAUUCCCGGUACAUUCCCGGUAACUCCGAAAACCUUCCGGUAAUCAAAUGAGGUCAUCCUAUAUAUCAAUCUUCGUUUCCGGACCAUUCCGGAAACCCUCGUGACGUCCGUGAUCUCAUCCGGGACUCCGAACAACAUUCGGUAACCGACCAUUUACUCAAAUACGCAUAAAACAACGUCGAACCUUAAGUGUGCAGACCCUGCGGGUUCGAGAACUAUGUAGACAUGACCCGAGAGACUCCUCGGUCAAUAUCCAAUAGCGGGACCUGGAUGCCCAUAUUGGAUCCUCGGUCAAGAUCUUAUCGUUUGAACCUCAGUGCCAAGGAUUCGUAUAAUCCCGUAUGUCAUUCCCUUUGUCCUUCGGUAUGUUACUUGCCCGAGAUUCGAUCGUCAGUAUCCGCAUACCUAUUUCAAUCUCGUUUACCGGCAAGUCUCUUUACUCGUUCCGUAAUACAAGAUCCCGCAACUUACACUAAGUUACAUUGCUUGCAAGGCUUGUGUGUGAUGUUGUAUUACCGAGUGGGCCCCGAGAUACCUCUUCGUCAUACGGAGUGACAAAUCCCAGUCUUGAUCCAUACUAACUCAACUAACACCUUCGGAGAUACCUGUAGAGCAUCUUUAUAGUCACUCAGUUACGUUGCGACGUUUGNNNNNNNNNNNNNNNNNNNNNNNNNNNNNNNNNNNNNNNNNNNNNNNNNNNNNNNNNNNNNNNNNNNNNNNNNNNNNNNNNNNNNNNNNNNNNNNNNNNNCCCUAGUAAGCCUCUAGUUGACUAGCUCGUUGAUCAAAGAUGGUCAAGGUUUCCUGGCCAUGGGCAAGUGUUGUCACUUGAUAACGGGAUCACAUCAUUCGGAGAAUCAUGUGAUGGACUAGACCCAAACUAAUAGACGUAGCAUAUUGAUCGUGUCAUUUUGUUGCUACUGUUUUCUGCGUGUCAAGUAUUUGUUCCUAUGACCAUGAGAUCAUAUAACUCACGGACACCGGAGGAAUGCUUUGUGUGUAUCAAACGUCGCAACGUAACUGGGUGACUAUAAAGAUGCUCUACAGGUAUCUCCGAAGGUGUUCGUUGAGUUAGUAUGGAUCGAGACAGGGAUUUGUCACUCCGUGUGACGGAGAGGUAUCUCGGGGCCCACUCGGUAAUACAACAUUGCACACAAGCCUUGCAAGCAAUGUAACUUAGUGUAAGCUACGGGAUCUUGUAUUACGGAACGAGUAAAAGAGACUUGCCGGUAAAUGAGAUUGAAAUAGGUAUGCGGAUACUGAUGAUCGAAUCUCGGGCAAGUAACAUACCGAAGGACAAAGGGAAUGACAUACGGGAUUAUAUGAAUCCUUGGCACUGAGGUUCAAACGAUAAGAUCUUCGUAGAAUAUGUAGGAUCCAAUAUGGGCAUCCAGGUCCCGCUAUUGGAUAUUGACCGAGGAGUCUCUCGGGUCAUGUCUACAUAGUUCUCGAACCCGCAGGGUCUGCACACUUAAGGUUCGACGUUGUUUUAUGCGUAUUUGAGUUAUAUGGUUGGUUACCGAAUGUUGUUCGGAGUCCCGGAUGAGAUCACGGACGUCACGAGAGUUUCCGGAAUGGUCCGAAAACGAAGAUUGAUAUAUAGGAUGACCUCAUUUGAUUACCGGAAGGUUUUCGGAGUUACCGGGAAUGUACCGGGAAUGACGAAUGGGUUCCGGGAGUUCACCGGGGGGGCAACUCACCCCGGGGAAGCCCAUAGGCCAUGAGGGUGGCACACCAGCCCUUAGUGGUCUGGUGGGACAGCCCAAGAGGGCCCUAUGCACCUAGAGAAGAAAAUCAAGGAGAAAAGAAAAAAAAAGGAGGAGGUGGGAAGGGAAGGAAGGACUCCCUCCCACCAAACCAAGUCCAACUCGGUUUGGGGGGGGGGGGGAACCUUCCCCCUUGGACUCGGCCGACCCCCUUGGGGCUCCUUGAGCCCCAAGGCAAGGUCCCCUCCCUCCCACCUAUAUAUACGGAGGUUUUAGGGCUGAUUUGAGACGACUUUUCCACGGCAGCCCGACCACAUACCUCCACGGUUUUUCCUCUAGAUCGCGUUUCUGCGGAGCUCGGGCGGAGCCCUGCUGAGGCAAGGUCAUCACCAACCUCCGGAGCGCCGUCACGCUGCCGGAGAACUCUUCUACCUCUCCGUCUCUCUUGCUGGAUCAAGAAGGCCGAGAUCAUCGUCGAGCUGUACGUGUGCUGAACGCGGAGGUGCCGUCCGUUCGGUACUAGAUCAUGAGACUGAUCGCGGGAUUGUUCGCGGGGCGGAUCGAGGGACGUGAGGACGUUCCACUACAUCAACCGCGUUCACUAACGCUUCUACUGUACGGUCUACAAGGGUACGUAGAUCACUCAUCCCCUCUCGUAGAUGGACAUCACCAUGAUAGGUUUUCGUGCGCGUAGGAAAAUUUUUGUUUCCCUUGCGAAGUUCCCCAACAGUGGUAUCAGAGCUAGGUUCAUGCGUAGAUGUCUUCUCGAGUAGAACACAAAAGUUUUUGUGGGUGGUGAUGUGCGUUUUGCUGCCCUCCUUAGUCUUUUCUUGAUUCCGCGGUAUUGUUGGAUCGAAGCGGCUCGGACCGACAUUACUCGUACGCUUACGAGAGACUGGUUUCAUCGCUACGAGUAACUCCGUUGCUCAAAGAUGACUGGCGAGUGUCAGUUUCUCCAACUUUAGUUGAAUCGGAAUUGACCGAGGAGGUCCUUGGAUGAGGUUAAAUAGCAAUUCAUAUAUCUCCGUUGUGGUGUUUGCGUAAGUAAGAUGCGAUCCUACUAGAUACCCAUGGUCACCACGUAAAACAUGCAACAACAAUUAGAGGACGUCUAACUUGUUUUUGCAGGGUAUGCUUGUGAUGUGAUAUGGCCAACAAUGUGAUGUGAUAUAUUGGAUGUAUGAGAUGAUCAUGUUGUAAUAGUUAAUAUCGACUUGCACGUCGAUGGUACGGCAACCGGCAGGAGCCAUAGGGUUGUCUUUAUACUAACGUUUGUGCUUGCAGAUGCGUUUACUAUUUUGCUAGGAUGUAGCUUUAGUAGUAAUAGCAUGAGUAGCACGACAACCCCGAUGGCGACACGUUGAUGGAGAUCAUGAUGAUGGAGAUCAUGGUGUGACGCUGGUGACAAGAAGAUCGUGCCGGUGCUUUGGUGAUGGAGAUCAAGAAGCGCAUGAUGAUGGCCAUAUCAUGUCACUUAUGAAUUGCAUGUGAUGUUAAUCCUUUUAUGCACCUUAUUUUGCUUAGAACGACGGUAGCAUUAUGAGGUGAUCUCUCACUAAAAUUUCAAGACGAAAUUGUGUUCUCCCCGACUGUGCACCGUUGCUACAGUUCGUCGUUUCGAGACACCACAUGAUGAUCAAGUGUGAUAGACUCAACGUUCACAUACAACGGGUGCAAAACAGUUGCGCACGCGGAACACUCGGGUUAAGCUUGACGAGCCUACCAUGUGCAGACAUGGCCUCGGAACACAUGAGACCGAAAGGUCGAUCAUGAAUCAUAUAGAUGAUAUGAUUAGCAUAGGGAUGCUUACCACUGAAACUAUACUCAACUCACGUGAUGAUCGGACUUGAGCUAGUGUAAGUGGAUCAUGAACCACUCAAAUGACUAGAGAGAUGUACUUUUUGAGUGGGAGUUCUUAAGUAAUAUGAUUAAUUGAACUAAUUGUCAUGAACAUAGUCUAAUGGUCUUUGCGAAUUACGAUGUAGCUUGCGCUAUAGCUCUACUGUUUUUAUAUGUUCCUAGAGAAAAUUUAGUUGAAAGUUGAUAGUAGCAAACUUUGCAGACUGAGUCUGUAAAACCGAGGAUUGUCCUCGUUGCUGCACAGAAGGCUUAUGUCCUUAAUGCACCACUCGGUGUGCUGCACCUCGAGCGUCGUCUGUGGAUGCUAUGAACAUCAGACAUACACUUUUCUGAUGACUACACGAUAGUUCAGUACAAAAUACUUAAUGGCUUAGAAGCAAGGCGCCGAAAACGUUGUAAAACGUCACGGAACAUAAGUGAUGUUCUAAAGAGAUGAAAUUGUGAUUUCAUACUUGUGCCCUUGUUAAGAGGUACGAGACCUCCAACAAGAUUCUUUGUCCACAAAGUAAAGGAGAAAAGCUCAAUCGUUGAGCGUGUGCUCAGAUUGUCUGAGUACGACAAUCACUUGAAUCAAGUGGGAGUUAAUCUUCCAGAUGAGAUGGUGAUGGUUCUCCAAAGUCACUGCCACCAAGCUGUGAGAGCUUCGUGAUGAACUAUAACAUAUCAAGGAUAGAUACAAUGAUCCUUGAGUGAUUCGCGAUGUUUGACACUUCGAAAGUAGAAAUCAAGAAGGAGCAUCAAUAGUUGAUGGUUUGUAAAACCACUAAGUUUCAAGAAAGGCAAGGGCUAGCGGGGAUACUUCGUGAAACGGCAAAACAGUUGCUGCACUAAUGAAGAGACCUAAGAUUAAACCCAAACCCGAGACUAAGUGCUUCUGUAAUGAGGGGAACAGUCACUGAGGCGGAGCAACUCUAGAUACUUGGUAGAUAAGAAGGCUGGCAAAAGUCGAAAGAAGUGUAUUUGAUAUACAUGAUGUUGAUGUGUACUUUACUAGUACUCCUAGUAGCAUGAUGGUAUUGGAUACCGGUUCGGUUGCUAAGUGAUUAGUAACACGAAAUGAAAGCUACGGCAUAAACGGAGACUAGCUAAAGGCGAGGUGACGAUACGUGUUGGAAGUGUUUCCAAGGUUGAUAUGAUCAAACGUCGCACGCUCCCUCUACCAUCGGGAUUGGUGUUAAACCUAAAUAAUUUUUAUUUGGUGCUUGCGUUAAGCAUGAACAUGAUUGGAUCGUGUUUAUUGCAAUACGAUUAUUCAUUUAAAGAGAAUAAUGGUUACUCUAUUUUCUUGAAUAAUCACCUUCAAUGGUUUAUUGAAUCUCGAUGGUAGUGUUACACAUGUUCUUAAUAUUGGUGCCAAAAGAUACGAGUUAAUGAUGAUAGUACCACUUACUUGUGGCACUGCCGCUUGAGUCAUGUUAGUAUAAAUUGCAUGAAGAGGCUCCAUGCUGAUGGAUCUUUGUACUCACCUGAUUUCGAAUCACUAGUGACAUGGAAAUCAUACCACAUGAGCAAGGCCUUGUUUUCAUUAAGAUGAAACAAGAAAGUAACUUAUUGGAAGUGAUACAUUUUGAUGUAUGCAGUCCAAUGGGUGCUAAGGCACGCAGUGGAUAUCAUUAUGUUCUCACUUCACUGACGAUUUGAGUAGAUACAAAAGUAUUUACUUAAUGAAUCACAAGUCUGAAAUAUUGAAUAGUUCAAUUCCAUUUCAGAGUGAAGUUCGUCGUAACAAGAGGAUAAACUGUCUACGAUAUGAUCAUGGAAAUGAAUAUCUGAGUUACGAGUUUUGGUACGCAGUUAAGACAAUGUGGAAAUUGUUUCGCAGUUCAUGCCACCUGGAACAUCAUAGUGUGAUGAUGUGUCUGAACGUCAUAGCCACGCACUAUUUGGUAUGGUGCAUACUAUGAUGUCUCUUAUCGAAUUACCACUAUCGUUUAUGGGUUAUGCAUUAGAGACAACCGCACUCACUUUAAAUAGGGCACCGCGUAUUUCCGUUGAGAUGACACAGUAUAGACUGAGGUUUAGAGAAAUCUAAACUGUCGUUUCUUGAAAGUUUGGGGCUUCGACACUUAUGUGAAAAAAUUUCAGUCUGAUAAGCUCGAACCCAAAGCGGAUAAAUGCAUCUUCAUAGGAUAUCCAAAACAGUUGGGUACAUCUCCUAUCUCAGAUCCGAAAGCAAAGUGUUUGUUUCUAGAAACGGAUCCUUUCUCGAGGAAAGGUUUCUCUCGAAAGAAUUGAGUGGGAGAGUGGUAGAACUUGAUGAGGUUAUUGAACCAUCACUUCAACCAGUGUGUAGCAGGGCGCAAGAAGUUGUUCCUGUGGCGCCUACACCAAUUGAAGUGGAAGCUGAUGAUGGUGAUCAUCGAGCACCGGAUCAAGUUACUACAAGCCUCGUAGGUUGACAAGGUCGCGUACUACUACAGAGUGGUACGGUAACCCUGUCUUGGAGGUCAUGUUGUUGAGCAACAAUGAACUUACGAGUUAUGAAGAAAGCAAUGGUGGGCCCGGAUUCCGACAAAUGGCUCGAAGCCAUGAAAUCCGAGAGAGGAUCCAUGUAUGAAAACAAAGUGUAGACUUUGAAAUAACUACUUGAUGGUCAGAGGACUAUUGAGUAAAGAUGGGUCUUUAAAAGAAAGACAGACGGUGAUGGUGAUAAGUCACUAUUAAGAAAAGCUCGACUUGUCGCAAAGAUGUUUCCGACAAGAUCAAACUGUUGACUAUGAUGAGUCUUUCUCACUCGUAGCGAUGCUAAAGGUCUGUUAGAAUUAUGUUAGUUGUUGAUGCAUUAUUUAUGAAAUAUUGCACAUAGGAUGUCAAAACAUUGUUUUCUCAACGGUUUCUUUGAGCAAACAUUGUAUGUGAUACAACCAGAAGGUUUUGUCGAUCCUAAAGAUACUAGCAAGUAUGCAAGCUCCAGUGAUCCUUCAAUGGACUGGUGCAAGCAUCUCGGAGUUGGAGUAUACACUUUGAUGAGAUGAUCAAAGAUUUUGGGUUUGUACAAGGUUUAUGAGAAACUUGUAUUUCCAAAGAAGUGAGUGGGAGCACUAUAGAAUUUCUGAUAGGUAUAUGUGGUUGACAUAUUGUGGAUCAGAAGUAAUGUAGAAUUUCUGUAAAGCAUACAAGGUUGUUUGAAAGAAGUUUUCAAAGGAGUACCUGGAUUACGCUACUUGAACGUUGAGCAUCAAAGAUCUAUGGAGACAGAUCAAAAGCGCUUAAUAGAAGUUUCAACAAGAUGCAUGCCUUGACAAGUUUUUGAAAGAGUUCAAAAUAGAUCAGCAAAGAAGGAGUUCUUGGUUGCAUUGUGAGGUGUGAAUUUGAGUAAGACUCAAAACCCGACCACAGCAGAAUAAAGAGAAUAGACGAAGGUCGUCUUCUAUGCCUUAGCCGUAGAAUCUAAUGUAUGCCAUGCUGUGUACCGCACCUGAUGUGUGCCUUGACUCAAAAUCUGUUGAGAGGUACAGAGAGUGAUCCAUGAUUGAAUCACUAGCAGCGGUCAAAAUUUAUCCUUAGUAACUAAUGGACUAAGGAAUUUUCCUUGAUUAUGGAGGUGGUUAAAGAGUUCGUCGUAAAGGGUUACGUCGAUGCAAGCUUGCAUGCNNNNNNNNNNNNNNNNNNNNNNNNNNNNNNNNNNNNNNNNNNNNNNNNNNNNNNNNNNNNNNNNNNNNNNNNNNNNNNNNNNNNNNNNNNNNNNNNNNNNUUUUGUACACGAAGUGCAUCCAGUUUUUUGUCUAGACCGCCUCACUUUAACUUACACUGCUAUGUGGGUGAAAUGAUGAUAGCAUGCCAACUUUCAACAUUUUCAGAGUUCAUUUGUAGUGCUUUUCAAUUUCAGGGUCAACUUGACUCAAAAAAAAAGUAAAUCCACGAAAUAUACCAAAUGAAUUCAGAAAUUGUUGAAAUUUUGUGUUGUGCCUUUGAAUGGUGCAUUUUGAACACACAAAAAGUAUGGAGUUCAAAUAAGUUCACAAAAAUGAAAUCCCUUUGUAAGAGAUGAGUUCUCGUUCGAAACCUGAUACUUCGAUAGAGAUUGUCCGUCUUGUACACGAAGUGCAUCCAGUUUUUGUCGUAGCCCUCUCAACUUUUUAACACAUGCUAUGUGGGUGAAAUGAUGAUAGCAUGCCCUAACUUUUAACAUUUUCAGAGUUCAUUUGUAGUGCUUUUCAAUUUCAGGGUCAACUAGCUCAAAAAAAAUAAGUACAUCCACGAAAUAUACCAAAUGAAGUCAGAAAUUGUUGAAAUUUUGUGUUGUGCCUUUGAAUGGUGCAUUUUGAACACACAAAAAGUAUGGAGUUCAAAUAAGUUCACAAAAAUGAAAUCCCUUUGUAAGAGAUGAGUUCUCGUUCGAAACCCUAAUACUUCGAGAGAGAUUGUCCGUUUUGUACACGAAGUGCAUCCAGUUUUUGUCGUAACCCUCUCAACUUUUUAACACAUGCUAUGUGGGUGAAAUAAUGAUAGCAUGCCAACUUUCAACAUUUUCAGAGUUCAUUUGUAGUGCUUUUCAAUUUCAGGGUCAACUAGCUCAAAAAAAAAGUAAAUUCACGAAAUAUACCAAAUGAAGUCAAAAAGUAUGGAGUUCAAAAAACCAUGUUAUGAAAUUAAAUAUUAUCAUUGGCGAUUCAUCUCUAUUAUGAAAUCAAAUAUAUCAAAAAACCAUUGCAGAACAUAUGACCAAAUUAAUACAAGUUCAUCAUCACAUUAAAGCCAAAGAACAGUAGUGAUCAAAUGUUAUUAUUGCAAAAAAUAAAUACAUAAAGUUCUCUUAUAAAACAACAUACAACUAUGUAAAACAUUUAAAUGCAACAACAAACGCGAUCAAAAUCGCAACUAAGGUAACAAUUGACCCAACAUCAUAAUGAUACCAAGCCUCUUUAUCAUUGGCAUAUUUUCUAAUAUUCCUAAUCUUCUAGCGCAUUCCAUCCAUCNNNNNNNNNNNNNNNNNNNNNNNNNNNNNNNNNNNNNNNNNNNNNNNNNNNNNNNNNNNNNNNNNNNNNNNNNNNNNNNNNNNNNNNNNNNNNNNNNNNNUUACAAUCUUUUCUGACUUCAUUUGUUAUUUUUCAUGCAUUUACUGAUUAUUUUGAGCUAUAAGACCAUGAAAUUGAAAAGCAUUUUAAAUGAACUCUGAAAAGGUUCCAAGUUGGCAUGGUAUCAUCAUUUCACCCACAUAGCAUGUGCGAGAAAGUUGAGAGGGUUACCGGAAAAACUGGAUGCACUUCGUGUACAAAACGGAUAAUCUCUUUCGAAGUAUCACGGUUUCAUAUGGAAACUCGUCUGUUACAAAGGGAUUUCUUUUUUUGAACUUAUUUGAACUCCAUAGUUUUUCUGUGUUCAAAAUGCAUCAUUCAAAGCCACAUCAUCAAUUUACAAUCCUUUCUGACUUCAUUUCUUAUUUUUCAUGCAUUUACUGAUUAUUUUGAGCUAUAAGACCAUGAAAUUGAAAAGCAUUUGAAAUGAACUCUGAAAAGGUUCCAAGUUGGCAUGUUAUCAUCAUUUCACACACAUAGCAUGUGCGAGAAAGUUGAGAGUGUUACGGCAAAAACUGGAUGCACUUCGUGUACAAAACAGACAAUCUCUUUCGAAGUAUUAGGGUUUCAUACGAAAACUCGUCUGUUACAAAGGGAUUUCUUUUUUUUGAACUUAUUUGAACUCCAUAGUUUUUCUGUGUUCAAAAUGCAUCAUUCAAAGCCACAUCAUCAAUUUACAAUCUUUUCUGACUUCAUUUCUUAUUUUUCAUGCAUUUACUGAUUAUUUUGAGCUAUAAGACCAUGAAAUUGAAAAGCAUUUGAAAUGUACUCUGAAAAGGUUCCAAGUUGGCAUGGUAUCAUCAUUUCACCCACAUAGCAUGUGCGAGAAAGUUGAGAGUGUUACGGCAAAAACUGGAUGCACUUCGUGUACAAAACAGACAAUCUCUUUCGAAGUAUGAGGGUUUCAUACGGAAACUCGUCUCUUACAAAGGGAUUUCAUUUUUUUGAACUUAUUUGAACUCCAUAGUUUUUCUGUGUUCAAAAUGCACCAUUCAAAGCCACAUCAUCAAUUUACAACCCUUUCUGACUUCAUUUGUUAUUUUUCAUGCAUUUACUGAUUAUUAUGAGCUAUAAGACCAUGAAAUUGAAAAGCAUUUGNNNNNNNNNNNNNNNNNNNNNNNNNNNNNNNNNNNNNNNNNNNNNNNNNNNNNNNNNNNNNNNNNNNNNNNNNNNNNNNNNNNNNNNNNNNNNNNNNNNNCGAAGUAUCACAGUUUCAUACGGAAACUCGUGAGUUACAAAAGGAUUUCAUUUUUUUGAACUUAUUUGAACUCCAUAGUUUUUCUGUGUUCAAAAUGCACCAUUCAAAGCCACAUCAUCAAUUUACAACCCUUUCUGACUUCAUUUGUUAUUUUUCAUGCAUUUACCGAUUAUUAUUGAGCUAUAAGACCAUGAAAUUGAAAAGCAUUUGAAAUGAACUCUGAAAAGGUUCCAAGUUGGCAUGGUAUCAUCAUUUCACCCACAUAGCAUGUGCGAGAAAGUUGAGAGGGUUACGGCAAAAACUGGAUGCACUUCGUGUACAAAACGGACAAUCUCUUUCGAAGUAUCACGGUUUCAUACGGAAACUCGUCUGUUACAAAGGGAUUUCAUUUUUUUGAACUUAUUUGAACUCCAUAGUUUAUCUGUUUUCAAAAUGCACCAUUCAAAGCCACAUCAUCAAUUUACAACCCUUUCUAACUUCAUUUGUUAUUUUUCAUGCAUUUACUCAUUAUUUUGAGCUAUAAGACCAUGAAAUUGAAAAGCAUUUGAAAUGAACUCUGAAAAGGUUCCAAGUUGGCAUGGUAUCAUCAUUUCACCCACAUAGCAUGUGCGAGAAAGUUGAGAGGGUUACGGCAAAAAAUGGAUGCACUUCGUGUACAAAACGGACUAUCUCUUUCGAAGUAUCACAGUUUCAUACGGAAACUCGUGAGUUACAAAAGGAUUUCAUUUUUUUKGAACUUAUUUGAACUCCAUAGUUUUUUCUGUGUUACAAAAGUCGACUACCCAAUUCCAAAGCCACAAUUCCNNNNNNNNNNNNNNNNNNNNNNNNNNNNNNNNNNNNNNNNNNNNNNNNNNNNNNNNNNNNNNNNNNNNNNNNNNNNNNNNNNNNNNNNNNNNNNNNNNNNUUUACCCACAUAGCAUGUGCGAGAAAUUUGAGAGGGUUACGGCAAAAACUGGAUGCACUUCGUGUACAAAACGGACAAUCUCUUUCGAAAUAUGAGGGUUUCAUACGGAAACUCGUCUCUUACGAAGGGAUUUUAUUUUUUUUGAACCUAUUUGAACUCCAUAGUUUUUCUGUGUUCAAAAUGCACCAUUCAAAGCCACAUCAUCAAUUUACAACCCUUUCUAACUUCAUUUGUUAUUUUUCAUGCAUUUACUUAUUAUUAUGAGCUAUAAGACCAUGGAAUUGAAAAGCAUUUGAAAUGAACUCUGAAAAGGUUCCAAGUUGGCAUGGUAUCAUCAUUUCACCCACAUAGCAUGUGCGAGAAAGUUGAGAGGGUUACGGCAAAAAAUGGAUGCACUUCGUGUACAAAACGGACAAUCUUUUUCGAAGUAUCACGGUUUCAUACAGAAACUCGUGUCUUACAAAGGGAUUUCAUUUUUUUGAACUUAUUUGAACUCCAUAGUUUUUCUGUGUUCAAAAUGCACCAUUCAAAGCCACAUCAUCAAUUUACAACCCUUUCUAACUUCAUUUGUUAUUUUUCGUGCAUUUACUGAUUAUUUUGAGCUAUAAGACCAUGAAAUUGAAAAGCAUUUGAAAUGAACUCUGAAAAGGUUCCAAGUUGGCAUGUUAUNNNNNNNNNNNNNNNNNNNNNNNNNNNNNNNNNNNNNNNNNNNNNNNNNNNNNNNNNNNNNNNNNNNNNNNNNNNNNNNNNNNNNNNNNNNNNNNNNNNNCAGCGAAAUGAGCAACUACACGGCAGCACCUUGGCAUGGGGCGAGCACGACGGGGCCGGACCUUAGCCGGACGGCGGCGCGGCGACCAAGGGCGGCGCAAAGAGGCCAGGGCGGACGGUGGGAGCGAGGGCGGCCACGGCGGGCCGGCGCGGAGAGGAGGUCGCUGCGGCGGCGCGCGGGGCGCAGGGUACCUGCACGCGAGGCGGGGCGGCGCGGCACGACCACGGGGUCGGAGCUGCGCGCGGGGGAAGCAGGAGGCGGGCGGGGCGCUGCUGGCGGCGGGGCUGCAGCAGCAGCUUGAGGCCGGCGAGGCAGAGGAGGGGCCAUGGCGCGCAGGGAACGGCGAGCGAGAAGGGAGCUGGGGGCGGAGACGUGGUACGGGAGGAGGGGAAUCGGGCGUGGGGAGGAUGCGCUGGGAGGACGACGCUGAGGAGGGAGACGGCGCUACGGGAUCGGGAUCGAGCGUGGGCUCCUGCUCGCUAGGGUAGCGGGGGAAGGUGGGCCGCCUUGGAGGUCCAAGUGGGCGGCUGGGCCUUGGGCAGAUAUCUCCUCUCUUAAAAAAAAGAUACGCGAAAAAAGCUGAUUUUAAAAUAAUGCCAGAGGCAAAAGAAAAGGAAAUAAACAAAUAAAAAAAAUACUUUUGGGCUCCUUAAAACAUGCACCAAUUAUAAGAAUUAGAUNNNNNNNNNNNNNNNNNNNNNNNNNNNNNNNNNNNNNNNNNNNNNNNNNNNNNNNNNNNNNNNNNNNNNNNNNNNNNNNNNNNNNNNNNNNNNNNNNNNNAAAUGGCCGACUGGGCCGGCCUGUGGCCUCGGCCCGCCACCAGGCGCCUUGACGCGUCCCACCGGCCUGAGGCCCACUACCCCCAGCGGCCGAACGAUCCUAGCGGCCAGGCACUGGCGCCCCUCCUGGCAUCCUGGGCCGGCCUAGCGCUGGCGGCGCUCACUUGCGGCCCGAAGGCCCGCCUUGGCCUAGGAUUUGAGCGUCGGCCGUCGGAUGGAAUCCGACGGUGAGGCGUUAGGAUCGGCGCAUCAAAACCAGGCAGUAGCCGCUCCCAGCCGAAACCCUAAAUCAUUUGCACUCCCAGUGCGCUGCUCUCUCUCUCUCGUUUCUUCUCAUCUCGGCGCCGGCUCCUUCUCUCCCGAGCAGCCCGUGGCCAGGAAUGGAACCGGCCGCCGGCGGUGAGGUCUUGUUGCCUCCUGUCGAGCGUGCGAAGGUCCUCCCUCCCGCGAGUUGCCCUGGAGGUGAGGAGUCCGCGCCGGUCGCUUCAUGGCCUUAGGCCUCUUCUUUCGGUCGAGCAACACCCGCNNNNNNNNNNNNNNNNNNNNNNNNNNNNNNNNNNNNNNNNNNNNNNNNNNNNNNNNNNNNNNNNNNNNNNNNNNNNNNNNNNNNNNNNNNNNNNNNNNNNUGGCAGGCUCAGGCUUUGUAUCCGGAGCGGGCGGUGGCGGAGCGUUCUUGGUGGCACGCUCCCGCUUUGUAUCCGUGGCAGGCUCAGGCUUUGUAUCCGGAGCGGGCGGCGGCGUUGCGUUCUUGGUGGCACGCUCCCGCUUUGUAUCCGUGGCAGGCUCAGGCUUUGUAUCCGAAGCGGGCGGCGGCGGAACGUUCUUGGUGGCACGCUCCCGCUUUGUAUCCGUGGCAGGCUCAGGGUUUGUAUCCAGAGCGGGCGGCGGCGGAGCGUUCUUGGUGGCACGCUCCCGCUUUGUAUCCGUGGCAAGCUCAGGGUUUGUAUCCGGAGCGGGCAGCGGCGGAGCGUUCUUGGUGGCACGCUCCCGCUUUGUAUCCGUGGCAGGCUCAGGGUUUGUAUCCGGAGCGGGCGGCGGCGGAUCGUUCUUGGUGGCAUGCUCCCGCUUUGUAUCCGUGGCAGGCUCAGGGUUUGUAUCCGGAGCGGGCAGCGGCGGAGCGUUCUUGGUGGCAUGCUCCCGCUUUGUAUCUGUGGCAGGCUCAGGGUUUGUAUCCGGAGCGGGCAGCGGCGGAGACGGACGACCCAAGUCCGGCGGCGGUGAUCGAGAUGGACUCGUGUUGUGCUGGCCGACGUCAUGUGGAGGGCUUGGAGGUAAUGGAGGUGUAGGUGACCUGCGAUGAUUCGGAGGCGGUGUUGUCCUUGGGGCCGAGCCUGGAAGCUUGAUGUAGUUCUUGUCCCAUAGGAUGACUCCACCCAGUACUUCUCCGAGUGUCCUUUCAUCUUCGGGUCCAGCUAUGUCGAGCUCCAUAUCAUUAAACCCCGUCAUGAUUUCAUCCACCCCGACUUUAGCAAAGCCAGCUGGAAUCUCACGGCCAUGCCAGCGUGCAUUAGGGCCAGAAGGUAAAGCUUGUCCGACAGCCACCUUCAUGGAUAUGUUCUUGAAUUUCUGAUGAAGUUCACAUGAUGUUGAAUCCUUGAUUCCAUCCACGGGGUAGCCGGGACCGCCCUCUAUCAUUCGUCGUUCAUCGUCGGGCGGGGCCUCAGAUUCAGCCACGCUGCUUUUCUGCUUAGAUGGAGCGCCGGUAAUAUCAAGUGCAGGAUCUUCCUGGCGCGGUACUCCUCUAAGCUCAUCAAUCUACUUCUGUUGCUCGUUAAUCCUGGCAAGCAACUGGUUGAACUUGUCAUUCUCCUCAUCCUGCUGCCGCUUCUUUGCUCUCUCUCGGCUUCUGUAAAUGUCUUGGUCUCUGGCAAACCCAAGCCACCACGGGUAAGAUGGACCGAAGCCUCGCGUUCGUCCUCCAUGUUCGUCAUUGCCGAGGACCAGUGUGAGCAAAUCUUUAUCUCUAUCUGCAGUGAACUUUCUUUGUCCCUCCUUAAUUUCUUUCACUAUCCUUUUCCAAUUCUCCCUGGGUAUCCUAAGAUUGUCAUUGCAGAUGAGGUCCCCUGUUUUUUCGUCGUACGACCCACCAUGCGCAAGGAACCAAUUUCUUGCUCUCCAUUCCCACUCAUCACGGAGUGGUUCAGGUACGAUGCCUUUAUCUAUCAGAUCUUGCUCUUUCUUUUCCCACUUUGGGAUGGCAGUCUCAUAGCCCCCUGGCCCCAGCUUGUGGUGAUAUUUCUUCUUGUCGGCAUUUAUCUUGUUCUUUUCUGAUAAUGCCUGGGCAUCUUCUGACUCCUUGUACUCUUGAAAUUCCUUCCAGUGAUUCUCCUGCUUGGCUAGAUACCCCUCGAAUACUGGCACUUUCUUUGUCUUCAGAUAGUUUUUUCAUAGCUUCUUCUUCCAGCUACGGAACCGUUCGACCAUCUUCUUUAGAGUCCAUUGCUUGACUUUGGCCCUCAGUUUGUCUGCGGCGUCUUCAUUCUCACAUUCUGGCAGGUUGAAAUGUGACAUGAGAUCAUUUCAAAGAUUAUCUUUGUACCUUUCGGUGACAUAGUCACUAUCGGCUGCCCCUUUGCGCUUGUUCCACUCCCGAAUGCUGAUCGGGACGUGAUCCCUAACGAGAACUCCACAUUGCUUCUUCAAUGUGUCAGCAGCAUUCUUAGGAAGCUUGGGUUCGCCCGUAGGCAUUAUCACCUCAAAGGUGUAAUGCGUCCGUGCAUCCAACUUUCUAGUCGGGCCUCGUUUCGUAGAUUUGCUCGAUGUGGAGGCCUAAGAGGGAGAAACAUUCGUCAAAUGAAUGUAUAUGUAUACAAUAUAGAGCUAUCUCCAAUAUUUUUCACAUAUUACAAGUGAUUGUCGAACUUCAUAUGUAUACCUCACCGGACUUUAUUAUUUCUUCACCUGCUUCUCCACCGGCUUCUCCAUCAGUGGAGCUAUCACCUUCUCCAUCAUUGGACCUAUCUCCUGCCCCAUCGGCUUCAUCUUCGUGUCGCUCGACCUCCAUUCCAUAUCCGGAGUCGUUUAGAUAUGACGACGGAGAUUCAGCUGGUUCAACGUCGGGGCCGUCUUUGAUUAUAUCUUCAAGAAGUUCUUCCUCUUCGAGGUUCCUGAUAUGUGGAUCCAUAGUUCUGCAAAAACGGACAUUUGAUUAACUAAUAAACUAACAAACUAUACAAGAGGGGUUGGAAACUUCGAAGUGUCGUUUUAUAUAGGAGAACCUAAAGUCUAAAAUACCAGCCGGGCGGAGCCCAGUCCCGGACACUUAAGCAUAUACAAUAGCAAAAUUAAACUAGUUCUAUUAAUUUUCUUGCUAAAAAUAAACUAUUAACACUUAAGCAUAUACAACAGCAAAAUUAAACUAUUAACACUUAAGCAUAUACAAUAGCAAAAUUAAGCAAUAAUCUAAGAAACACUAUUAACACUUAAGCAUAUACACUAUACAAUAGCAAAAUUAAAUGACAAAAAAAAUAUUUCUUCUUCUUGUAACCCUAAACUAAUUUUUCCUCUUCUUCUAUUUCUCCUCUUCUUCUACUUCUUCUUCUACUUCUACUUCUCCUCUUUUUCUACUACUUCUCCUCUCCUCUUCUUCUAUUUUUCCUCUUCUUCUCCUCUCCUCCUCUUCUUAUUCUCCUUUUUCUUCUUUUCUUCUCCUCCUCUUCUUAUUUUCCUUUUUCCUAAUUCUACAUAUUACUAACCCUAAUAAUCUAGCACAAACCUAAUAACAAUAGGAAUUAAAUGACAAAAAAAAUCUUUUUCUUCCUUUCUUCUCCUUUUUCUUCCUUUCUUCUCCUUUUUCUUCCUUUCUUCCCUUUUUCUUCUUUUCUUCUCCUUUUUAUUCUUUUCUUCUCCUUUUUCUUCUUUUCUUCUCCUUCCCUUUUUCUUCCUUUCUUCUCAUUUUUCUUCCUUUCUUCUCCUUUUCUUCCUUUCUUCUCCUUUUUCUUCUUUUCUUCUCCUUUUUCUUCCUUUCUUCUCCUUUUUUUUCUUUUCUUCUCUUUUUUCUUCCUUUCUUCUCCUUCUUCUUCCUUUCNNNNNNNNNNNNNNNNNNNNNNNNNNNNNNNNNNNNNNNNNNNNNNNNNNNNNNNNNNNNNNNNNNNNNNNNNNNNNNNNNNNNNNNNNNNNNNNNNNNNUAUACCUCUAUAUAUAUAUAUAUAUAUAAUAAAGAGACUAUUGCUUUUGUCGGAAAACCUACCGCGACAUUUUGAUAAAAAAGCCCCUGUAAUUUUUUUUAUUCAAUCCGCGCUCCAUCAUUUAUCUGCAACGCAAAAGAAAAAACGAUUUGCUGCAAACAUUAUACCCAUACGCAUCGCCUCCUCCCGUCGACCCUGGGCCGCCCUGGCCUGUGCCCAGGCCGUCGCCUCACCACUCGCCGCCGCGGCCGACCNNNNNNNNNNNNNNNNNNNNNNNNNNNNNNNNNNNNNNNNNNNNNNNNNNNNNNNNNNNNNNNNNNNNNNNNNNNNNNNNNNNNNNNNNNNNNNNNNNNNNNNNNNNNNNNNNNNNNNNNNNNNNNNNNNNNNNNNNNNNNNNNNNNNNNNNNNNNNNNNNNNNNNNNNNNNNNNNNNNNNNNCCCGCCCCCCCCCUCCCCCCCCCCCUCGCCGCCGCGGCCGACCUCAACCACCACUGCUGCCGAUCUCAACCCACCCGCCUCUGCGGCCGUACCUCUCCCCGCUCACUGCCCCCGUUGCGGCGCUCGAGCGCAUCGCGUCGACCCUGGUCCACCUUGGCGUGUGCCCAGGCCGCUGCCACACCAUUCGUCGCCGCGGCCGACCUCAACCACCACUGUUGUCGAUCUCAACCCACCCGCCUCCCCGGCCGUACCUCUGCCCGCUUGCUGCCCCCGUUUCGACGCUCGAGCACAACUUCUGGAUCAAAUCAACGCGACAGCUACAGUGACUGGGGAUGAUGCGUCUGCUCGAUACAGAACGGCGACGACGCGGUGGAGCUAAGUACUUGCANNNNNNNNNNNNNNNNNNNNNNNNNNNNNNNNNNNNNNNNNNNNNNNNNNNNNNNNNNNNNNNNNNNNNNNNNNNNNNNNNNNNNNNNNNNNNNNNNNNNGAAUGACGAGUCAGUCACACCGGUCUCUGCCUUCCACUUCAGCAAUUCCAGUGUGCUACCCAGCUUCUUCUGGCCAUCUUCACAAGUUGGGUACAACAAUUUGUUGUGGUCCUGUAACAUCUGCUCGAACUGCAACCUCUCCUUUUCUGUGUCGCAACCUAGUCGUGCAUCAGAAAUGACCCGGCCAAGAGCAUCAGCGGGCUCAUCUGGUUCCCGUUCUUCAUCCUGAUCUUCUUCUUCAUUGUCUUCCAUUGCGGUAUCAGCAUACUCAGGGAACAUAGAUCGGUAGUUGUCAUCAUCGUUCUCUUCUUCUUCAUCGUCGUCUUCCAUCAUAACCCCUCUUUCUCCGUGCUUGGUCCAAACAUUAUAGCCNACCGCAAUGCAGUGCAUACCGGGCAUUUAUCCAUAUUCUCGUACUUCUCACCGCGGUAGAGGAUGCAGUCAUUAGGGCAUGCAUGUAUCUUCUGCACGUCUAAUCCUAGAGGGCAUACAAGCUUCUUUGCUUCGUACGUGCUGGCGGGCAAUUCGUUCUUUCUUGGAAGCAUCUUCUUCAUCAGUACCAGCAACUUUUCGAAUGACGAGUCAGUCACANNNNNNNNNNNNNNNNNNNNNNNNNNNNNNNNNNNNNNNNNNNNNNNNNNNNNNNNNNNNNNNNNNNNNNNNNNNNNNNNNNNNNNNNNNNNNNNNNNNNGCAUGCAAGCUUGAUUUUCUAAGAUCGUGUAGUUCUUCGAUCUUUGGCUUUUCCCAUCCUUUGCUUGCGAUUGCUCAAACGCUUCCGAUUCGAUCUCCUCCAAUUCGUCCGCAGCACCAUGAUCAUCCACGCCACCGUCCGUUUCAUUGUAGUUGAAUGGUUAGAAAGAUGCUUGAUCAAUGUCAACCGUGUUCGUGUCCAACAUGUUCAUGAACUCGUUUGUUGCAUUGUUCGAACCACUGCUAUAGCGAACGAUAACAAGUCACGAGCUAUCAAGACUAAUGGCGAAAAAUGAAAAGGAAUCGCCAAGACCGAAGAGGCAUACCUUCCGGCCAUUUCGUCGAACACCUCGGCCGCGUGGGGAGCAUAAUUGUUCAACUGCAUCGCCGGAGCACCUCCUUUCGGGGGGGGGGGGGUGAAGUCAGAGGUUGAAUAAGGUGGCUUCCUUGAAGCCGGAACCUUCCUCCGCUUUACGGCCGCGGCCUUGCCGUCCUUGUGCGCCGCCAGCCGGGAUCGCACUGAGGCGUUGGCGCCCGGAGCGCGGGCCGUCGCGGCGGGGGCAGCCAGAUUCCCGCCCUGCACGACCACGGUGCCCUGCCUCUUUCGGGAAGGUGCGACAUGUGCUUGGGCGACGGCGGCGGGGGCAACAUGGCCGGCGACGAGAUCCGCCCGAGGGGAAGGAGCAUGCGCGACCUCGACUGUGACGGCGGACAGCAUGUGGUCCUCCAUGGCGGCGAGGAACGACCGGGGAGGAGGAACCGAAGCUUGCGGAUGGGUGGCAAUGGUGGCGGAGGGUGCGGGGAACGGGGAAAGGGCGCACGGAAAUGUCCGUCCCGCCAAAUCUCGCGCCGGAUAGGGGUUGAGCUCGGGUCGGCCUCCCAGCCCGUGAAGAUGGAGGUUGGGGGAGAAGAUUUGCCGCGCCCCGCAAAAAAUAAUGCGGGUCGGCCGGGAUGCCGGGUCUGCUCGUGCGGAUUUUCCGGCCCCGACCCGCAAUUUGGCGCUCAUUUGUUGGUCGGGGCGGGAUGCGGGGUCUGCUAGAGUUGCUCUAAGGCACGUAGAGGCCAUAGACAAUCUCGUGGUAGCAACACCUGUAUUCGCUGGCAUCGACUCCGACACCUCGUGUCGCUGCCGGGGAGUGACACAAGUGUGUGACGAAACGAAACUUAGGGAGGAGGAAGAUCCAUUCCAAAUAUUUAUAACCUCAGUUUUUUGCAGAAAUGGGAACUUUUUACUUGACACAGUGUCUUUCGUCUGUGUAUACUUAUUUUCAUUCUAAAUUGGCACUAUGAUGGACAUCACAAGAUAAUGCUAUCUGCAUUUGCCCUCGUUGACAUAAUAAAUCUUGACGGGAUCUAAUAAUAAAUCAUGGAGGCAACUGUCCGCUGCAUGUUGGGUUGCAUGGAUACUCGCAGUCUAUCUCUUUCACUCCUUGGCUCCUUCCAUGGUACCAAUCUCCUGCGGCCUCUGCAAUGGUCUGCUCGACAAAAUUGUGAUAAUCCAGGUAACAACACGCCGAAUCAGAUACCACAGAUUCAUCGCAAAAGAAAUUGAUGGCAUAGAUAACGUGUUUUACGUUAGAAUUUUUAAUUCCCUACCUUAUUUCCAAGCCUCGGGGAGAUUUCUGAAUUCCAGGAGAUGCCAUAUAGGGAUUGACAGUGUGUGAAGCAUGAAUCGAUGAACAAUCCCCAGUCCUCCUUAUCUUCGACAACAUUCAAUGCACCCACCAUUGUGUUCCUGAAGCCUAUUUCACAGAGAAGCUGAAUAUUCAGUGUUUCGUUGCACAACAAAGACAUUGGUGUUGAAUGAGAGAGAGAGAGAAAAAAAGAGAAAAUGACAAGCUAAGCUAACCAUUGAGGACUUUGAUUUGUGUGGAAUUGCAGUUCCGGAUAUUAUCCUUGCAACUCGACCAUGACUUAUCAGGAGCCGACGAAACUGGUACAAGAACAUUCCGUACCUGUGGCGAAGAGUCAUCGAUAAAAUAGUGAUAACUUUAAAAGAGAAGUUGGAAGAAGAACAAAAAGAAAAAUCAUUCCAAAAUACCUGCCAUGAAUCAUACGCAGAGUUGAGAAUAAACAUGGGGGUGCGGGUGCUCUUAAUAAGCUCUGCGGGGAAGAAACACUAGGAGCAACAUUAUUUCAGUUAGCAUAAUCUAUUAAGGGAGCAAGUAUGACAAGAAAAUCAAACUGGACAAUGGAAAGUACCUCGGUUGGCUCCUUGUUGGCAAGGCAGUCCUUGGGCAACACUUCUCUAACAUUCUGAAAUAAAUUUAUCAAACAAAGAAAAAAAUUAACUCAACAGCAUUCAGUACAAAGUGGUAUUAAUCACAUGGACGGAAAAAUAUUUCAGUGCUUAUUGAUUGUGGCACAAGACUAAACACUUGAAAAACAAGAGUUUUAUAAAGCCUUUUCUGGUAUUCAAAUUUUAGAGAAGUGCAAAACAGGACUAGAAGAUGACCACAAGCCUGGAUUAUAAAAUAAGGCAUGUCUUUUAAAGUUUGAAGCAUGUCUAACAGCAAACCUGGAGGUGAACAACGCCAUCAUAGACAGACCAAAAGGACCUUUUCCCAGAAAUAUCCUUUCUGUCGAAGAAAAAAAGUACUUUAGUUCAAGUGCAAUGCUGGUGGUGGUGGGUGGUGGGUCACAUUUGUUUUCAAAGGGUCUUACACGUCAAGAAAAAACCCAGCAUCAGCAAGGCAUUUGACUGAAACAUCACGAGAAAACCGUGCACUGAAAUCAUCGCAAUGCAGUAUCGUGGCUAGACCACCAGCAGAACAGCCUGUGAGGAGGGCCUGAAAUGUGUAGAAAAAUGAGGAAUGUCGCAUGGGGUUGUUCGCAAGAAAAUAAUCAAUGGUUGUUGCUGAAAUUGACAGAGUAAUAUUUAUAUACUGCCGAUUCAUGUUCAAACUAUACGAACUUUGUAAGUUAAGUAUGACCUGUGUAGCGUUGGCAAGUCCUUUUUCCAUGAGUUCGUCAAGGACCGCUUGGUAGAUGCGCAAUCCUCUGAAGUAAAGUAUGCUUCCAUCCUACAUCAUCACCAAUAGAACAUUAUUACUUGAAGCAACGGAGAUAGCGACAUCAGACUAAGACUCAGAAAAUUCACCUGUGCUCGACCUUCCGCGUCCCCGGAAAACGACGCCCCAUCGCAAUACCGCACAAACACUUUGUUCCAGUUGUAGAAAUCUGAUUACACGCUGAUCAAAGUUAGUGGGAAUACAUAUGAAACAGGUAAAAAAAUACUAUAUGAUUAUGUAAACAAACAGGAAGAUAACGAUGGAACUACCAGGAUUUUGCAGCUGAUCACUGCCGAGGAUCCCAGCACCGGCGAAGCGCAUCGGUUUCAUGAAGUUGGAUGAACCGAGCGCGUACAUUCUGCGGUUGGAACAAUCCUUGACUGUACUGCACCAACCUCCUCCCUGGAUGUAUUUAAGUGAAUAAUAUACAAGUCAACCACUAAUUGGCUUACCUCGAGAACCUACCUGCUAAACAUCCCUACCAUGCAGGUUAAUCAACUAAUUGCCCUAUCAUGAUAGAAACAUUAACAAUGAAAAGGCAUGUGCUUGGUGGUAACAGAAAUUAGGGCGCGGGUCUCUAUCUCAAAGUAUACUUUGGUUAUGGAAAAUGUACUUUUCUAAAAGCAAUGGGUUAUCAAAAGUGUAUAUUUUAAAGAUUAUCUAGUACAAUUUGAGCGAUAUCUUCUUGGUAAUUGGUUACGAGACGUGUAUAAGAAGAAUAAAAUAACUAUAUACUCCCUCCGUCCAUCAAUAUAAGAUGUUUCAGAUACUUCAAUAUAGACUAUACAUACAGAUUGAAACGAGUGAACAAAUACACUAAAAUGUUUCUAUAUACAUCCAUUCGAAUAAGAGAAAAGGUUAGAACGUCAUACGACUGUUUCAUAAAUAAAUUACAUUUGGAAUACCAAUAGUUAGAUUUAUAUUGAUUCAUUACUUAAAAUUUGAUGUAAAAACUUAAAAGUAUAGGUCAUAAGGCCAGAAAAAUCAUAUUUCAUGUAUAUUUUACACUAUGUUUUUAUGUUUUUAAUUCUACGUGACAUAAAAUAUUUUUUAUGAUGAUUAUAAUUUUUCUUACGAUCUCUUUUUAUGUAUGAAAUAAAAAAUAUAUAACAUAAAAUUACGAUGCAUUGAUGAAAAAAUAAAGGGGGUAAAGAAUAAUUAUUCUUCAUCCAAGGUGACGAAUAGUCAACCCUUGAUAUAUAUUCUUCAUCCAGGUAAUCCAUUUCAUCCAGGGUGACGAAUACCAAUAUAUAUGUAUAUAUUAUAUAAUAAUAAAACGGAUGAAUGUUAGAUGAGCUAUCUCUAUCAGUACAAGAACAUUUCUUGUUCUUUGUGCAAUUGGGACGACGCAUGAAAAGAAAGUAUCACCAUACGGACCUCGAGAUGGAUGAGCCAGCGGUUGGAUCCGUCGCCGGAGCCUCUCUGCAGGUGGUACCCCGGCGGGGUCCCGUCCAAGCACACUGCUCCCUUCUCCUGCGCGCCGGCGAGCAGGGUCAACGGGACGGUCUCCGGCGCCGGCACGCGGAAAAGUGGCGGACGGAGAGGGCCCGAGACGGACAGCAGCAACAGGAGCAGGACCGCCGCCGGCAGCCCCCACGCGAGCCAGUCCCGCGGACGCCGGCGCUGCUCCGGGCGGAGGAGGAGCGGCUCGGUCGUCCCCGGCGCCAUGGUCACGAGAGAAAUGGUUUGGUUUGGUUUCGGCUGCUGCUGGUGGUGCUUCCUCUUGCUUGCUCUAAAAUAUUGUUGCCGGCGAGGUGAGGUGAGGUGAGGUCUCGUGCACUCCACUCGUCCUCUCCCGUAGGUUGGCGGGAAGCUACGCAGAUAAUAAUGGCAGAGGAACCCGCCAAAUCCUGUUGAGCUGAAACGAGCUUAAUUUGCUACCAUUCAUUUGAUUCUCCCGGUGCAAGCAAUAAUAUAAUGGUACCAAUUAGUGUCUCCGGAUGGAUCGAUCUCUCCACGCGUCGGGAUUCACUCGAUGGGUAUCAAGAUUAGGGCCCUGUUAGGAUUACCUCCACUCCACAACUCCACUCCGGGAGCAGGUGGAGUUACAGUAGAAAAACGCAGAGCACCACCUUCACUCCACAACUCCACUCCGGAAGCAGGUGGAGUUACAGUAGAAAAACGCAGAGCACCACCUCCACUCCAUAACUCCACUCCGGGAGCAGGUGGAGUUACAGUAGAAAAACGCAGAGCACCACCUCCACUCCACAACUCCACUCCGGGAGCAGGUGGAGUUACAGUAGAAAAACUUUCCCCAUUCAUGAAAAGUAGGAGUACAUAUCAACGUCUUUUGUUUUUUCCCCUCAUCUUUUCAUUCUCAAUUUGCAAUGCCGGAGAUUUCUCCUUUAUUUUUACCUCAAAACAACAACUAGCUAUGAAUUGAUAAUUACUUUUCAAAAGUGAUUAUUAACUAUUAAAAUAACAUCUUCCCUUUUUGGGAAAUUAAUUUCACAUGCGGCAAUUUGAACAUGCUCCCUCUUAUCCCUUGUCUUCUUUUUUACUCAGACAUGUGAGGUAAGAAAAUAAAAAUUAAUCAGACCAUUAAUUAGGAGAUCAACGGUUUAGAUCUAUUACAUACUCUUAUCUUUCAUGUGAAAAAUGAAGGUAAGAGGGAGCGUGUUAAAACUGAUCUUCACAUGCCGAUUUCGUGCUUGAACUAUAAAAAACAUCAUUGACAACGGUAUCCAACCAAUGAACUAACAAAUGUGAUUGAAAAAGGCUGAAGCCUAACCCAAACUCCCCCCAUCCACAACCGCUGCCUCAGGUGACACCAGAGGCCACUAACGCAGCCAUAAAAAAGCCCCUUCACCAUCUCCCAACCCCUCGCCGUCACAUGAGGUGUCCAUCUGGUAGUUGAUGCUAGCGACGGGGUAAAUCUUUCUAGUGUUUUUCUUCUAUCCAACCCUCCCCGUCUGUUCCUCCCCAUCAAGCGUCCAACUUCUCACCGGUGGACCUUGCAAUUCCGGUGCCGGAUCCGACGAUGGCGCUACGCGAGUGAGCGGCUCCCCAAGUUUUGGCAGCUCUGGCAACUCUUCAGCAACAGACGCUCACUGAAGGUUGUGCAACCUUUUCCCAGUCGACUAGCAAGCUAGCCUCAGUGGUGGUAGCGUCUUUGACACUGGUGCACCUGGACCUCCAUGGGUCAUGACUUCUUGACGCAGGUGAGGCAUCCGUGAAUUUUCGACAAACCACUGGAUGUUACCGCGAAUGCUAUUUUCUCACCCAUUAUGAGUCGUAAUAGGUCUCACAUUAGGCGUUGGCCUACUAAGACAGCCCAAUAUUGUAACUGGACAUAAGUUUUUAUGGCUAUUUAUCUUUUUUCACUAUAUUGCAUCAGUUUAUUCAAGUUUUCUCUUGUUUAUUUUGGGAUUGUUUUAGGGUCCCUUGGUUUUCUGUCUCCGGUUUCCAUCAGUUUGCUUAUUUUCUUUAUUUUGUUCAACACAUACAUAAUUUUUUCGUACACAUUGUACAUUUUCGUAUGCAUCAGGAAAGAGUUUUUAUAAACAUUUGAAAAAAUAAUAAUUAAAUACUUGAUCAACAUGUUUUCAAAUAUUAGUUUUCAAGUCCACUUUUUCAUAUACAUUUUACAUUUUUCUUAUACAUUGAAAACAUAGCUAACUAUAUGCUUAGAAUGUUCAUAUAUAUAUGAUAAACAUUUUUUAAAUACAUGGCAUGAUUUUUUUUUCAAUACAUGUUAUUUGUUUUUCCAUUUUACGUUCAAACAUUUUUUGAAUGAUACAAACAUUUUUCGAAAACUAUGUGAGCAUCUUUUAAAAUUUUGUAAGACACAAAUACACUUUUGAAAUGCGUGAGCUUUUUUCAAUCUUACACAACUUUUGGUAAUUGUACUUUUUUGGUUAAUCGAUUUUUUUACAUUGUAUAAUAUUUCUACUAAAUAUCACUUACAUUUAUUUUGAAUAACGUGAAUAUAUUUAAUUGGUGAAUAGAUUUUUCAAAUGACACCAACAUUUUCUGAAGUACAACCAACAUUGUUUUACACUGCAUGAACAUUUUUUAGACGUGCAAUGGGCAUUUGAAAAAAUUAACUAAAUUAUUUUUAUGUAAUAUGCGUAUUUAACAUUUUCCAAAGUAUAAACAGAAGUGAAAAGGAAAAACAAUGUGACGUCAACGUGACGAAACCACAUGGUUACGGUGCUGGCUGAAUACCGGCUCUCUGUAGGAGACUCGCCCUCCUCCACGCUUCCCCAUCAUCUUUAGGCCUUGUUGGGUUGUUUGAGAAUUGAAGGGGUUUGGAGGGGAUUGGGAGGGAUUAAAUCCCCUAUAAGUCAAAUUCCACUUCAAUCCCUUCCAAUCCUCUCCAAUCCCCUCUUUGUUGGGAUUAACCGAACAAGCCCUUAUGUGUCUGUGGAGGUGGUGGUGCUAUGGUCCAGGAAGAAUGUGGCAGUCUGGAUGUCAUCAUGGUUCCAAAGAUUUUGUACGCGCUCCGGGUGAAAAUUGUAUAUAUUGAUAUUCUUCAUCUAAUAUAAUUUGACACGCUAAUUAACAAAUUACUUUUGUUCAAUCGACUGAAAUGUGAACUAUUCUUAAGUUCUAAUUAUGCGUGAAAACAAAGUAGUGACAUAUAAUAAAUUGAGUUAAGAUAGUAUGCGUAUGUAUUUCCAAAUUUACAUUCUUUGAUUUGUAUUGAAUGCCAUAUCAUUUUAGUUCUUAUGUUCCAUGUUAUAUAUGAAAAAAAUUAUAAAUUCUCUGCUCAACUAAAAAAAGCGCAUAAGGUCCCAUCUUACAUCUGUUUUUUCUCCCCAUCACCCUUCGUCCGUUGUCCCAACCUACAUUAAUUUUUUUUCAGGGUUUCUACCCCCUUCUGAUUUUCAUCAAAACAAUCUAUGGUAAUGGAAUAAACCAAUUCAAUCCAAGGUAAAUCAAUAAAUUCACGUCCAUAAAGAAAUUAUUUCUUAUGGUAGAAAUUGGUACUGAUCAGACAACCUUGGUAACCCAAUAAGUACAAUAAUUUCAUGGCAUGUAAACAAAAAUAUAUAGAAUUUAAUCCAUUAUCUUUGACAACACAAUAAAGCAGAUCAAUCAUGGGCAUUUACAUACUUUUUCAGUUUAAGCGAUGGCAGAAAAUAUACUAGGAAAUUUUUCAUGCUGAUUUUCCAUUCUCAGUUUACAAUGCUAGAGUUUUCACUUUUUUGUUUCUCAAAAAUAAAUAUAGCUAUGUACUGAAAUUUAUGAAAAGUAAUUAUGAAUUAGAAAAAUAACAUAUCCCCUUUCUUGGAAAUUUCUCAUGCUGAUUUCGUGACAACAAUAUCCAACCAAUCCUUGCUGGUGACCACAAAUGCUGUUUCUCGCUAGAUGCCAAUCGUAAUUGGUCUCACCUACAGGGUGGAGCUAUAAGGCCGAUCCAACACUGCAGCUACACAUGAGUUUUCCAUGAUUUUUAUCCGGGUUUUCACUAUUUUGCAUUGGUUGCCUUUAGGUUUUCUUUGUUUUUUUUCUAUAUAUGUUUCACUGGUUUUCUUUAUUUGUUUCUUAUUCUUUUAUUUUUUCUUCUUAAGUCAUGCAUAUAUUCCACACAUAUUUUACAUUUUUUUCUAUACAUUAGUUACAUUUAUUAUACAUGUUUAGUAUUUUUCAAAUACAUGAUUAACAUGUUUUCAUGUCUACUUUUUCAUAAGCAUUCAACAUUUUAUAUAUACAUAUAAAAAUAUUUAUAUUUGUAUUUAAAUUUUUAUGCAUUACUAACAUAUUUUCAAGUAGAUGUUUUGAACACUUUUUUUAAUAUGUGUUAAAUAUUUUAUGUUGAGACAUUUUACAUUAUUUUGUUUGAACCUUUUUAAUGAAAAACAAUUGUUAUCGAAAUUAUCCAAAAGUUUUUUAUAUUUUAUACUUAUUUUUUAAAAUGUUACAAACAUUUUUUUGAAAUGCAUGCUUUUUACAUGUAAAAUACAUUCCUUUUGAAUUAUACAAAACAAUAUAGUUUGAAUUAUAUAAAUAUUUUCUUUAGUUUUAUAACAUUUUCAAUAGUGCAACUUCCAGUUUUUGAAACAUGUUAACAUAUUUUAAAUGUCAAAUAUAUUUUUCUGAAUGGGUCAAAUUUCAUAAAAGUUGGGCAGACACUUUUUUUACGCUGUAUGGACUUUUUUCAAUGUGCAAUGGACUCUUUAAAAAUACGAACAUUUUUCAUAAUAUGUGUAUUUAAUAUAUUUUUUCCAGCAUAAAAAUAUUAAAUAAAAACAUGCAUGACAACAACGUGACAAUACCACAUGGUUACUGGGCUGGACCACAACCGGCCCCUGUAGGGAAGCGUUUCUCUAUCUUGGAUAGGCAAGACAUAGACUCGGCCUUCUCCAUGUUUCGCCACCAUCAAUGUGUGCUCAUGGAGGUGGCGCUGCUAUGAUUCAAGCCCAUGUGGCAAUAUUGAUGUCAUCAUGGUUUUAUGGGUUUGCUCUAGUUCAUGGUGAAUAUUGCGCAUUGAGAUUCUUGAUCUAAUUUUAAUUGGCAUGCUAUUUAACAAAUAAUUUAUUCAAUCGAUGGGAAUUCAAAAUUUUUUAAGUUCAAAUAUUCUUGUAAACUAAAGUAGUGACAUAUAACAAAUUAAGUUAAAAUAGUAUACUUAUGCAUUUCCAAAUUCACAUUCCCGAGUUUGUAUUGAAUGUCAUAUCAUUUUAGUUCUUAUGUUCCAGAUGAUAAAAAGUACACAUUUCCAACUACUUAAAAAGAACGUAAGGUUUCAUCUUAUGCCACUUUUUCUUCCCAUCACUUCUUCGUCCGCUUUCCCACCCUUCAUCGAUUCCUUCAGGUUUUCCCAUCCCCUUCUGAUUUUCAACAAACCAAUCUUUGGUAAUCAGAUAAACUAAAUCAAUCUAAGGUACAAUAUGAAAUUCACGGUCCGCAAACACAUUCUUUCUUAUGAUAAAAAUUGGUAACGGCCAUAUAACUUCAAUAACCCAAAAAAAUAGCAAUGAACCCAAGAUCCAAAAAAGGGUCAAAAAUCAAUAUGUUAUCCUUGAUAACACAAUAAAACAGAUCAACCAUGGGCAUGUACAUAUUUUGUCAAUUUAAGCAAUGGCAUAAAAUAUAUGAUUUAUAAUCAAAACUUAAUCUUAUUCUAUGUAUUUCUUUUGCAUCAAGAUCUAUCCCAUAUGACUCUCUUAUAGCCUUAAAAACAUUUGUCCUAUGGCAACACAUGGACACAUUGUCACAUACCUAGUACAAUAUUAUCUUAAAAAAGGCAUAUCUUAUUGGUUUCCUUCUCAGUUAGAGUUGCUUUGUCAUCUUGUAUCGGUUCAGCCGUUUGGGCUUUAUUAAUAACGCAGAGCAAAAACCUGUUUCGAGGAGUUUGCGUGCGCGGGGCAAAAAAAGAGAGAAAGAUUUUCUUUUUUUUGGGCACAAAAAGAAAGGGAAGGCAAAAAUCGAAAUCACUAGUUAGCGAAUACACCUCCCAACGAUUACUCCCACCUUCACAGGUUGCGACAAGUGGCACUGCAUGUGUGCCACUUGUCGCAACCCGUGAGUUUUCCCUUUUUUCGUAGAUCCGUAUUUUCAAAACGUUUUUAUCUUCUAAAUCAUGCGUUCAAAUCUCGAACCGUUUUCACCGUUGGCUUUCUCGCGUCGAGAUCUUCAAAACUAUAUCCCAUGUUGAUAGAUUUUGACGAACUUUGUUUCUCAUAAAAAACCGGAAGAAAAAAACCAUGCCUCACGUGAUAGAAAAAAAACCAAAAGACACGUUUUUUUUCCCUUGAGAGACACGGGUUGUGCCUCUUGUGAAGGCAAAACCGUGCCUCUUGCGGAAGCAAAACCGUGCCUCUUGUGAAAAAAAGAGAGCAGAAAACACAUUUUUUCCCUUUUUCGGGAGAGGCACGGGCGUGCCUCUCGCAAAGGCAAAAUCGUACCUUUCGCAUAAACAAAACCGUGCCUUUCGCAAAAAAACAACAACAAAAAACAUGUUUGUUUUUUUCCUUUUGGGAGAGGCACAGGCGUGCCUCUCGCGAAGGCAAAACCGUGCCUCUCGCGAAAAAAAGAGAGCAGAAAACACAUUUCCCCCUCUUUUUUGGGAGAGGCACGGGUUUGUCUCUCGCGAAGGCAAAAUCGUACCUUUCGCAUAAACAAAACCGUACCUUCCGUAAAAAAAAAAACAACAACAGAAAACAUGUUUUUUCCUUUCGGGUGCCUCUCGCGAAGGCAAAACUGUGCCUUUCGUGAAAGCAAAACCGUGUCUAUCGUAAAAAAACAAAACAUGUUUUCCUUUUCCUAAAGGCACGGACGUGCCUCUCGCAAAAAACAAAACAUGUUUUCCUUUCCUCUCGCAAAAAAAAAACAAAACAGAAAACGAGUUUUUUCACGUAAAAAAAAAAGAAAACAGUUUUUUCUGAAAAAAAUUGAUUUUUUUUUCGUCCAAAAGUUACGAAAGACCAGUGAAAAACCAUAACACCCAAAAUCUUCGGAAAAAAACCACUCAAAAAAGACAAAAAUGCGUGAAGAAAAUAAAAAAACAAAAUUAGAAGGAAACGCUCAAACGUGACCAGUUGCUGCUCGCAAAAAUGGUAAGCAAGUAAGCGGGCCUGGAUCUGGAGCAGGGCUUCUCGGCGUCUACAGCCCAGUGAAGUCCCAUCGCCGCAGAUAUUUCCCCCCGACAGAACAAACCUCGGUCCUCCAUUCCAUUCCAUUCCAUCCUCCAAACACAAGCCAACCAACGGAACCUUCCAUCUCCAGAUCUCGCCUCGCCGUCUCCGGUCUCCCCUCCCCUCGCCCACACCGCCGCCGCCCCUCCGGCGUCGGCGGCGGAUCCCCGCGCGCCGGCUCGGCCACGAUGCGGCCGGUGCCGGGGGCCACACCCUCUUCUUCCUUGGGCGACGCCCGGCUCAAGCCUCCUUCCCCUUCCCCUACCCCCCGCCCUUGGCACCCCCACCUCUCCUAACUCCCUCCCCUCCCCUACGCUAACCCCCUCUCCCUCCCUCGCUAGUCCCUGUAGCGGCAUUUCUCGAUCCCCAGGAUUGUACUACCGCGGACCGGAUCUGCUCAUCCGCGGGCUCAGUUGAUCGGCGACCGACUCCACCCACCUCUGCUCAGCAUUUCAGGUUAUUACCAGCCAGGGAUCACGCCCUUUUUGUUUCUAGGAUCAGAGUGAGCCGGCCAUGAUAGUCCAAUGUGUAAGCCGGGGUCAGUUCACAAGGUAGACAGGCCACGGGGAACCGGGGCUGGUAAUAUCUUCUACACAGUAGACAGCAAGAUGAUCCAUCAUUUGAUAGGGCUGUUUAUCUCUCUCUGGCAAUGCAACGAUGCCCCCUAGAGCAAGAGUAGAGUGGGGUUAGUAGAGGCAUUUCACAGAUUUGUUAUCCACAGAUAUCGUAUCUGUAUUACUGGAUGGCAUUUGUAUUGUUAUUUUUUGGGAUUUGAAUUAGCAGGACAUGGUUAUUACGUACUUAAUCUCCUCUUUGAAUUAAACACAAACUUUGUCGAUUGAUGAUAUGUAGUUUCACAGAUUUGUUAUCCGCUCAUAUGGUACUACCUGUUAUUUAGUUUGCCUUGUUGUUUUCUCGUAUUUGAGACAGUGGAGCAUGGUUUGCUAAUAUCUCUACUGCCCGUCCUUGACGAAGCUACUUAAUUUGCUCAACAAAUGAGAUUCAGACACGAACCAGGACUAAAGGGGUUGCGCCAUGAGCCAGGCCCUUUAGUCCCGGCUGGUGGCUGGAACCGGGACUGGUGCCUGCCGAGGCCCGACCGGCCUCCUGGCCGCUCGAACCGGGACUGAUGCACGCAUUAGUCCCGGUUCAUAAGUCGACAGGGACUGUUGCUCUGAUCUGGUAAAAACCAAAGCCCUGUUUUCUACUAGUGCUUGCUUGCAAAUGACAAGUUGGUCAGAAUUUUGACCGGCCACUGCCACUUCCCGUUGCUUCUUGUGACCCCUUGGUUGUGUUUUUGAAACAUGCAAAGAGAUCCCUAUCCACCGUCACGCUUUCAUGACAACCAUAACUUUAUCAAUUGAUGAUCUGUAGUUUUUAUGAAUUCCACUAAUAUCUAACUGCCUUCUUGCAGCGACAAGCGACUCCAUGGGUGAUUUGGUUUGUGAUUCUGAAAUAGUGCUGAUGGAGGGUCACGGUAUCUCUUCUGUCUGCAAGGAUGACAUGGUUCUGCUAGAGGAGGCGACACUUCCUCUAGCUGGGCAGACUCUAGGUUCUUGUGCGGAACUCCGUAAUAACCAGGAGGGAGGUCAUAAACAAGCAAGGGAUGCUGGUUCUUUGGACACUGAAGUGAAUAUCGCAGGUUCUUCCAGCUCAGGAAUAAAGAGAGGCAAAGGAGGUGAUGGGAACUCCCGUGCAAUCUCCAAUUACAGUGAACCAAAGGCCUCUUCUACUUAUGAGCUCUCGCCAUCCUUUCCGGUGAGUUCAACAUGUUAGAUUAUGCUGUGUUUGCUUGAGCUAUGCCCACAAUGCUUUAAGCGUACUCUGUUAUCGAAAGUAUCUCUAUGAACGGAAAAGGGGUUUUUCGGGUCUGCUGUAGCAACUAGCUGAAUGGAGAAUAGGAAGGGCAACAGGAAGAGGGGUAUUCUUGCUAUAAUAUCCUGACAUUGAUGUUUGUAGGUGAAAAAUGUUUAGCAAAUUCAAAAGGCAGUGGUAAUAUGUUGUGGCGUAUUACUAACCUCUUGGGAAACAUGUUUCACAUAUCUGCAUUGGAAUUUCCAAAGUUCCCUUGUUUGAUGUGACCAUGCCAUUUAAUUUUCAGUUCCCAGGCCAAUUAUACGUACUAUUUGUUGCGCCUAACGUAUUAUUGUGUCCAGCUGUCUAGGUCCAUCAAUCUGUGUUGUGAAUUUGAAUGAGCUUACAUGUAAUGUUAAAUUGAUCACGAAACUGCUCUGAGUUCAGUUCUGUUUCUACCUUGCUGUAGUGGUGCUGUAGGUCUUGGUACAUUUAGACUAGGCUUUCACGAUAAGAUGAUACUGUAACCGUGGCAGCUUUUCUGAUCCAUAAUGCAGUUUAAUCCUUGCCUGACUUUGGAUCAUUUACACAUAUUGCCUUCCUAUUCUCUGUCUAGUCGACGUCAAGGCUUCUCGUCUCUGCUAUGAAAGGAGGCCGUGAGAGAAGCGGCAAAGAAGCAUCGCCAACCGAAAACCGCCGCGUGAACUGGGCCCCAGAUGUGUACGACCCCCCGGUAACCUCGGUCGACCACACGCUCAAGAGCAACCAACAGCGCUCCAGGUCCAGGAAGAAGGACAAGAGUAAGCAGAAACAAAAGCCGAAGAAGAGGAAGUCGCGCGGCAACGGCAAGAAGAGCACCCUCCACGACGCCGCCCACAACCCGCCUGCUCUCGACGUGCCCGGGUAAGACCAUAGACAUUCCGUAUUACUACCUUUGGUUCCAUGCUCCGGGAAUCAUGCAUGUGAAAUCAUCGUACGCUGACAGACAUUUUCUCCUCAGGCCGUCUUCGCCUGACGAACUAGGCUUAGGGGAAGUGGAGGAGGCCGAGGUGCUGGACUACAGCGCCUUCAACAGUCAGGAGCCGAAAUGCGGAAGCAGCUUCCCACACGAGAUCGCCACGGCACGGACGUGUUUCCCCGCCGCCGAGGCAUCAUGAGGACCGACGGUGGCUCGGGACCCCGGACCCUAGAGGAGGUGUAGAUAGAUACGGUUGGUGUACAUAAAUAAGAGAAAUCCAGGCUGUGUGAGUGAGAUGAGACGAGAUGCCCUUUCUAUACAAGCUUUUUUUUGGCUGGCAUCCUUUAUUAGUAGCAAGCAGUGUAGUGUGCUACACGUUUGUAGCCACGCACGGACUGAUGAGAUUUGAGAAUAAUUGAAUCCUCUUUUUGAGAUGGGUGCUGAGUCGGGCUGGCUAAAUCCUUAUGCCAAUCUCAUCUUGGCUCCAAUGGUCCUGACCUAUCACAAUGGUAUCCACUGUUCAUUGAUCAGUGACCAGUCUCAGUAGCAGCAGCAGGAGGCUAAAUUUCGUGUUUUGACCUUUUUGUGUAACUUGAUCCAAAUCUGACCUUAUUUUGUAAAUUUUUUGGGAUUUGACCUUUUUCCUACCGUCAAUGUCUUUGGCGGUAGGGUAUAACAACCCACCGUCAAGCUCCCUGACGGUAAGGGGGACACGUCUUACCAUAAAAUUUUCUGAAGUGCCGGACACAGUGAGUCUUUACACCUACCGUCG
RNAcentral lists this long non-coding RNA (94513 nucleotides) under Hordeum vulgare. RNAcentral's name for it is "long non-coding RNA (HVUL_LNC008412)". Lineage: Eukaryota; Viridiplantae; Streptophyta; Magnoliopsida; Poales; Poaceae. The record is from RNAcentral.